UAGACAAGAAAAAUAUUAGACCUUGAUCUUACAAACUAAUACUUCAAGCAGUAUCCUAGAAAGCUAAAAACUGCAAGAUGGCUUGAAAUUUGAAAAGAGCACGUGCUUUUCCUCCUUAACUUGAGAAAAUGUUUAAUAUAGUGCACCUUACAGAAGCAUUUAAGCAAUUAGAACUUUGCACAAAAACAUCAAGAAGACUAAACAAAUCAGAUGCAGUGUAUUUGUCCAAGCACAAAUUGCAUUUUGUCCUCAACUUUAAUAUUUAUUGAUGAGAAUCAAUACAGGUCCCUCAUUUGUUAUAGAAAGCUUUCUUGUAGUCUCACCAGUUAAUUCACAGGUCUAUAAUCAUCUUGCAAAGUUAAGGGCAUUUCUUUCGAUCUAAAGUCUUUGGAUCACCACCUCAUCACACACCAAGCCAAUAUUCCAUUUACCUCUACAACAAAAAGUUUUUAAGUAAACAAUCCUAAUGCACGCAGCCAAAUAAAAUGCAGUAAGAAUAUUCAACUUAAAAAUCUGAAAGCCAACUUGGUGAAUUGCCUCCUUAGGUGAAGUUCCAUGCUUUACUAUAGUUGACAGAACUCAGCAAAAGCUUCCAUACAACAGAUUUUGAAAAUGAUGAUGCCAAUAGAUACUCAUUCAAUCCAUUGAAAAUCCAAAGGUUCAUUGUUAAUAGAAGUUUACAGAGUUUUGGUCAUCAAAUAGCUCAGACCUAAUCCCAAACAAAAAACGAGUGAAAAUUAGAUCACGAGCAGCUAAUUGUAAAUUCUAACUUAACUCUUCAUCUCCUUUGUAAACAAGAAACAAAAUGGAGACAAGCAAAAUGAAUAUGGAGAAAAUUUGAACUCAAAUGAAAUGAGGGCACGAAAGCAAACAAAUGGCAUGCACAAAAAAACCAAGCCUCAAUCAAAAACUAAUUAACCAUUAAGAAAAAAAUUGGUCAGAGAAUGAACUCCAAAUUCAGGAGUCAAGCAAGAAGCUUUCAUUAUUUCAGAAGCUCCUGUACAGGAUUCUAUCACACAUAGGAAUUGUAUAACAAGAGAUCGAUAUAUCGAAUUAGAAAACUCAAUUCGAAUUUGUGUCAAAAAUCAAAAUUAGAAGAUUUCACAUUUCGAGAGGAACAAGCAACAGAUGAAGUUGAAAAUUUUCAGCCAUAACAUGCUAAAAAUGCUACACUGAACGGUUCAUUUUCAUGGGUUUUCUCGGGAAACAAACAGAAAAUUACGGUUUAGAGAGUUGACUGACCUUUUGGCUUUUGAAAUUGAGAAGAUCGCACGCCAAAUUGGAAGAGGGAAAGUGAAAGUGCGAGUUUUAAUAUGGGUAUUAGAUAAGGAAAUUUUAUUAGGUUGCGAGGGUAAAAAAGGAAAGAGAUAUCAUUGUUUUAUUAUCGAUAAUUAUUAAAAAAAUUUCCCCAAAAAAAGAACAAGCAAGGAUAUUUUAUUGUCAUUUGCAACCUUUAAUUUUUUAAAUGCUAUUAGAAACACAAGACAACAAAGAAAUACUUAUUUUUUUUCUAAAACUAAAAUUAAUUGUUUAACUUCUUAUUUCAGAAUCCAACUCCAUUACUAAGUUAAAAAAAUUGUUUCAAAAUUACUUGAGUCAUAUCUAAUGGACCAACAAAGUAAUCGUUUUUAUUUUUAUUGAUUUUUGCAGAAAAUUAAUAACUUAAAAAUACUGAAAGCUAUUGAAAAAAAUUUUUAUUAUCAACCUCAUAGUUUUUUUUUUUUGGGAAGAGAAUUCAAACUUUUUUUUUAUGAAUAUCGCUGUUUCGUUUGAGUUGGAUGUGAAUUCAAAUACAAAUAUUCUUUGUUUUUCAAUUUUGAACUCAAUUUCUUUUUCUCAAGAAUGUUAUGCAGAAAUGAUUUUUACUAAAUCAUUUUUGAUGAAUUGUUUAAAUUAAACAAUUGGAUUAAGAAUUGUAACGAUUUAUCAUAAGCGUGCUAAUAUGAUAACUUGUUUUACGAAGGAUUAAUUAAUCAAUUAAUAUUAAAUUAUAUAUUAGUCAAUUAGAUAUGUGUUACAUUUGUCAUGUUUUGUAGGUGAUACUACAUAAUUUCUAAAAGAAUAUAGUAAAAAAACGUUAAAAUGUUAUUUUAAUGAAGAAAAUUUUAUAAUUUUAUUAAAUAGGUGACACAAUAAUAAAUGGAUUUCUGUAAGAAUUGAGAUUCUUGAGAUAAUUAUUACAUAAGGAGAAGUUUAUUACAUAGGUGACAGCUAUGAUUUUGAAACUUUUGCCUAAAAUUGUUAUCAUUACUUCUUGUUUCUUAUUUAAAGAGAAAUUCUAGAAACAUGAAAUGAUUAUUCUACGCUUGUUUUAAUAUUAUACUAUGAAGAUUAUGAAGGUUUGAUUAAUGUCACUAUCAAUUGCCUUAAUCGUUUGUCGUAAAUCAAUUAAGCAUUUUGAUGCGAAUGAUUCCCUAUUAAAAAAUUCAAGUCAGAGCUGAAUUGCAAAGUAGUUAGUCGUGCUUGCAAUUCAAAUUAAGUAUUGUAUUUUCCCCCUGAUUUGGUUGAUUCAACUAUGUGCAUUUGCUUAUGAACGUUGUAGUACAGAAAUCGAAACAUCUUGUCUUUUGCUAAGCCCAGAAGCAAAUUCUUUGUAUUCUACUCAUCAGUUUUCUUCAUUCUCUUCGUUGAAAUUUUAUCCAAACAGCGGUUUCGAAAUUGUUUUCACCACAAUACCUUAGUCUUUCAGAUGCUCCCGUCACUGAGUUGCCAGAAGAGCUAAAAGCCUUGGUAAAUCUUAAGUGUUUGAACCGGAGUACACAAAUUAUCUCUCUACAAUUCCAAAACAACUGAUUUGUUACUUUUUGAUGCUACAUGUUCUGCGAAUAUUCAGUUGUGAUUAUCUUGUUCAAAUACCAGAAAAUAGCGUUCUAUUUAGUGAUAAUGAAUUCUUGGUUUGGGAGUUGCUUAGUUUAAAACGUUUAAAUGUAUUAAGCAUCAUCUUGAAAAGUUUUUCUGCCGUCCAAAAACUUAUGAGCUCCCAAAAGUUUCAAAGCUGUACACAAUGCUUGGAGCAUAUAGGCUGUGAUGACCCAAAGUCAUUUGCCUUGGCAGAGUUGAAACAUCUUGAAAAACUAGGUUUUUCGAGUUGUGGAAAUUUGGAAGAGUUAAAGUUCUGCUGUGUUGAAGUUGCAAAGGCUCGAGAAUGUUUUCGUUUGAACGGCCCUUGCUGAGUUAAGAUGAAGGCUUGUCAUAAAUUGUGGGAAUCGACAUGUUAUUCAAAUAGAAAAAUGUAUGGAGAUGGAUGUUAAUCUUAAGGUUAUUCAAGCAGACAAAUUCGAAUAAAACUUAUGGUAAGUGCUUUUCCAUUUAUUGCAUAUUUAUAUCUAAUUUUUAUUUUCCUUUAUUGUUAAAUUUUGCUCUAUAUUUGUUUUUGUAUGGUGGCAUUCUUGUACAAUUAUUAGCUUUUCAUUUCUCUUCUCACAUUAACUGCCCUUCUGAUCAUGUAGGAUUUGCUGAUGCAAAGAGUCAUAAUUUGGGAUACAAAUGUAAGAAUUAGACAGAUGACAUGUUGUUUUGAAGCUCUCGAAGAAGAAGGACUAAUUAUGUCAUUGAAAGCCUCCAAUUUUGUGAUUGGUUUCUUUUUAUUUUAUUUGUUGUUUUCUCUAUUUUCAGAUCGCUUAAUUGUUAGUUGUUGUAAUCUAAUAUUUUAGUGUAGAAAAUUAUAUUCGGCCAAGACAGCGAUAGGAGGGCACAUUGUGCAUGCACACUAGUGGAUUUGUCAUGCCAAAUCCAAUUAGGAUGGAUAACACUUUAUAAGCAUUAGGCGUCUCUCGUACCUGAGUAAUAUAGAAUAUGUUUAUAAGUUGUGAAUCACCCUUUAUAAGUGUUAGGCUUCUGCUAUACUCAGUGAUGUGAAAUAUAUUUAUAAGCACUAAACUUCUCCCAUACACUUUAUGUUAAAAAUAAUAAUAAUAAUAAUAAAAUAAACCUAUUUUAACAGACUCUUUUUUCUUUUUCUAUAUGAACAAACGCAUUCUUCAAAGCAAUUGUGGGUAGAAGAAGUGAGUAGAGAAGAACUGGGCCCCUUUCAUUCCUUUAAAACCUCACCAAAACCUCUCUUGUAAGCUUCUCGGAUUUUCUUUCUAUAUUUCUUAGGAACUCAUUUUUUAUUGAAUCACUUCUUUUGCAUGCUGCAUUUUUUGUUUGUCGUAUUUGGGUAUUAUCUUAUCUGGAAUGCUGUUAUGAUUGAUGGAACAAGUAAUCGAUUUUUGGUCUAAUGGAAGUUGAUUUAUUUAUUUAUUGUUAUUUUUAUUUGAAAUUAUGUACAAUUGCAUUUCAUUCAUUUCUCUCUCUCUUUUUCUUUUUUUCCCCCCAUAAAUUUGUUAUGUAUAAUUGCGUUUCAUUUAAUAUUGAUCAUACUGUAGGUAACCAUGUGAUUGUAGAUGGGGAUUUCAAGUUUGUUGAAUAUUCAUGUAAGUGAAGUAACCGUCACAAUACUAGUGAAAUUGGGAGCUUUAUUCAUGAGUUUGUGGUUUUGAAAAGUACCACAGUUCAAAUGAUGAAGGCUCCUUUUUGGGAUUCUUCUUUUUCUAGGCUGCAAUUAGGAUAUGUACAUGAUAGACAAUCUUUUGUUGGUUUGGCAUAUGUUCGCUGAUUUUGUCUUUUAUUCCCCAAUUUUAUAAUUACACACCAUGAAUGUUGGGUGAUUGUAUAGAAAAUUUGUGUUAUAACAAAAACAUUGUGAAGGAGUUUCCGUGCUAAUAGUUGUGGCUUCUGUUUUAUUGGCAUUGAUUGGGUAGAUUACGUGUUACAGUGAUUCAAUUUGUGUUCCAAACUUUGCUUUAAUUUUCUGUUUUCCCCAACUAUUUUUGUCAAAUUUAAAUCCAGAAGCAUGUACUGAUUUUGUCUUUUUGUAUUAAUCUGUGAAGUUUAUUUGGAAUGGAAGUAACUGGGUCAGGUCUAAUGGAUUAAAUUAUGACAUUGAGGGGAAGGCACUAAAAGGGUUUGCUUGACACAUUUGGUUCUGUGUUUACUCUGCAAGAAAUAGCUUUUGCUUAUUGCAAUGCAGGGGGAAAUCCCGAUUUGGCUGGUGAAUUUCUCUGCAACAAACAGGCAAACACCUCAACCUCUUCUGUCCAUACUUCUGCUGGGGAGGCAAGGGGUAAAGAGUCUUCAAAAUCAUCAAAUAGUAACAUCUCUGAGAAUUCAUUUUAUGGAAAUGGAAAAUCUAGAACUUCUAAUACAAAAUGGCAUCUGGUAUCAGGACGUACCGUUUCAAGUUUUCUUGGUAAAGAUUAUGUUAAACCUGCACAGCCAGCUAAUGGCACUUUUCUGGCAUCAAAGCCAUUGAAGUUGGAUCCAAAGGAGUUUCCCAUGUCUGCACUUUGCAGAGAAGAAUCUAAACCGAAACAAUCAAAGGAUGACCAUUUGCAGAAGGACAUGGAAGAUUUUCUGUUUAAAUUUCCAGGAGACGGUUCCAGCUGAACAGGGAUGUGAUUCAGGAGGUUCUCGGUAAUGUCUUAAAUAUAUUGAUGCCAAUUUAAUACAUAUUGUCCUUUUCAAUGUUCUUUCUUUCUUUCUUUCUCUUCUUUUAUUCUUCUUCUUCUUUUUUUUUUUCAUGUGCAUGUGAUCGCUAAUUUGGUAUUAUUUUUAACUUGCAGAUACUUGUGGAUAUGAUAUGCAAAAGGUAAGGACUAUAUCCUCCUGAUGGAGGCCUCUGCUUUUCCCUUCUUUGUACGUAAUUUAGUAAAUCGCAUCUUCUAUAUAUCAUACCAAAAUCCAGUCUUAAAUGCUGCUGGCAUAUGUUAAGGUUCAACUUGCAUUUUGAUUAACGUCCAUUUGCUACGGCUUCCAAAAUUGAGAAUGAGAUACUUUGGUUAAUUUCAGUAGUUGAACCCAAUAGGGUACUUUAUUUAGAUCUUCAUGGUUCAAAGGCCCGAAAAAACUUACAGGUAUACCUGCAAAAUGACACUCUGUGCUUUUAUUUAUACUUAUUAUUUAAGUGAUAAAAAUUCCCCAAACCUGCGGUCAAGAAAAUUUCAGAGAGUUAAAGACUCCAUUUUGUUUCAGCCAAAAAUGUUUAUUUCAAUUAAAGAUUUGAACCAUUUUCAUUUAACCUGAUUGUGAUGCUUUACAUUGUGCACGCUCCUCUCGAUCAAUAAACGUUGAGGUCAUGAUUUUAUAUUUCUAUAUUGUAACCUGAAAUAAUAAUUGGUUUGCAUGUUUCUGUAGCUUGAUAACAUGAAUUUUCCUUCUGAAGUUACUUUGAUCAAUAAAGUUAUUCUUCGGAGAAGAUAUGCCCAUUCUAUAAUCAUUUUCCUAGCUAAUAUGUUUUUUUCACUCUUCUGAGCAUGUCUAAACUAAUUGAUCGCUCGGCAGAGACUUUGGGUAAGAAAACAAAAUUUCAUGGUAAAUCCUCUGAAAAGGUAUGCAUAAUUGAAACAAUCCGCCCCGAAUCCCCCCAGGCGAGUCUAUCUAGUCUCAUCAAAACGGACUUGAUAAUAAUUCUAUUAGUAAAGACGACAGAAUCUCUUUUAUAUAUAUAACACUCCCAAUGUACAAAUAUAAAUAUAAUACUUUCAAUACAAUUCAAUAUACAACAAACUCCAGUGAUCAAUAUCCUCAACUAAAAUGCUGAGUUUUAUAUUAGAGUCUCAAAAGAUAAUAUUAUAACUAAUAUUAAUAUCUCAGUUUAUUUUUAAUCCCAAAAGAAUAAUAUAACAAAAUUAUACAAUCCCAACAGGACGAGAUAACCAAGAUGUCCUAACAAAAACAUUUAUAUCUUCUAGCACCAUCACGUGGCCAAGACUCAAAAUAUAUUUACAAUCGCUGGGUCGGUCUGGUGUACCUGCAACCUACUGGUGAGGGGGGAAAAUAUAAUAAAAACAGGGUGAGUUUAAAACUCAGUGAGAUCGGUGAGUAGAUAGUAGUUUUGUAAAUUAAUUCUUACUUUAAAAGAAAUAAUCAUGUCAUUUCCAAACAUGAUUUCAUUAAACUAUAAGCGAGAAACCAGUAAUAAAUCAUUAAACAUUUAAAUCAGAUUAUUAACCAUGGAAAUCAUAUCACAAUAUCAUAUAGAAUUCACAAAUCGGAAAAUCAUCACCAAACAAGUACCCAGAGAAAUAAUCUCGUCAUAUCCGGACCUCAACGGACGGGCAAUGACGUACUAUCUGGGUAACGUCACACCCCGGAGCUACACGGAUAGACAGGGAAAUACCAUCUCAUAUCUCAUCAUAUCUGUGCAUGCAUAAUCUAGUCCCCAAGGGACAAAAGCGCCCAAGCACACGGCCCAAAGCGCCCAAGCACACGGCUCAAAGCCUCUAUGUGUACUCAGACGGGCCCCAAAGGCCUGUAUCUCACAUGUAUCAUAUGUAUCAUUUGUAUCUCAAUAUUUGUCUGUAUCUCAUAUCCGUAUAUCUGUAAUCAUCAUACCGCAUGCAUAUGCCCCCAAAAGGCAAAAAGCGCUCAAACACACGGCCCAAAGCUUUUAUAUGUGUUCAGACGGGCCCCAAAAGCCUCUCAUUUCAUCUUAUCUGUAUCACUGUAUCUGGAGGGAAGGGUACUGUCUAAUGAUUUAAAAAACAAUCAUUAUACUCAUAUUUACAUACCUCUUAACCAUAUUUGAAGUCAUAUCACAUUUGAAUCCACUUUUCUAAUCUUUAAAAUAUUAUCAUACUUUAUUCAAAGUCGAUACGCAAAAUCAAUAACCAAACAUUUUAAUAAAAUACCAAUGCGUAAAUAAAAUCUAUUUCGAGAAAUCAUUAAAUCAGAACAUUUAAAAUACUUAUUUUGCAAACAUGUUUUACUAUUAUCGCUAACUAUGAAAAUAAGUUUUGUAUAUUCCACUCUCAGUGACGAUGUUCACGGUCGGUUAUCGUCCAUAUCUGCAGACCGAUUCUCGCUCGCGGAUCCUCCUAAAUCAAGGAAACGACAUAAUUAUUUUUCGUAAAUCGGAAUUAUGACUAAAUUUUAUGCAAUAAACUCAAAACGAACAUCUAUUCAUAAUUGACAACUCCUAUAUCCAUAAAAUUACUAAAAUGUCCUUGAGUCCGUAGAUCAUUAACAUGCUCCGAAAUCGUAAAUCACUUAAUUACCCUCGGAAUCGUAAUUACACCUGAUCCUCAAUUCUAGGAAUUACUAACAUAUCCACAGGCUCAGAAAUUACAAAAUUGCCCUCAUAGUGUGAAAUUACCAAAAACCGGAAGUUGGUCAACACUGGCUAGGAAGCUCGAAUCGUAAAGUUCCAAUCACGCUGAGUUCAAUGGUACCGGCGGUGAGCUCCAAUGCGCGGCAACGACGCUGGAAUCUAGCUCGGCAGUCGUGAAUUCCACCAAUCGACCGGCGGCAAAACAGUGACUCUCGGUGCCUAUGGAUGGUCGGAACUGGAAGAGGGAGUCGUGGGGAACAAACUCCAACCGGUGGUGUCACCAAAACCGGCGAAAAUCCCGGCGGAGCAAAGUGAAACAGUCGCGGGUUUCAUGCUUCGAUCGCCGGUGUUCCGAUUGGUUUUUGGCGAGGAGGAUGGCAAGGGAACGACGGCCGGCUUCUAAGCUUCAGAUUGGUACCAAGCUCGGCCGAAAUGGUGGCUGGCAAUGGGAGAUAUGGCCGGGUCAAGGUCGCGGGUUCCGGGUCGGGUUUUCGGGUCUGUAGUUGGGUCGGUUUGGCAGCUUCUCUCUCACUCUCUGUUACACGUGCAUAUGUUUCGUCUGUUUCCAGCUUAUUCUUUUGCUUUUACUAACUUCUUAACCGCCUCAUACUUAUUCAUUUUUAAUUCUCAUAUGUUACAAUAAUUCCCGAGUAUUAAAUAACCAGUGGUCAUAAUUUUUGUACAAGAUUCUUUUUUUUUUGGAGAUCGUUAAAAGUGGUUGACGAUCCAUUUUGUAAUAUCAUAGAGGGAUCAUCAAUUCCUUUUCUUUUCUGUGGCUAGGCAACACUUUUUGGCCAAACUAAGGAAAUCUAUUUUAGGUAAUGUAAAAACCAGUUAUAGGAUGUAAUAGUUUAUUAUGUACUGACAAUAACUUUUUGUAUAAUUGUCAGUUUAAUGAAUACAAGAGGAACUCUGUUGGCAAAUUCAUCCAACUAAAAUUAUUUAUGCAUGCCCGUUGCCUUAACUAAGUUUUCUCAGCACUGGUUUUGAACAGGAAAAUGAAUAUGCAAUUUGUAUAUUGUGCCAUAGUGGAGAAUUUGGAUAUUCUUAUUUAAGUAACAAGGAGAUUAUUUGCCUCAUCUUUAAACAAUGAAUCUUUGAGAGAUGAGGAGUGGGUGAUUGGCUGUGUCUUCAUGUAAUUGUUCAUUUAUUUGUAUUUUGAACUGUUAUGAAAAUCUUUAUAUGCCAAAUUAGUAAUACAAGUAUUCAGAUGAUUUUUCCUAUUGAUCAUGCAUUUGUAUCUGCCCACAACCAUUGUAUAUCACUUUAUUCUGAUGCGCAAGCAUCUGUAAUUUAGAAGAAAAGAAAUAAUAAUCAUAUUUUAUUGCUUGGUUCAUGAUUAUUAACGAUUAUGGCUUUAAAAAUCUACAAAUUUCUUGUGUUCAUGUAUGAAUGUGCCAAGUUUGCUGUAUCUUAGAUUACCUUCUUCCAAGAUAACAAGUUCAUAUAUUUUUUUUUUUAAAAUCCUUUUCCAUUACAGUUGAAUUUCAAGUGUUAGUUUUGUUAUUAGUACCUGGUUUCCUGUUAUUAGGAUCUAAUAAACAGUGUACGGAUAUGUGCUCUACUUUUGGAGGGCCUCCACGUGAAAGAAAAUUGCAACAAUUGAAUUCUUCCGGAGGGUAUGGUAAUUAAUUUAUUUUCUCAACUUGUUGUAAGACUAAUAUAUUUCCUUCAGUAGGCACGGCAUGGUGGGAAGGGUUUUUAUUGAAAGAAUUCUGAUAUUUCUUAGACUUUGUUUUGGAAGGGGGUGGAGGGAUUUCUCAUCCAUAUAUGGUUACUUGAUUAGCUUUUGACUGUAUUGUCUCCGUCGUGCAAAGGAAAAUCUAAAUACUAACGAUGGGGAAUUGCUUAGGCACCCAAAAGGCAGAAAUGAAUUACAGAAGGAAGUUUUUGCUGCUUUAUUUAGUGCUGCUGAGAAAUCUGAUGAAUUUCCUGAAAUUACGGUGAAGACCGAGUGGAGGUCCAAAGCAUUAGGAAAGGUGGUGAGUGAACUGCCGGAGGAAUUAGUACCAGAAUACAAGGCUAAUGUGGUGCACUUGCAGCAAGAUAACCAGACCGGUAUGUGCUCUUAUAUUAACUAUAUUGACUGGAUUUGUUAGUGUGUGCAUUUUUUUGUGUAUACUCACUUUUGUAUUUAUGCAUAUUAACAUGUGUAGGAUUCUUGAUUUCUGCCACUUACUGGAGAACUAGUGGAAAGCUUUAUACUGAUAUAUCUGCAAUAACUAAUGGAAACUAUGAUAUGAAUAUUUUCUCUCACCUGGGGAGCUGUGUAACAGAUAUACUUUGUGGCUCUGGAAUGCUGAAGAUUCUGCAAUAACUAAUGGAAAAUAUGAUAUGAAUAUUUUGUCUCACCUGGAGAACUUUGUUACAGAUACCCUUUGUGGCUCUGGAGUGUCUAAAGAAUGCUUCCGUUAGAUCAAAUAUCUUUUAGUUAGAAAAGAUAAAAUUCUCUGAGUCUGAAAGACUGAAACAUUUUGCAUAUUUUGUGAAAGGGAAAUAUCUGUUGAUACUAGCUCAUGCAUUGAGGUAAUAUCGAUGUUAAAGAAAAACAGCAAUGAUUUAUGAUAUAGAAUUGGGUUCACUUGCUUUAAAUGCUGGUCUGAUCAACCAUAUCAACCUGUAAUGAUUCUGCAGAAAUAUAUAUACAAGGAGAAAGUAGCUAAAUUUUUCUUUCAUUUAUGGGUUCGGUCUUUUUUCCCCUUAUUUUUCAGCUUUCCUUCUCCUGAAGUAUGUUAACAAUUGCAGAUAAUGAUGAAGAGGACAGCUUCCAGGCUCUCCUUAGAGCCGUGAUGGAAUAUAGGGGCACAAUGAAGGAAUAUUGUAAAGCUGUAGGUACUUUUUCUCCUGUCAUUUAUGUUUUCUCACACAUUUUGUAUAUGCCCUGAACAUGCACCUUUGUAUGUAUCAAUUGACUUUUAAAUUUUAAAAGCCAUAAAGUAAGAAUACGGUUCCUUGUCAGGCUACUGAUGACAUUCGCUCAGGGGGAUCAUGUUCGAGCAGGAAAAUUUCUAGAACAGGUAAGGUUUCCAUCUACAGCCAUCCAUUGACAGCAGAUAAAUUUUCAUUCAGCAGACUCUGUUAGCAUUCAAGAUGCUGGCAGAUUCACUUGAUUCUUAUUAGCUUGUUUAGUGGCAAAGCCUAUAACCUGUAUUUCAAAGCCAAGUUGUGCUAUUGAUUAUGUUAACUUUUUUGUUAACAUAAAAUGAUAUGGAGGAAAUAAUCAGUGUUGGAAAAUUAGGUGAAAAGAUGAUGUCAAAUCUUGAACCUCUUGCGAAACUCUAAGUUCUUUACUUGAAGAGGCUACCAAAUUUGAACAGCGUCUACUCGAAGGCCUUGCCAUUCCCUGAUGCAUGCAGAAUUUUUGUAUUUAAAUGCCCAGAGCUUAAGAAGCUGGCACUGGAUCUUGAAGGGGCAGACCAAGGUAAAAUUCUUAUCAAGGGAAAGGAAGAUUGGUGGAAACAACUUAAUGGGAGGAUCAAGUAACUCAGAAUACAUUGCUUCCAUUUUUUAAAUCGACUGACAAGUGAUUGAACGGGGCAUCAUCAAUAUCAUCAACAGGGAUGGAGAGAUGCCGGAGCAGAUCAGCAGGGUUUGAAUAUGACCUUCGGCGGUUGCUUUUUUUUUUUGUGAUUUUUUUUCAUUUUUUCCUUCCUGUCAUUUUAUCAUUUCUUUGGCUCUGUUUCUAUUGCGGGUGUUACUGCAUGCUUACUGUUGCUUGACAAAGUUUGCUAGCUUUUUGUUUGCAGCGCUGCUAUACGCCCCGAGUCAAGCCCCGAAAAUUUAUUAAACGACGCCGUUUCGACAGUAACAAUUCUUUUCUUUUCCCUUUGCCUGUUUCUUUCAUCUGCAGUUUCUCUAUCACUUUUCAUUUUUGAUUUCCGUGCUUCCCAGCUGCCCCUAAAUUGUUAUUCUAGCAAUAUACUUUCUCAUCUUUGAAUUUUCAUCCUUGAGUACUCCCACAGCCGUAAUUUCAUCAUUAUAGACUUCACUUGGAAUGCUAGAUUUUUUCGAUUCUUGAGCUACUUCAAUUACAUCUUAGUAUAGGAUCCUCAUCUUCCUUUAUUUCUUCAUCUUAUGAGGUAACAAAUGGAUUUCACAACUCAUCUACUUUUAAGCAAUUACAUAUUAUACCCUGAAUGAUUCAACUGUUCCGACAGUUAAAGAUUUUAUGCUCAACCUGCAGUGCUACGAACAUUGUCCAUGAAAGAUGAGUUUCAGCAUAUAAAAUGAAGUAUAGAUGUUUAAUCUAAAAUAACCCUUCACUGCCAGAAACCUAGGUCGCAAAAUUCACAGAUAAUGAUAAAGAGCUAAAAAAUUUGAAAAAACUCUACAGAUCACACAUCAAGCAAGAUAUCAUGUUUUUUCCCUCAUUCGGUGGUGAUUGAUUCGCUUUUUGAUGAUGGAUAUGGUAUAAAAGUUUUGACCCAAUUUCAAGCAAACACAAAUAGAAACACAAACACAAUCGGGACUAGAGUUGUGGGCGAUUAUCUCAGGUGUACAAGUGAAACGGUGGUGGCUGUCGAUGGUGGUAGUGGGGUGGUUGGGUAUGCGUGAUGGCAAGAUUUUAGGACAAUAAUGGUUGGAGUUGACCUCAAUCAAUGAAGGAAAGGGACAACAAUUUUGACAUCAAACGGUGCAUAUUUUAGUUUAGUAAAAUGGAGCCGUUUCGAAUUUGGGAUUUAAUCCGGGUUUGACGCGGUGCAAGUAUCAUUUUCCUUUUGUUUAUUAAUUUUUUUAUGGUCACAAAGUAUUACUCGUUCUAUUUGACAGUGAUGUGAAUCAAUUUUUCAAUUUUAUAUUUUGUGGUCAAUAUGAAUUCAAUUUCAUUUGUCUCCUGCAAUUAUGAAAAAAUUACAGAGUCAUAAUAUGGAAAAGUACACCGGCAAAAACUUUUUAAAAGCUUCGGAGUGAUACGGGGAAUUCACUUACUACUAAGGACAACUGGUGGCAAGCUAUUCCAUUCAUUUUAUGUCCAUCCAUCUAUUUAGUUAUUGAAGACUAGUGGUCCAUUUGUAAAUUUCAGAUUGUCUCUCUCUCUCUCUCUCUCCCUCUUGAAAUAACAAUAUUUAAUAUAUCUCUUAAAUUAUUAUAAAUUUUAAUUUACUCUCGAUUUAAAAUGGAGCAUGUCGAUAAUUUUUUUUUUCUUCUUAAUAAAAUUGACGCAAGUUGUGUUUACAGUAGUUUGAAGUUGGAAGUAUUUUAAAGAUUAUUAUUCUAUAAGGGAGUAAUAUGAACUGAAAUUUACUUUUCACGUGUGAAAUGAAAAAGGACGAAGCAAGUGUCCCUGCUUUUAUUUUAUUUCAAGGAGGAGUCAUCGCACAUACUUUAGCUCUUAACAUUACAUUUUUAUUUUUUUUUUACACAUGCGUGUGGGGGUUGCUUUUCUGUAAGCUCCUUAAUAUAUAUUUAAGACAAAUCAUGGAAGAGAUGGGAUUAUAUCAAGAUGAUCAAAGCAUGUAAAAAAAGAAAAAAGAAAAAAAUAAUUAAGAAGUAAGACACUGAAAAUGGAGAAGAGAUGGAAGCAAAAGAUAUUCCAAAACAAAGCAAUCUAUCCCCUUUCGAGGGCAGACUUAUGAUGUUUAAAAAAGUACAUGCUUUGGAUUGGUAGUUGCAAUCAAGGGAAAAUAAAUAGGAUCCAAUGAAAUUUAAAUCUCGGAGAAAAUAAAUAAUCAUGCUGAUUUUUAAGAUUUUAAUAAGGGAUACUAAUAUCUUAUUUUGAUUAAUAAUAUCCUUUCAUUGUGUUAACUCAAAAAAAAUAUAUUUUAAUGUUUUACAAUAAACAGAAACGUACUAUUAAAAUGAAUAUAUAAAGAAUUUAGAAAAUUUAGAAUGUUAUAUAAAAUAAUUUUAAUAUAAUGCGUGAGAUAUAUUUUUUUAAUUUAAAAUGUCAUUUUACCUAAAAAAUAUGAUAAAUUAAUAAUUACAUAUUUGAAGUUAUUUCAAAUAUUAAAAAAAUUUAAUAUUAUUAAUCUUUUGGAUAGAUUAAAUUAUUUUUUAUAAGAGAUAAAUUAAAUUAUUUUAAAAUGCCUUAAUUGUUUUUACUUUUAACAUUACCGGCCUUUCUUUUAUUUUAUUGAAAAUUAAUGCUAACAAGAAAAAGCUAGAUCAUAUUCCACAAAAAAGCAAAAGUGACAAACACAACCAGCUGGAAUCUUUUAUAAAACUACAAAUUAAAAUGAAUUUUUUUUUGGGAAAAGGACACAGAGACCCCUAAUGUUUGAAUAAGGGACACAGAGAUCCCUAACGUUUGAAAAAGGGACACAAAACCCCCUAAGGUUUUAAAAAAGAUACUAAGACCCCUAUUUGUUAACAGAAAUUAUAAUUUUAAAGUGCAAUUACCAUUAUAUCCUUAUAGCAUAUUAAAAAAUAAUUAUUCAUUGUCCAAUUUAUUUCUAUAUUAUUAAUAAAAUUAUGAAUAUAACUUCAUUACCCAAUUUUUCCAUUUUAUUUAGUACAAUUAAGAUUUUGUAAUUAUUGUUGUAACCAAUUUUUUUUUUAUUUUGUUGAUUAUAUAAGUUUAAAUGAAGAAUUGUUAUUGAGAAUUGUUAUUUUUAUUAUAUUAGUAAUCAAUUUAAUUUAUUUUUAUUCUUGAGCAAUGAAUUAAAUUUAUUUAGUUGAAGAGAAAAUUUGACAAAAAAUAAAUGAAAAAAAUUGGAUAAUGAAGUUAUAUUCGUAAUUUUAUUAAUAAUAUACGAAUAAAUUGGACAAUGAACAAUUAUUUUUUAAUAUGCUAUAAGGGUAUAAUGGUAAUUACACUUUAAAAUUAUAAUUUAUGUUAAUAAAUGGGGGUUUGAGUGUAUUUUUUGAAACCUUAAGGGGUUUUGUGUUCCUUUUUCAAACGUUAGGAAUUUUUGUAUCCCUUAUUCAAAUAUUAGGGAUCUCUGUGUCAUUUUCUCUUUUUUUUUUUUGAUAAAUUACACAUGAAAGUGAAUUCUUUUGAAUAUAAGUGGGGUAGGCUCUUUUAUUUUAUUUUUGAAUACUGUAUAACAGGACUGUAGACUCUUUUAUUAAACUACAAAUUGUAUAGUCUUUUUCAAAUUGUUCAGAUAUUUAUAAAUUGGUGGCCCCUACGAUCCUCAAUAAUUGUACCGAUAUUCACAAGUUGGUGGCCCCUACAAUUCUGUUCGCAAGUGCUCAUUCACAAUCUUCCAGGUCAUGCUCUUAAUAAUUUACAUGAUCAAUUCUCUAAAUAUUUAGGGUAUAUGUGAACAUCGGUGGAGAAGCUUUAUUUAAUAUUAUUGAUUUAAAUAAUAUGUCAAUUAAAAAUGUGCGGAGAAGAAAUUUCGGUGGGUAUUUUAGUUUUUUUAACAAUUAUCAUGAUCAGAUCAGCCUUUAGCCUUGAAACGUCGGUCCGAAAAGUUUUAAAAUUAACGCUAACAAGAAAAAGCUAGGUCAUAUUCCACAAAAGCAAAAGUGACAAAAUAACCAGCUGGUUUCUUUUACUAAACUACAAAUUAAAAGUGGAUUCUUCAGACGAUUAGGCUCUUUUUAUUAAACGCAAGUAAAAAGUAGUCGAAUAGUCUUUUUCAAAUUAUUGUUUUAUUAUUUUUCCUUCAAAAGUUAGUGUGGCUCAUGUUUGCAGGUGCGAAUGUGCGAUGCUCUUUUUUUAAAGGCAAUUACAGUGGGUCCCGAAUCAUUACUAAAAUUUCUAUUCCACAGCCCACCGCAGCUUCAGUUAAUCAAACUCCAUCAAUUUUCUUUCUUAACAAAAUUCUAAAGAUGUGUAGCAUUUUUCAGAUCACAUGCGAUGGUGCUUUUUUCAAUCGUUGCUUGGAUUGCUUUCUUGGAAAAGCAGCAUACAUACGUAACCUCCAAGAUAAUCUUGUAGCCUUGCAGACUGAAUUGGGAAAUCUGAUCGCUAAAAAGAAUGAUGUGAUGAGGAGGGUUGACAAUGCUGAACGGCAACAAAUGAUUAGGCUGGAAGGAGUGCAAGUGUGGGUUUCGCGAGUGGAAGCUGUUAAAACUGAAGCUGAUCAAUUUAUAAGAGACGGCUCUCGAGAAAUUGAAAAAUUAUGUGUUGGAGGCUACUGUUCCAAGAAUUGCAUGUCAAGCUACAAGUUCGGGAAAAAAGUGGCUAAAAAGCUACGGGAUGUGCGGACUUUAAUCAGUGAAGGAGUUUUUGAGGUGGUGGCUGACAGAGCUCCAGAGUCUGUAGCAGAUGAAAGACCUACCGAGCGAAAAGUAGUAGGCUUGCAAUCACAACUUGAACAAGUCUGGACGUGUCUUGUGGAAGAAUCAGCGGGAAUCAUUGGCCUAUACGGUAUGGGCGGUGUUGGUAAAACCACACUAUUGACCCAUAUCAACAAUAAAUUUCUCGAGAGUCCAACCAACUUUGAUUGUGUGAUUUGGGUUGUAGUUUCAAAAGACCUGCGACUUGAAAAAAUUCAAGAAGAUAUUGGGAAAAAGAUAGGUUUGGUUGGUGAUUCAUGGAAGAGUAAAAGUGUAGAGGAGAAAGUUGUCGACAUCUUCCGGAGUUUAAGAGAGAAGAGAUUUGUAUUGUUGUUAGAUGAUAUAUGGGAGCGGGUUGAUUUAACAAAGGUGGGCGUUCCACUUCCCGGACCAAAAAAUACUACCUCAAAAGUCGUAUUCACAACCCGUUUCAUCAAUGUUUGUGGUAGCAUGGAAGUUGACAGGAAGUUUCAAGUGGCAUGCUUAUCAGAAAAGGAUGCUUGGGAACUGUUUCGAGAAAAAGUUGGGGAAGAAACUCUUCAGAGUGAUCAUGAUAUCGAUGAGCUAGCCCAAAUUGUGGUCAAAGAGUGUGGUGGUUUGCCACUCGCACUUAUUACUAUUGGUCGAGCUAUGGCCUACAGAAAGAAAGCGGAGCAGUGGAGACGUGCAAUUGAAGAGUUAAGGAGAUCAGCUUCAGAGUUUGCAGGUUUGGGAAAAGAGGUGUAUCCUCUUUUAAAAUUCAGCUAUGAUAGUUUGCAGAAUGAUACAAUUAGAUGUUGUUUCUUGUAUUGUUGUUUAUAUCCUGAAGAUUAUGGCAUUCUUAAAUGGGACUUGAUUGAUUGUUGGAUUGGCGAGGGAUUUUUUGGGGAAUCUGACAGGUCUGGUGCAGAAAGCCAAGGAUAUGACAUUUUGGACACUCUUGUUCGUGCAUGUUUAUUAGAAGAGGUGGAAGAUGAUAAAGUAAAAAUGCAUGACGUUAUUCGUGAUAUGGCUAUAUGGAUAACUUGUGAAAUUGAGAAGGAGAAGAGAAACUUUUUGGUUCGUGCAGGUGCUGGAUUAAAAGAGGCACUGGGUGUUAAAGGAUGGGAAAAUGUGAGAAGAUUGUCAUUGAUGCAAAACCAAAUUGAAACUCUGUCAGAGGUUCCCACAUGCCCUCAUCUCCUCACUUUAUUUCUUGACUUUAAUCAGGAGUUGGAGAUGAUCGCGGAUGGCUUCUUCCAACUUAUGCCUUCUCUCAAAGUUUUGAAGAUGUCAAACUGUUGGAAUUUGAAAUUACCGGUUGGGAUGUCAGAGUUGGGUUCAUCACUAAAAUUUCUCGAUAUUUCAGAAACACCAUAACAGAGUUACCGGAAGAGUUAAAGAAGUUGGUAAAUCUGAAAUGUUUGAAUUUGAGGUGGACACAGCAUUUAAAUAAAAUUCCACGGCAACUAAUAUCAAAUUCUUCAAGGUUACGUGUGUUGAGAAUGUUCGCUACUGGCCGGUUCAAUUUUCAUGAAGCACCAGAAGACAGCGUUUUAUUUGGUGGGGGUGAAGUUUUAGUACAGGAAUUGCUCGGUUUGAAAUAUUUAGAGGUAUUGGAGUUGACCUUGGGAAGUUAUCAUGCUCUCCAAAUUCUUUUGAGCUCAAAUAAGUUAAAAAGUUGUAUUCGAUCUCUUUACCUCGAGUUGACCGGAGAUACAGCGUCAAUUAUUGAUGCUACGGCUUUCGCAGAUCUAAACCACCUCAAUGAAUUAUGUAUUGAUAAUGGUAUUGAGUUGGAAGAGUUGAAGAUUGAUUAUACGGAGAUAGUAAGAAAAAGGUGGGAACCUUUUGUUUUCCGCAGCCUUCACUGUGUUACCAUAUAUAGUUGCGGUAAAUUGAAAGAUUUGACAUUCCUCGUUUUUGCUUCAAACCUCAAGUCUCUUCGGCUACGCAAUUGCUAUGCUAUGGAAGAAAUAAUCAGCGUCGGAAAAUUUGCUGAGACUCCUGAGAUGAUGGGACAUAUAAGCCCUUUUGAAAAUCUCCAAAUGCUUGAUUUACAAGGUUUGCCACAUUUGAAGAGCAUCUUCUGGAAGCCAUUGCCUUUCACUCAUCUGAAAGAAAUGGAGGUACUUAGGUGCGAUCGGCUUGAAAAGCUUCCACUCGAUUCCAACAGGGCAAAGGAGCGUAAAUUUGUUAUUCGUGGAGAAGAAGACUGGUGGAACCGACUUCAAUGGGAGGAUGAAGCCACUCAAAUUGCUUUUCGUUCCUGUUUUAAAAGUGAUGCUUUAUUUAUAUCUUAUUCGUGAAAAGUGAUUUAAUUUCCUGCCAAAAGACGAACGAGAAGAACAUUAGAGUCAAACUAAUGCUCACAUAAAUUUCCCGUAAGAAUAUAUAAUUAGACUGGAAUGCACACCUCUAGAUUGAACAGAAUUAAAGCUGAGAAAAUAUUGAGUAUAGUAGCCCUCUUUACAGAAAAUGACGCGAAAGUUAAUUUAGAAAGAUAUAUUCUUGAUUAAUCCAUUUUCUGAAGUUUUUAUUUUGUAUGGUCAAUUAUACCUUCAUACUAAAAAUUUCUGAAGUUAUAAAUUAGUGCAACUUGACAAUUUUUACUGAUGAUAUCUUCUAUUUUUCCUUUUUUUUUUUUCACUUUCAUAGAAUGGCAGCGGAUCCUGCGUCACCAAUUUGAGAGAAUAUACUGACACUACUUCGAACAGCAAGCAGAAGAAGUAAUAUGUCUACGGCAAAGGCAAUGCAGUCCUCAUUUUGGCUUGAGAUGCAGUAAUCAUCGAAGAGAGUUUCCUUGUGAAACUGGGCAACACAUUGAAUCCCUUCGCCACUGAGAAGGUUGUGGAGGAAGUAAGCUUUCUCUCCAGUGAGGAAGAGGUGGCAUACCUUCCCCAUUUUGUCGAGGACAGGUAGGAAUCUUUUUUCUAAGAGAUUUACUUCGUUCUCUGUAAGAAAUGCUUUGAACUUCAUCCCUCUGUCUCUAUCCUCACUUAUCAGGAGAUAAGUUGAAAGCACUAUGAAGAGAGAGAGAGAGAGAGAGAGAGAGAGAAUUAAGAUAUAUAGACAAGAAAAAUAUUAGACGUUGAUCUUACAAACUAAUACUUCAAGCAGUAUCCUGGAAAGCUAAAAACUGCAAGAUGGCUUGAAAUUUGAAAAGAGCACAUGCUUUUCCUCCUUAACUUGAGAAAAUGUUUAAUAUAGUGCACCUUACAGAAGCAUUUAAGCAAUUAGAACUUUGCACAAAAACAUCAAGAAGACUAAACAAGUCAGAUGCAGUGUAUUUGUCCAAGCACAAAUUGCAUUUUGUCCUCAACUUUAAUAUUUAUUGAUGAGAAUCAAUACAGGUCCCUCAUUUGUUAUAGAAAGCUUUCUUUCUUGUAGUCUCACCAGUUAAUUCACAGGUCUAUAAUCAUCUUGCAAAGUUAAGGGCAUUUCUUUUGAUCUAAAGUCUUUGCAUCACCACCUCAUCACACGCCAAGCCAAUAUUCCAUUUACCUCUACAACAAAAAGUUUUAAUUAAACAAUCCUAAUGCACGCAGCCAAAUAAAAUGCAGUAAGAAUAUUCAACUUAAAAAUCUGAAAGCCAACUUGGUGAAUUUCCUCCUUAGGUGAAGUUCCAUGCUUUACUAUAGUUGACAGAACUCAGCAAAAGCUUCCAUACAACAGAUUUUGAAAAUGAUGAUGCCAACAGAUACUCAUUCAAUCCAUUGAAACUCCAAAGGUUCAUUGUUCAUAGAAGUUUACAGAGUUUUGGUCAUCAAAUAGCUCAGACCUAAUCCCAAACAAAAAACGAGUGAAAAUUAGAUCACGAGCAGCUAAUUGUAAAUUCUAACAACUCUUCAUCUCCUUUGUAAACAAGAAACAAAAUGGAGACACGCAAAAUGAAUAUGGAGAAAAUUUGAACUCAAAUGAAAUGAGGGCACGAAAGCAAACAAAUGGCAUGCACAAAAAAACCAAGCCUCAAUCAAAAACUAAUUAACCAUUAAGAAAAAAAUUGGUCAGAGAAUGAACUCCAAUUCAGGAGUCAAGCAAGAAGCUUUCAUUAUUUCAGAAGCUCCUGUACAAAUUAAUAAGUUAUGCUCUUUGGAAGCAAACCUAAAUUCCAAGAGAAACAGAACCCAAAAAAAUUUGUAAUUAUACGCAAAGGAAGUGAAGCACAGGAUUCUAUCACACAUAGGAAUUGUAUAACAAGAGAUCGAUAUAUCGAAUUAGAAAACUCAAUUCGAAUUUGUGUCAAAAAUCAAAAAUUUGCAAUUAUAGCGUUCUAUUUAGUGGUAAUGAAUUCUUGGUUUGGGAGUUGCUUAGUUUAAAACGUUUAAAUGUAUUAAGCAUCAUCUUGAAAAGUUUUUCUGCCGUCCAAAAACUUAUGAGCUUCCAAAAGUUGCAAAGCUGUACACAAUGCUUGGAGCUUGUAGACUGUGAUGAUCCAAAGUCAUUUGCCUUGGCAGAGUUGAAGCAUCUUGAAAAACUAGGUUUUUCGAGUUGUGGAAUAUUCAUGUAAGUGAAGUAACCGUCACAAUACUAGUGAAAUUGGGAGCUUUAUUCAUGAGUUUGUGGUUUUGAAAAGUACCACAGUUCAACUGGUGAAGGCUCCGUUUUGGGAUUCUUCUUUUUCUAGGCUGCAAUUAGGAUAUGUACAUGAUAGACAAUCUUUUGUUGGUUUAGCAUAUCUUCGCUGAUUUUGUCUUUUAUUCCCCAAUUUUAUAAUUACACACCAUGAAUGUUGGGUGAUUGUAUAGAAAAUUUGUGUUAUAACAAAAACAUUGUGAAGGAGUUUCUGUGCUAAUUGUUAGUGGCUUCUGUUUUAUUGGCAUUGAUUGGGUAGAUUACGUGUUACAGUGAUUCAAUUUGUGUUCCAAACUUUGCUUUAAUUUUCUGUUUUCCCCAACUAUUUAUGUCAAAUUUAAAUCCAGAAGCAUGUACUGAUUUUUUCUUUUUGUAUUAAUCUGUGAAGUUUAUUUGGAAUGGAAGUAACUGGGUCGGGUCUAAUGGAUUAAAUUAUGACAUUGAGGGGAAGGCACUAAAAGGGUUUGCUUGACACAUUUGGUUCUGUGUUUACUCUGCAAGAAAUAACUUUUGCUUAUUGCAAUGCAGGGGGAAAUCCCGAUUUGGCUGGUGAAUUUCUCUGCAACAAACAGGCAAACACCUCAACAUCUUCUGUCCAUACUUCUGCUGGGGAGGCAAGGGGUAAAGAGUCUUCAAAAUCAUCAAAUAGUUACAUCUCUGAGAAUUCAUUUUAUGGAAAUGGAAAAUCUAGAGUUUCUAAUACAAAAUGGCAUCUGGUAUCAGGACGUACCGUUUCAAGUUUUCUUGGUAAAGAUUAUGUUAAACCUGCACAGCCAGCUAAUGGCACUUUUCUGGCAUCAAAGCCAUUGAAGUUGGAUCCAAGGGAGUUUCGCAUUUCUGCACUUUCAGAGAAGAAACUAAACCGAAACAAUCAAAGGAUGACCAUUUGCAGAAGGAUAUGGAAGAUUUUCUUUUUAAAUUGCUAGGAGAAGGGUUCCAGCUGUACAGGGAUGUGAUUCAGGAGGUUCAUGGUAACGUCUUAAAUAUAUUGAUGCCAAUUUAAUACAUAUUGUCCUUUUCAAUGUUCUUUCUUUCUUUCUCCUCUUUUUAUUCUUCUUCUUCUUCUUUUUUCUUUUCAUGUGCAUGUGAUCACUAAUUUGGUAUUAUUCUUGACUUGCAGAUAGUUGUGGAUAUGAAAUGCAAAAAGGUAAGGGCUAUAUCUUCUUGAUGGAGGCCUCUGAUUUUUUAAAUCGCAUUUUCCUUUGUGAUUGAUAUAUCAUACCAAAGUCAAGUCUUAAAUACUGCUGUCAUAUGUUAAGGUUCAACUUCCAUUUUGAUUAACGUCGAUUUGCUACUGCUUCCAAAAGUGAGAAUGAGAUACUUUGGUUAAUUUCAGUAGUUGAACUCAAUAGAAUACUUUAUUUAGAUCUUCAUGGUUCAAAGGCCUGAAAAAGCUUGCCGGUAUUUGCAAAAUGACAUCUGUGCUUUUAUUUAGACUUAUUAUUAAAGACAACAUUUUAUUUCAGCCAAAAAUGUUUGUUUCAAUUAAAGACUUGAACCAUUUUCAUUUAACCUGAUUGUGAUGCUUUACAUUAUGCAUGUUCCUCUCAAUCAAUAAAAGUUGAGGUCAUGAUUUUAUAUUUCUAUUUUGUAACUUGAAAUAAUUGGUCUGCCUGUUUCUGUUGCUUGAUAACAUGAAUUUUUCCUUCUGAAGUUAAUUUGAUCAAUAAAGUAAUUCUUCGGAGAGGAUAUGCCCAUUCUAUAGUCAUUUUCUUAGCUAACAUGUUUUUUCUUCACUCUUCAGAGCAUGUCUAAACUAAUUGAUCGCUCAGCGGAGACUUUGGGUGAGAAGACAAAAUUUCUUGGUAAAUCCUCUGAAAAGGUAUGCAUAAUUCCCGAGUAUUAAAUAAUCAUUGGUCAUAAUUUUUGUACACGACUCUUUUUUUGGAGAUCGUUAAAAGUGGUUGAUGAUCUAUUUUGUAAUAUCAGAGAGGGAUCAUGAAUUCUUUUCUUUUCUGUGGCUAGGCAACACUUUCGAGCCAAGCUAAGGAAAUCUAUUUUAGGUAAUGUGAAAACCAGUUGUAGGAUGUAAUAGUUUAUUAUGCCCUGACAAUAACUUUUUGUAUAAUUGUCAGUUUAAUGAAUACAAGAGGAACUCUGUUGGCAAGUUCAUCCAUGAUAGAUGCUAAAAUUAUUUAUGCAUACCAGUUGCCUUAACUAAUUUUUCUCAACACUGGUAUUGAACAGGAAAAUGAAUAUGCAAUUUGUAUAUUGUGCCAUUGUGGAGAAUUUGGAUAUUCUUAUUUAAGUAACAAGGAGAGUAUUUGCCUCAUCUUUAAACAAUGAAUCUUUGAGAAAUGAGGAGUGGGUGAUUGGCAGUGUCUUCAUGUAAAUGUUCAUUUACUUGUAUUUUGAACUAUUAUGAGAAUCUUUGUAUGCCAAAUUAGUAAUACAAAUGUUCAGAUGAUUUUUCCUGUUGAUCAUGCGUGUGUAUCUGCACACAACCAUUGUGUACCACUUUAUUCUGAUGCACAAAUAUCUGUAGUUUAGAAGAAAAGAAAUAAUAAUCAUAUAUUAUUGCUUGGUUCAUGAUUAUUAAAUGAUUAUGGCUUUAGAAAAUCCACAAAUCCUUUGUGUUCAUUUAUGAAUGUGCGAAGUUCGCUAUAUCUUAGAUUACCUUCUUCCAAGAUAACAAGUUCAUAUAUUUUUUUUAAUCCUUUUUCAUCACAGUUGAAUUUCAAGUGUAAGUUUUGUUAUUAAUAGCUGGUUUCCUGUUAUUAUGAUUUCAUAAACAAUGAGAGGAUAUGUGCUCUACUUUUGGAGGGCCUCCACAUAAAAGAAAAUUGCAACAAUUGAAUUCUUCUGGAGGGUAUGGUAUUUAAUUUAUUUUCUCAGCUUGUUGUAAGACUAAUAUAUUUCCUUCAGUACGCACGGCAUGGUGGGAAGGGUUUUUAUUGAAAGAAUUAUGAUAUUUCUUAGACUUUGUUUUGGAAGGGGGUGGAGGGAUUUCUCAUCCAUAUAUGGUUACUUGAUUAGCUUUUGACUGUAUUGUCUCCGUCGUGCAAAGGAAAAUCCAAAUACUAACGAAGGGGAAUUGGUUAGGCACCCAAAGGACAGAAAUGAAUUACGGAAGGAAGUUUUUGCUGCUUUAUUUAGUGCUGCUGAGAAAUCUGAUGAAUUUCCUGAAAUUACGGUGAAGACGGAGUGGAGGUCCAACGCAUUAGGAAAGGUGGUGAGAGAACCGCCAGAGGAAUUAGUACCAGAAUACAAGGCUAAUGUGGUGCACUGGCAGCAAGAUGACCAGACCUGUAUGUGCUCUUAUAUUAACUAUAUUGGCUGGAUUUGUGAGUGUGUACAUUUUUGUGUGUAUACUCACUUUUGUAUUUAUGCAUAUUCACGUGUGUAGGAUUCUCGAUUUCUGCCACUUACUGGAGAACUAGUGGAAAGCUUUAUACUGAUAUAUGUGCUAUAUAACUAAUGGAAACUACAAUAUGAAUAUUUUCUCUCACCUGGAGAGCAGUGUAACUGAUAUAAUUUGUGGCUCUGGAAUACUGAAGAUUCUGCAAUAACUAAUGGAAAAUAUGAUAUGAAUAUUUUUUCUCACCUGGAGAACUUUGUAACAGAUACAUUUUGUGCUGGAAUGUCUAAAGAAUGCUUCAGUUUAGAUCAAAUAUCUUUUAGUUAGAAAAGAUAAAAUUCUCUGAAUCUGAAAGACUGAAACAUUUUGCAUAUUUCGUGAAAGGCAAGUAUCUGUAGAUACUAGCUCAUGCAUUGAGGUAAUAUCAAUGUUAAAGAAAAACAGCAAUAAUUUAUUAUACAGAAUUAGGUUCACUUGCUUUAAAUGCUGGUCUGAUCAACCAUAUCAACCUGUAAUGGUCCUGCAGAAAUAUAUAUACGGGGAGAAACUAGCUAAUUUUCCUUUCACUUAUGGGUUUGGUCUUUUUUUCCCCAAUUUUUCAGCUUUCCUUCUCCUGAAGUAUGUUAACAAUUGCAGAUAAUGGCGAAGAGGACCGCUUCCAGGCUACCGGCAAAAACUUUGUGAAAGCUUUGGAGUUAAACAGGGAAUUCACUUACUGCUAAGGACAAUUGGUGGCGAGCUAUUUCAUUCAUUUUAUGUCCAUACAUCUAUUUAAUUAUUAAAGAUAAUGUACGCAUUUGUAAAUUUCAGAUUGCGUGUCUCUGAAAAUAACAAUAUUUAAAAUGUCUCUUAAAUUAUUAUAAAUUUUAAUUUACUCUCGAUUUAAAAUGGAACAUGUUGGUGAAAUAUUUUUUCUUCUUAAUAAAAUUGAAAUAAAUUAUGUUAGCAGUAGUUUGAAAUAUUUUAAAGAUGAUUAUUUUAUAAGGGAGUAAUAUGAAAUGAAAUUUACUUUUCAUGCGUGAAAUGUUGAAAAAGGACAAAGCAAGUGUCCCUGCUUUUAUUUUAUUUCAAAGUGGAGUCAUCUCACAUACUUUAGCUCUAUCAUUAGGAGCCGGCUAAGUUACGUUAAACGUAACUUACGCCAGGCACAACAACAGUGACAAGUCCCAUCACUAGCACUGUUGCUGUGUUUGGCGUAAGUUACGUUUAACGUAACUUAGCCAAAGCCCUAUCAUUAAUAUAUAUUUAAAUUUAACACAUGCAUGUGGGUUACUUUUCCGUAAGUUCCUUAAUAUAUAUUUAACACAAAUCAUGGAAGAGAUGGGAGUAUAUCAAGAUGAUCAAAGCAUGAAACAAAAAUAUUUAAGAAGUAAAACACUGAAAAUGGAGAAGAGAUGCAAGCAAAAGAUAUUCUAAAGAAAAGCAAUCUAUCCCCUUUCGAGGGUAAACUUACCAGGUUUAAGAAAAGUACAUGCUUUGGAUUGGUAGUUGCAGCCUUGCAGGAUAAUUGUUUUUGCCACUAUAUUAGUUGGAGGAGUUGAACCCAGUGAAGAAUGUUAUGGAAGAGCAAAUGAUAUUUCUGAUAGACUCUAUUUGAUUAUGUAGCCUGAAUAGAUGUCUUGUUGAAAGAUAUAUCAGUGCAUUAGUUCAUCCUUGUCUGUCAAUGUGUUUUUAAUGGUUUUUCCAAUUGUUUAUUGCUAUAGAUUGAUUGUAAAUUGAUGUGAACUUAAUGUUGAAAUAUUUUCUCUUUAGUGAAAUGAAAGUUAAACAUUCAAUAUUAGAUUAUUCAAGGUCCACAUAGUAUGUGUUCCGUUGUGUUGUCUGUAAUUUUGCAUUUAAAUAAAUUUGAGUGCUGCCGUUUCGCUCCCACAAUCUCUCGCCUUUUUUUAAUUUUAAAAAUUAAAAUAUUAAUAAAAAACAAUAAAGAAAAUCGAAUCCUUUAUGUCAUUCCAUCUUUACAACUCUCUCUCACAAACUCCAUCUAACAGACUUCUCUCUUACUAUCUCGGUCGAACAAGACCAGUGACAAUGAUGACACGACCGCCGACGAUGAGAUGGUCAUCGCUAAAGAAUCGGGCCGUGUAUUUUACAAUUUCUUGGUUUGUGUUGGUGUAAGGAUUUGCAGGAGCAAUUACUGCCUAGCCAAGCCCUUGAAACUUUGGUCAAAAUUAUUGUUAUUAUUACUUUUAGAGGAAAAACUUUUAUUAAAACCUCAUUAACACAAUUCUUAAUUAAAAUUAUAAGUUUGUGUUGGUGUAAGGAUUUGCAGGAGCAAUUACUGCCUAGCCAAGUGUCAAAAGCACAAAAUAAAUCAAGAGAAAGUAGACAUGAAUUAGGAUCCAAUGAAAUUUAAAUCCCGGACAAAAGAAAUAAUCAUGCAGAUUAUCAAGAUUUCAAUAAGGGAUAUUGAUAUCCUAUUUUGAUUAAUAAUAUCCUUUUACUGUGUUAACUCAAAAAAUAUGUAUAUUCUAAUAUUUUACAAUAAAUAGAAAUCUAAUAUUAAAAUAAAUGUGAUAUAUAUAUAUAUAUAUAUAUAUAUAUAUAUAUAUAUAUAUAUAUAUAUAUAUAUAUAUAUAUAUAUAUAUAUAUUAAAUAAUUUAAAUAUAAAAAAUAUUUUAAUGUUUUACAAUCUACUACACAUAUUUUAUUAAGUUAAUAUAAUUUUUCAAAUAAAUAGGGACAUAAUAUUAAAAUAAAUUUAUAAAAAUUUAAAUUAUUUUGAAUUUAAAAUAAUUUUAAUAUUAUUAAUAUGUUAGAUAUGUUUGAUUAAUUAUAAAAAUUAUUUAAGCAAAUUUUUUUAAUAUUUUCAGUAGAUAUAAAUAUAUUACUUACAUUUUGAUUAUUUAACUAUUAUUAUUCUACAAUUAUUUAUAUAAUGUUUGCACUUAUUAGAAUAUAUUUAAAGUCAAAUCUUUUGCACUUCUACCUAGCUAGAAUUAUUGCACGCAGAGAAAUAAGCAUAUAUGCUUUAUAACUUUAGAAAUCGAAUUAUCUAUACAAAUUGAUUUUAGCUGGAAAAAAAGUGAGCUGAAUGAUAUAGGCGAUUAGUGUGGUAAUAUUUCAUAGAGUUAGACUAUUGAAUUUGGCACCCCUCCAAUCUUCUCAUGAUUACCUUUUUGAGUUAUUAAUACACUUCUAAUUUUUCGUUUAAUUUUUUUUAUUGUUAUACUCAAAGUAGUAUUGUGAUAUUUUAUAUUUCUUUUGCAAUCUUAUUAUUAUUUUACACAAAAAUUAAAAAGUUUUCUAGGUGAUGAACUUUUGAGUUUUGAACAUUAAUCAUUGGCUUAAAUUUCAUAUAUUUUACAUUAUAAUUUGAAAUUAAGUACGAAAAUAUUUAAUAAAUUAUGAAAAGAUUAACAUAUUAUUCUAAAUUGAUACAACUUAUUUUAGUUAAAUAAAAAGUAACAGGUAAAAAAAAAAAGGAUUGGUUAUGAAAUUUGUUGGAAAAAAAUAUGUGUGUGUUUAAUUUUUAUUUGUCCUUAAUUGUAAUUUAUUUGAAGUGAGGUUUUAUAAGGAUAAUGAAGGGGUGCCAUAGUUUCACUCUAUUUCAUAUGGAGAGAGAAGUAAAAGGUACACCUGAGGUUAAUGGAAAGGACUUCGAAAGUUUCUUUUGAUUAUAAUACUGUUUGUUCUAAUUAACUUAAAAAAUUUUACUUUAAUAUUUUAUAAUAAAUUAAAUUUUAAUCUUAAAAUAAGUAUAAUCAUAUAUUUUAAAAUAAUCUUAAAAUAAAUACAAUCAUAUAUUUUAAAAUAAUCUUAAAAUAAAUACAAUCAUAUAUUUUAAAAUAAUCUUUAUAUUUAAAAUUUAUUUAUUUGUACAUAUUUUAUAUAAAUUUUAUAAUAAAUAUAACACAUACUAUUAAAAUAAUAUAUAAAAAAUUAAAGUAUUUUGAAUAUUAUAUAAAAUAACUUUAAGAUUCUUAAUAUGUAAGAUAUAUUUUAUUAAUUUAAAAUUCUAUUUAAAAUUUUAUUAAUUUAAAAUUCUAUUUAACCCAAAGAUUUAUUUAAGAUAAAUUAAUAAUCAUAUUUUUUAAAUCAUUUCAAAUAUUAAAAAAUAUUUUGAUAUUACUAGUCUAUUAAAUAGAUUAAAUAUUUUUAUUAUUUUGUACUAAUCAAAAGUUACAGCUCGAAUGAUAUUAUGAGAAAACAGAAUUUUUAUGUCUUUAUUAAAAAUUUGGGUUUGUAUAAUUAUUUUUUCAAAUGUUAGGGGCAUAGCUGUCUUUUUACUUUUAUAUAUGUGAACCGCGGUGGUGAAAAAGUGUGAUUUAAUAUUUGUUAUUUAAAUAAUAUCUGAAUUAAAGAUGUACAGAGAAGAAAUUUCGGUGGGCAUUUUAGUCUUUUAACGAUUAUCAUGAUUAGGGAUUAGGUCCUGCUCUUGAAACGUUGGUCAGAAAAGUUCUAAAAUGCGUACAUUAUCUUUACUUUAAAAAAGUUAUUUUAUUUUAUUACAAAUUAAUGCCGACAAGAAAAAGCAAGAUCUUUAAAAUUCCACAAACGUAAUAUUCCGCAAAAGAUUAUUGCACACAGAGAAAUAAACAUAUAUACUUUAUAACUUUAGCAAUCGAUUCUUUUAGAGCUGGAAACAGAGAUGAUGAUUAUCAUAAAGAUGAAGAAAAGGGCAAAAAAAUAUUAAUGAUUAACGAAAUCUCUAUCCAAAUUGAUUUUAGCAGGAAAAAAGUGAGCUAAAUGAUGUAGACGAUUAGUGGUAAUAUUUCAUAGAGUUAGACUAUUGGCACCCUUCCAAUCUUCUCACGAAUCCUCUUUUUGAGUUAUAUUUAUUUUAUUUUUAAAAUAUCUUUUUUCUCUUUUACUACACUUCUAAUUUUUCAUUUAAUUUUUUUAUUGUUAAACUCAAAGUAGUAUUGUGAUAUUUUUAAUUUCUUUUGCAAUCUUAUUAUUACUCUGCAUAUAAAUUAAAAAGUUUUUUAGGUGAUGAAUUUUUGAAUGUUAAUCAUUAGCUUAAAUUUCACAUAUUUUACAUUACAAUUUGAAAUUUAAUAUGAAAAUAUUUAAUCAAUAAGAAUUAUGAAAAGAUUAAUAAAUUAUUCUAAAUUUAUACAACUUAUUUUAGUUAGAUCAGAAGUAGCAGGUUAACAAAAGAAAGGAUUGGUUAUGAAAUUUGUUGGAAAAAAAUCUAUGUGUGUUUAAUUUUUAUUCGCUGUUAACUCUAAUUAAGUAGGUUAAAUAUUUUUGUUAUUUUUUACUUAUCAAAAAAUUUAAGAUCAAUAUUUUUAGUUACCAUUCGAAGGAUAUUAUGACAAAAACAGAAUUUUCACGUCUUUGUUAAAAAUUUGGGGGUUUGUAUAACUAUUUUUUCAAAUGUUAGGGGCAUAUCUGUCUUUUUACUCUAUAUAUAUAAACCAUGGUGGUGAAAAAGCGUGAUUUAAUGUUAUUUAUUUAAAUAAUAUCUCAAUUAAAAAUGUAAGGAGAAGAAAUUUCGGUGGGCAUUUUAGUCUUUUAACGAUUAUCAUGUUUAGGCCCUGGUCUUGAAACGUUGGUCAGAAAAGUUCUAAAAUGCGUUCAUUUGUCUUUACGCCAACAAUAAAAAGCAAGAUCUUAAUGUUCCACAAAAGCAAAUCGUAAUAUUCCGCAAUGGAGUUAGAUCCGCAAAAGCAAACAAAUUCUUUUAUUAAACUACAAAUUAAAGUGGAAUCGUUUACUAAACAUCAAAUUAAAGUUCAAAUAUUUAAAUAGUAGUGCGUUAGACGAUUAGAGACUCUUAUUAAAGGCAAGUAUAAAGUAGUGAAGAAUCGAAUAUUUCUAUUGUCUAGUCUUUUUUUUUUUAAAUUUUUCUUCUAUUACUUUUCAAAAUAGUUUUUGGUGAUUAUAAUCGGGUUAUUAUUCAGAGUUAUUGUUAUCUUCCGGGGCAGUUUCUGUUCAUCGAAUUCGUUAAUAAAAUUUUAAAACUCUUAUUGAAAGAAUGUUUUUCCGUUAUCUUUUUUAUAAUCUAAUUUUAAGUGUAAGAAGUAGUCAUUUUAGAAUUUGGGUCUUGAAUCGAAUUUCAAUGCAUGAAUUAAUAUUUAAAAAAAAUUUACUACAUGCAGUUUAGGUUACAAACUAUUUUUUGCAAAGUUGACUAUGAAAUUGGAGAAAUUAAGUAAUUUAUAAUGUUUGCAAAGAAAGAGACUAACAUACUUCCAAUUACACUAUAUCUCAAUUAUCAUAAUGUUAAGAUUAAACUAACUUAAAAUAAAAUUUAUUUAAAAAGUUUAUCAAACGCAGUCUAAUUUUAUUAACUUGAAGAGAUAAUAGUUAUAGAAAUUAUUAUUCUAACUUGAUUAGUACAAGUGGUAUAAAGGUUAAGUGUGCACUAAAUCUAUUUAAAUUUUUUUCCAGUAUAACUAACAGAGGUCAUUACUAGAAUUAUAUUACUAGUCUAUUAGAUAGAAAAAAUUAUUUAUAUUGUUUUAUAUUUAUUAAAAAAAUUUAAAGUCAAUCUUUUUAAUUACUAUUUAAAGGAUAUUAUAAUUAAAAAAAUUUUAAUGUCUUCAUUAAAAAUUUAAAAAUUUAUAUGACCGUUAUCUAAAUAUUUAAAGUGUAACUGUCAUUUUCUCAUAUAUAUAUAAUUUCAUCUAACCCCUUAUACUUUAUGUUAUUUAUAUUUUAUUCAUGAAUAUUAUAAAUUUUUUGAAAUAUAAAAUUUCAUUUAACCCCUUAUACUCAAUUUUAUUUUAUUAAAACCCUAGAGUAUGAAUUCGCCCCUAUAAUAUUAAAUUCUCAAAAUAACCUCUAUUUAAUUAAAAAAUAUAAUUAUUGUUAAAUGAAUUAUAAUUAUUAUUAUUAUGUUAUUAUAAUCAUAAAAAGCGAGAUCAUAUUCCACAAAAGCAUAAGUGACAAAACAACCAACUGGAUUCUUUUAUUAAUCAACAAAUUGUAUAGUCUUUUUCAAAUUGUUAUAAAUUGGUGGCCCCUACAAUCCUCAAUAAUUGUACCGAUAUUCACAAGUUGGUGGCCCCUACAAUUCUGUUCCGAUAAUUUAACUGUGCAAGUGCUCAUUCACAAUCUUCCAGGUCAUGCUCUUAAUAAUUGUUUUUUCUUUUCUGCACUCCCUUUCAUGCUCUUAAUAAUUGAAGAGCAUACUUUUCAAAUGUGAAGCCGCAUCUAAUGUCGCUAAUUUAAUUUGGGAUUAAAUUACGGGACUAUUAUAUUGCAGUGUGCACUAAUUUUUAUGUUUAUCUAAACUCUUCAAAUUUAAAACAUAUUAUGGCAUAAAUAAGAAUGUAACAAUAACAAAAGAGUAAGAAAGUGUAGAGAAAAUCUUGCAGAAAUAUAAAUAAUAUUUAUUUUUAAAAUAAUAUUAAUAUUUAAAAUAAUUUUUAAUAUUUUAUGGUCCAUUAGAUAUAUUUUAUUAUAUUAAAAUAAAUUUUAUAAUAAAUAAAAACAUACUAUUAAAAUGAAUAUAUAGAAAAUUUAGAGUAUUUUAAGUAUUAUAUAAAAUAAUUUUAAUAAAAUAUGUGAGAUAUUCAUAUUUUAUUAAUUUAAGAUACCAUUUAACCUAAAGAUUUAUUUAUGAUAAAUUAAUAAUUAUAUUUUUGAAAUUACUUCAAAUAUUAAAAAAAAUUAAUAUUACUAAUAUAUUAGAUAGAUUAAAUUAUAUAUAUUAUUUUUACUUAUUAAAAAAAUUUUAAAAUUAUUUUUAAUUACUAUUCAAAAAACAUAUUCAAAAAACAUAAUGAUAAAAAAAUCUUAACAUCUUUAUUAAAAAAUUAAAAACUUAUAUGAUAAAUUCUCUAAAUAUUUACGGUAUAUGUGAACCACGGUGGAGAAGCUUUAUUUAAUAUUAUUGAUUUAAAUAAUAUGUCAAUUAAAAAUGUACAGAGAAGAAAUUUCGGUGGGUAUUUUAGUCUUUUAAGCAAUUAUCAUGAUCAGAUCAGCCUUUAGCCUUCAAACGUCGGUCAUAAAAGUUUUAAAAUUAAUGCUAAAUUGUUUUUCACUUUUAACGUUGGUGGCCUUGAAAUUGCUUGUAUUUUAUUAAAAAUUAAUGCUAACAAGAAAAAGCUAGGUCAUAUUCCACAAAAUCAAAAGUGACAAAACAACCAGCUGGUUUCUUUUACUAAACUACAAAUUAAAAUAAAUUUUUUCGAUAAAUUACAAAUUAAAGUGGAUUCUUUUGAAUACAAAUAGGACAGACGAUUAGGCUCUUUUUAUUAGAGGCAAGUAAAAACUAGUCAAGAAUCGAACAGUCUUUUUCCAAUUCUUGUUUUAUUAUUUUUCAAAACUAGUUUUUGGUAAUUACAACCGGGUCAUUAAUCAUUAUUCAGAGUUACUGUUAGUCUAUUAUCUUCGGGGGCAGUGGGUAAAAGAUAAUUACUAACUGUUUUUCCUUCAAAAGUUAGCGGCUCAUGUUUGCAAGUGUGAAUGUGCGAUGCUCUUUUCUUAAAGGCCAUUACAGUGGGGCCCGAAUCAGACGUGCCUAAAUCUUUUUAAAAUUUUUGCCGUAUAACGAACAGAGGUCAUUACUAAAAUUUCUCUUCCACAGCCUACAGCAGCUUCAGUUUAUCAAACUCCAUCAAUUUUCUUUCUUAACAAAAUUCCAAAGAUGUGUAGCAUUUUUCAGAUCACAUGCGACGGUGCUCUUUUCAAUCGUUGCUUGGAUUGCUUUCUUGGAAAAGCAGCAUACAUACGUAACCUCCAAGAUAAUCUUGUAGCCUUGGAGACUGAAUUGGGAAAUCUAAUCGCAAUAAAGAACGAUCUGAUGAGGAGGGUUGACGAUGAUGAACGGAAACAAAUGAUAAGGCUGGAAAGAGUGCAACGGUGGAUUUCGAGGGUGGAUGCUGUUAAAACUGAAGCUGAUCAAUUUAUAGGAGACCGCUCUCAAGAAAUUGAAAAAUUAUGUGUUGGAGGCUACUGUUCCAAGAACUGCAGGUCAAGCUACAAGUUCGGAAAACAAGUGGCUAAAAAGCUACAAGAUGUGAAGACUUUAAUCGCCGAGGGAGUUUUUGAGGCGGUGGCUACUGAGGUGGUGGCUGAGAGAGCUCCGGAACCUGUAGCAGAUAAAAGACCCAUUGAGCCAACAAUAGUAGGCUUGCAAUCACAGCUUGAACAAGUUUGGAGAUGUCUUGUAGAAGAAUCAGUGGGAAUCAUUGGCCUAUAUGGUAUGGGUGGUGUUGGUAAAACCACACUAUUGACCCGUAUCAACAAUAAAUUUCUUGAGAGUCAAAACAACUUUGAUUGUGUGAUUUGGGUCGUAGUUUCAAAAGACCUGCGGCUUGAAAAAAUUCAAGACGAUAUUGGGAAGAAGAUAGGUCUGUCUGAUGAUUCAUGGAAGAAUAAAAGUUUUGAAGAGAAAGCUGUGGACAUCCUGCGGAGAUUAGGAGAGAAGAGAUUUGUAUUGUUGUUAGAUGAUUUAUGGGAGCGGGUUGAUUUAACAAAAGUGGGCGUUCCACUUCCCAGCGCACAAAAUACUACCUCAAAAGUCGUAUUCACAACCCGUUCCAUUGGUGUUUGUGGCAGCAUGAGAGCUAGGCCGGUUAAAGUGGCAUGCCUAUCAGAAAAGCAAGCUUGGGAACUGUUCCGCGAAAAUGUUGGGGAAGAAACUCUUGAGAGUGAUCAUGAGAUCGUUGAGCUAGCCCAAACUGUGGCCAAAGAGUGUGGUGGUUUGCCACUCGCACUUAUUACUAUUGGUCGAGCUAUGGCCUUCAAAAAGACAGCCGAGGAGUGGAGUCAUGCAAUUGAUGUGCUAAGAACAUCAGCUUCUGAGUUUGCAGGUUUGGGAGAGAAGGUGUAUCGUCUUUUAAAGUUUAGCUAUGAUAGUUUGCAGAAUGAGACCAUUAGAUCUUGUUUCUUAUAUUGUUGUUUAUAUCCCGAGGAUUAUGGCAUUCUUAAAUGGGACUUGAUUGAUUGUUGGAUUGGUGAGGGAUUCUUGGAGGAAUCUGACAGGUUUAGUGCAGAAAACCAAGGAUACUACAUUGUGGGCACUCUUGUUCAUGCGUGUUUGCUAGAAGAGAUGGAAGAUGAUAAAGUAAAAAUGCAUGACGUUGUUCGUGAUAUGGCUUUAUGGAUAGCUUGUGAAAUUGAGAAGGAGAAGAGAAACUUUUUGGUUUGUGCAGGUGCUCGAUUAGAAGAGGCACCGGGUGUUAAAGAAUGGGAAAAUGUGAGAAGAUUGUCAUUGAUGCAAAACCAAAUUGAAACUGUGUCAGAGAUUCCCGCAUGCCCUCAUCUCCAUACUCUAUUUCUUGCCUCUAAUAGGAAUUUCAGGAUGAUCACGGAUGGCUUCUUUCAAUUUAUGCCUUCUCUCAAAGUUUUGAAGAUGUCACGCUGUGGGCAAUUCGAAGGUUUUCAAUUACCUGUUGGGAUGUCAGAGUUGGGUUCAUCACUAGAACUUCUUGAUAUUUCACAUACCACCAUAAGAGAGUUACCCGAAGAGUUAAAGUUGCUGGUAAAUCUGAAAUGUUUGAAUUUGAGGUGGACAGGUGCGUUAAUUAGAAUUCCACGGGGACUAAUAUCAAAAUUUUCAAGGUUACGUGUGUUGAGAAUGUUGGGUACUGGCGGGUUCAUUUUUUAUGAAGCACCAGAAGACAGCGUUUUAUUUGGUGGGGGUGAAGUUUUGAUACAGGAAUUGCUCGGUUUGAAAUAUUUAGAGGUAUUGGAGUUGACCUUGGGAAGUUAUCAUGCUCUCCAAAUUGUUUUGAGCUCAAAUAAGUUAAAAAGUUGUAUUCGAUCUCUUUACCUCUAUUUGACCGGAGAUAAAAAGUCGAUUAUUGAUGCUACGGCUUUCACAGACCUAAACCACCUCAAUGAAUUAUGGAUUGAUAAUGGAAUUGAGUUGGAAGAAUUGAAGAUUGAUUAUACGGAGAUAGUACGAAAAAGGCGGGAACCUUUUGUUUUCCACAGCCUUCACCUUGUUACGAUAUAUAGUUGCCAUAAAUUGAAAGAUUCGACAUUCCUCGCUUUUGCUCCAAACCUCAAGUCUCUUUCGCUAUUCAAAUGCCGUGCUAUGGAAGAAAUAAUCAGCGUCGGAAAAAUUGCUGAGAAUCCUGAGAUGAUGGGACAUAUAAGCCCUUUUGAAAAUCUCAAAAGUCUUGAUCUAUCAUAUUUGCCGGAGUUGAAGAGCAUUUUCUGGAAGCCAUUGCCUUUCACUCAUCUCAAAGAAAUGGGGGUAAGAGCAUGUGAUCAGCUUAGAAAGCUUCCACUCGAUUCCAACAGUGCAAAAGAGCGUAAAUUUGUAAUUCGUGGAGAAGAAGACUGGUGGAACCGACUUCAAUGGGAGGAUGAAGCCACUCAAAUUGCUUUUCGUUCCUGUUUCCAACCUGAUUCCUGAGCGGUGGUCGCAAAAUUUGAUUUCUGGUGAGUGCGUUUGUCUUUUAAAAGAAGAAUUUAAAAGAAAUUUAUUCUUGACGUUUUCUUCACUGUUUUUAUUUCAGUCUCUCUCUCUCUCUUUUUGUCUUCUGCUAAUCACAAUUAAAUGUUGAAUUAAUGGAAUUAAUGCUUCAUAAAUUUGCCGGCACUGCCAUUACUUUUUUUUUUUUAAUACAAAUUGAUACUUUAUUUAUAUCUUCUUAGCGAUUUAAUUUCCUGUCAAUUGACGAACGAGAAGAACAUAUGACUUAAACCAAUGCUCGCAUAAACUUGCUGUAAAAAGAUAUAAUCUCACUGAAAUGCACACGCCUAGAAUGAAAAGAAUUAAAAUAGGGAAAAUAUUAAGUAUAUUAGCCCUCUUUACCGAAAAUCAAAUGACAAUAAAUUUUUUGAAGUUUUGAUUUUCUAUGGUCAAUUCCACCUUUUGCAAUUUCUUCUGUUCUAACAAAAACCAAUUUCUUCUGUUCUAACAAAAACCAAUUUCUUUGUUCAAGUAUUUUCGUUUGGGUAUUAAUAAUUCUCCACCGAAAGAGUGAACUCUUGCUCAAGGGAUCUCUAAUCAAUAGCCGGAAGGGCGCCGAGACCUGAUCGGACCUAGGCCCAAGUUUGGUCUUAAACCCUGGGCUUGAGCCUGGCAAUUAAAUUAAAACAUUAAUUGAUUUCUUGAUUGAAUUGUCGUGUAAUUGAUUUAUGGGGGAUGACACAUCAACAUACUUGAAAAUACACUAAUCUCAGCAUCAUCGGUUAAUAACUUUUAGAUUUAUGGGUAAUCAAUAGUUAAGAUUAGUUAUCAUUAAUACUAAAUAAUUUUUACUUUUUUUUGUCUCUUCUAGAGGAUCUUCUAGAAAAAUGCAUCCACAAUUAAAUUUAAUACUUUACAUAAUAAACAAAGCAUAAAUGUUAAAUUUAAGAAACUGCAUUGUAUUUCAGCUGAAGUUGACUUUAAUAUUUAGGGUAGAAAAAAUUAAAUCCUUAAUGUGUUUAAUUUGUAUCACUUGUGUCAUUAAGAUUUUCUAGUCACCCUAACCAAUUACAUCUCAACCCACUUUUUUUUGGAUGAUUUUAUUUUUACACUAUUAUUUUCAACAUUUUUUUUCCUUUUAACACCAACAUUAGUGUAUGUUACGUAACAUAAUUCAUAUUUGGAUAAUUUGAAAUUUGUUUGUGUUUUAUCUCAAAAUAGAGCUUCAAUCAAUUUGUACCUCAUAAAUUCACAAUAUCUAUGAGGGCUAAUAAGACCAAACUCUGGCAUAUUGUCAAAUGUGCUUAUCCUUUUGCUUGACAUGUCAUUUUAAAAUUGUCAUUCAAUGCCAAAAAAUCACAUCAACUAAUGGCCGACUACUUUAAUUUGAAAGCAUGCAUGCGAUCGCCAAUAAUUAUAACUUAAUUGUUAUUUUGAAAUUUUUUUCUUUAUAAUUUUUAAGUUUAAUACUACUACAUGUGCAGCACAUAAGUUGGAAAAUAUAACAUAAAAUUUGAAAAAUGUGUAGCUUUCGUUCCUUUUUUUUCUUAAAAAUGGGAAAAAAGAAUGUAGUUUUGUUUAAAUUACUGUUGUGAUUACAAUUAUUAUUUUAUUGAUUAAUUGGCAGAGAAUCGUAAUGGUUUUGCAUGGUUGUUAAAACAUUGGAAAAUCCACUACAUCAUCCGUUAAUAACUUUCAGAUUUAUGAUUAAUCAAUAGUUGAGAUUUGUUAUCAUUAAUGCUAAAUAUUUUUUUAAUAUUUUCUCUCUCUCUUAGAGGAUCAUCCAAAGUAAAAAUUUAAUAUUAUAAAUAGUAAACAAAGUAUCAACGUUAAAUCGAAGAAACUGCAUUGCAUUUCAACUGAAGCUAACUUUAAUAUUUAAUGGAGAAAAGUAAUUAAGUCCUUAAUGUGCUUUAUUUACCCAUAUAUAUGGCUAAUUUUUUAAGAUAAAGGGGAAGGAUGAUGCUCAAAAAUAUAAAUUAUAGAAUUAGUUGAACUCUCAAGUAAGUUUAAAGUUCAUUAUUUUUAAUUACAUAUUUAUAAUUUAUUUUAUUUCGUAUUAAUCUAUAGAUCUAAAUCCACUUUGGAUUCAUAUACAUAUAUAGACAUAAUGUGUAUGUUAAUCUAUAGGUCUAAAUUCACUUUAGGUCUAUAUGGGUAUUUUGACAAAUGUACUCCAAUCAUGCAUAUUGGUAAAUUCUAACUACUAUAUUGGUAUGUCAAUAUUAUCUCUAAUUGCCCUAUACAUUCAGAAAUAAUCUAGAUAUACAAAUUAACAUAAAAUAAAAAUAAUUGGUAGAAAAUACAAAUUAUAAACAUGUAAUUAAAAAUGAUAAACUUUAAAUUUACUUAAGAGAGUAAUUAAUUUCAUAGUUAAAAUCUUUAAAUUUUACCCCUCAUCUUAACUUAAGAAAAUUAAUCACUUAUUUUAUUUAACAAAGAAGAGAAUUUUUUUUCCCCCUAUAUUUUCCAAUUAUUUCUCUCCCUCUCGCUCCCGUAAGUUAUACAACUUGAAGUGAAAUAUGAGUGGUCUGAUUCUAGCUUAAAUAAUUUAUUGUGACAUGCUAUCUAAGGACAAUACAUUACCUAGCUCUACAUAUUUUAUUUAACCUCUGGCUCACCCUGUGCAAACUUGCCUUUCCCCUGCAAGACAAGAUUAAUCAAUGUAUCAAGUCUCAAAUUCAAUUUGGAAUAUGACCAUCGUACGCUCUUGUUCUUCCCUCUUUACGAGUGCAUUCCCCCAACCUCAAGCUCCCUCUCUCGUCUUCAAUGUCACUGCUUAUAUCCUUAUGUUGUUCUAGUUUGAAAUAGUGGCUUCCACUAUUUCAGGGCCCCCAAAAAUCCAGAAACAUACUAUUCAUCACGAUGACAAAAUUUUUGGCAGGCAGGUGCUUCCUGACUUUCACACGGUAAUUCUCAAAUUCUGAUUUCACCAUAUUUUAAUUACUGAUUAGCAUAUAUUCAAGUGCUCUCCAUUAUAAUAGAAGCCGCCGCCUCACUCGUGAUUCCAAACUUUAUCUUUUUGCCUUUUUUAAAUUAAUGCAAGUAGCCGCUGUCCUUUUUAUUAAUUAAUUAGUUCGGCCGCCCACAUUUCUUUUCCUAAUGUCUUCUACUGUCGAUUUUCUUUUAUUUUCUCUUUAUUCUUAAAAUAUACUUAUAAUAAUAAAAUAUAAAAAUAAAAAUUAACAUAUCAAAAUAUAAUUUAAUAGAAAAUUAAGAUAAAAAAUAAAAAAAUUAUGAGCAUAUCAAUCAAUAAAUGAAAAAUAAUAAUUUUUAUUUUUAUUAAAUAUAUAUUUUUUAAAAUUAAUCAAUUAUCUGAAUAAAUAAAAUCAUUUAAAAAUAAAUAAAUAAAUUAUUCUUAAAAAAAAAAAAAGAAACUUUUUAUAACACUCACUAUGCUGGUUGUAGGGUAGACGCUUUGGGGACUGAAGCUGGUAACUUCUACAAGUAGUCUUAAGUUGACUGGCAACAACUAUAUUGGCAUUUAGACAUAAUGUACUGCAACCAUAUUGGUAUGUUCAAAUGUUCUUACUAUUGUAUUGGUGUGUCAAUAUUAUCUCUAACUGCCUUAUAGAUUAAAAAAAAUCUAAAUUUACAAUUUAACAUAAAUAAAAUAAUUGGUAAAAAAACAAUUAUGGUUUAUUUACUUAUCAGUAAUCAGAAUAGACUGAAAUCGAAAUGAGCUGUAUUACCGUUAAUGUGUUUAUGUUGUCCUUGAAUCGGAAUGAAUUAUUUUAAGUUACUAAAAUAUCAUUGGUUUGUUAUUCUAAUUAUUAUUAUUUAAUAUUUAUUAUAAUAUUUGUCAUAUCAUUAAAAAGAAAUAAUAAUGAUGAUAAUAUUAUCAUUAUUGUUUGUUACAUUAUUAUUAUUCAAAAAAAUUAUUGUUAAUAACAAUAAUUACUUUAUUUCAAUAAUAAUAAUGAUGAAAUUAAUAAUAACAAACAUGACAACAACAAUAAUUAUUUAUUAUGCCAAAAAUAACAAUAAUAAUAAGAAUAAUAAUCAUCAUCAUUUUUUUCCCAAAGAAGCAUUAUCAUCAUCAUUUAAAAAAAAAAUCAUCAUCAUCAUUUUUGUAGUUACUGUUUCAAUUUAGGAAGAAGCUGUUUCGUUGUGCUAACGAUGGGAGAUGUUGUGGCUGCGAUUCGGGGAGCUACUAGUUUAUUGCACUAAUGACGACAGGUGCGGCUGCUUGAUGCGAGGUCCAUGGCCAGUUGUCAGCAGUUCGACUUUGGUAUGGGCGUUGCUGGUUCGAUUUUAGGUGUUGUCUAAUUUCAUUUUCAGGAUUUUAAUUUUAAUUUUUUUUUAUAUUUUCAUUAAUUAAUCAGUGCAAAGUUUGAUUUUAGAAUUUGGAAUGAAGGUAAUUUUGUUAAUCAUGGAAAUGAGAUUCUGAUUGUCGAGAAUGAACUUACAAAAUUAGCUGCAAAUUAAGUGAAAACAAAACGCUUUUUCUCUUUGUGUGAUUAAAACAUGAAAUGUACCAUAAAUAAAUAGGUAAAAAAUAAAUCAACACAAUUCAAAAUAGAAAACCAAUUACAAGAGGCACAAAUUUUUAUGUGAAAUACCGAAAAUGAAAAAAAACUAUAGCAUCCUAGUCUAAUAUAAUCUUCUACUAUAUUAAUGGGAUUACAGCACAAAUUCUUCCCUAUCUAACACUAGAGAUUAACAAUAUCAAAAAUCUCAAUAAUCUUAACUUACAAUACAACCUAAUAUAUGUCUCUCUAAUAAGUAGAUAUCUAAAAUAACAGUCUCUAAUAAGUAGGUAUCUCAAAUAAUAGUUAAUAAGAGGAUAAAACAAAAAUUAAGAUUAGUAGAAUGUGUAUAAGGCGAUGCUAUCAACUUAUCUUCUAAAUUUGAGAAAAAUAGUUAAAUUCACUUUUUCGAUUGUACGACCAAAGAUGGAAACCCUUGCCCCAAAACCAAAGGAAUCACCAUUGUGUUUUUUUUCUCUCUUUCUCUUUCUCGUUCUUCUCUUCUACUUUUCUUAAUGUUAGCCGCCACUUGCUUUUAUUCUUUAUAGCAUUUAAAAAGCUACUUUUAAUGGUAAAUUCAUCUAAGUCCAAAACUUAGUGAUAAUUGCACACCAAACAAUCCUUUUUGGACUAUGGACUUUUGGGCCUCCAAAUGAGAUGAAUACAACAAAUCUCCCCCUUCAGAUUAUGUGGGGGGCACCACAAGCCCGCUCUCUGCAUAUAGCUUUUCAGCUUCUCCUUGAAUAAUGACUUUGUCAUCAUACAUAACCCAUUCUUCGUUGUGUAAAUCUUCUCAAGCUAUAACUGUUCUUUCUCAAGCACGUCUCAUAUCUAAUGAUAUCUCACAUCAAUUUACUUAGAUUUCGAAUGGUAUAUCAAAUUCUUUGAACGGCACUCUGACUGUCGCAGUACAUAACAUAGUUGUCUCAUUUUAUAUCCAGCUCUUGUAGGAAAUUCUUCGUCCACAAUAUUUUUUUGCAACCUUCAAUAAUUGUAAUAUCAUUUGCUUUAGUGGUAGAAAAGGCAACUUAUUACUAAAGUUUAGAUUGCGAUGAGCUCCCCCUGCAAAAGUGAGCAAACAUCCUAGUACGAAUUUUUCGGAAUCAACAUCUCCUGCCAUAUCUAUACACUUGUAACACAGGUUUGUCACCACCAAAAUAUAAACAUGCUCUGGAAAUGCCUUUAAGAUAUCUGAGAAAUUUUCACUGUUGUCCAGUGCUCUUUACCGGGAUUGAAGAGAAACCACUGACUACACUAGCUGUAUAAGCAAUAUCUGGUCUUGUACAAAUUAUGGCAUACAAUAAACUGCCAACUGCUGAAGCAUAAGGAACUCCUCUCAUGGAGAAAUGGGUUUUGCUCUUGAGAAUUUUGGGAACAUAAAGAAUAAAGAUGUAAUUUCUUGGACUGCCAUUGUUUCGAGGUAUAUAAACAGAAGACAAGUCGAUAUAGCUUGACAAUGUUUUGAUCAGAUGCCAGAACGAGAUUAUGUCUUAUGGACUGCCAUGAUUGAUGGGUACCUUCGAGUGAAUAGGUUCAAAGAGGCUUUGACGCUUUUUCAGGAGAUGCAAACUUCAAAUAUAAUGGGAGACAAGUUUACCAUUGUUAGCAUUCUUACAGCUCGUGCCAAUCUGGGGGCACUAGAUCUGGGAGAAUGGAUAAAGACUUAUAUUGACAAAAACAAAGUCAAGAAUGAUAUAUUUGCGGGGAAUGCUUUGAUAGACAUGUACUGUAAAAGAGGAGAUGUUGAGAAAGCUCAAAAGGUAUUCAGGAAGAUGCUUUGAAAGGACAAAUUCUCAUGGACGACCAUGACUGUUGGCCUUGCCAUCAGUGGCAAUGGUGAUAAAGCUCUUGAUAUGUUUUCCCAAAUGCUUAGGGCUUCGAUCAAACCGGAUGAGGUAGCUUAUGUUGGUGUUCUGUCUGCCUGUUCUCACAAUGGUAACGAAACUUUUGUGAUAAAUAGUUGCAACUUAAGGUGAGAAUUGGAGGAAAGGAAAUAGACUGAAGUUGUUCAAUCAUCAGUGGUUGCUAUUUGGUUUUAAGUUGUUCAAUUAUCGGUCGUCUCUAUUUGGUUUUCUCCAAUAUCUCAUCUUCAGUUUUGACUCAGAUUCUAUCUUACCACUAUUGUUCUGUUCAUUCUAUUUGUUUCCUACAAAAUAUUUCUCCUGCCUAAAAUUUUUUGAAUCAGUAAGUUUUUAUCUUAUGCAAGAAUUGUGCUGAGAGUAAUUCCAUUUCUCAGUCUCGUUAUGUUUCAAUGAAGACGUAAAACUUGUGUUCUAGUGCACCAAUGUUUAUGCUUCUUACAAUUUGACUUUAAUUUACUUUGUAAAACUUUUGUCAAAAAGUACUAAAAAGUAGUGCACCAAACACCAACUUUAUUAUAGAGAGGACUUUAGUUAAAUUUUAAGAAAACACUCAAAAGAAAGAGUUAUAAUUUAUUAUAGAAAUAUUUCACAUAAAUAAAAGCCAUCCCAUGCUGCAAAGAUCUUGCUAUAAUCACCAAAAACUAUCGGGAGCUUUUAGGGUUUCCAUAAAAAUGUCAUUUCGUUCCAAAAGUCAAUGGUGGGUAGAAAGUGGUGCAAAUGAGACUCAUUCUUAAUGGUAUAAGUUUUUGCUUAAUUAUGUCUUCCCCAAGAUGAUGAUUUAAUUUCCAUUCUCAAUUAAUUUUCAAGUUUCAACACUUUUCUAUGUAGCAUGACAUUGGAAAGAUCUUGUACAGUUGUACUACUAAAAGCUAGCAUCACACGUUAGUUAUUGUUAAGUUCUGUUUCAACGUGAAAUAAAGGAAGUAGUCCUUCAUUAAAACCAUUAUAGCCAAAUUUCACCUAAUUGGACACUUACAGACUUUCAUUUCAAGUUGGAUUUGGGUCCAACGUUUCAAAGUUUGGCCCAAUUAUUUUUGUCCGGUCAAGUCCUACGCAGCUAAGCCUCUCAAUGAAUGAGGGUGAGAUUGCUAAAAAUUACGACAGGUGAUAUUUUAUUAUUAUUAUUAUUAUUAUUUUUGGGGGAUAAAUCCUCACCAAAGUGAGGAGAUUUUAUCAAAAUCAAAAUAAAAAUAUAACAAGAACUGAAAGUCGGGCAGCCUAAAAGCUAGAUGAACUAAAAGUCAGGCGCCUAAAAACAACCUUAUGCAAAAGAGAAGCAAUAUGAGACCGAUCAAGUAAAAGAAUCCACCGCAACACCUAAAUUGGCCAAAUUAUCUGUUGGUAUUACAAGUUUCUUGUUAUAAAAGUGUAGAAUGAAGUAGGUGACGUAGUUUUAAGUUACAGCUGCAUGCCCAAUCGCAAUAUCAAAUAAUGCUUAAAUAUCAAAUAAUGCUUAAAGUAGUUGCCUAGGCCCGCCACAACUUAUAUUAACUCUUAAAUUUAUAAAUAAUUAAAUUUUUAAAAGUUUGGAUUUAUAUUAAAAAAUCUUCAUAUAAAUAAAUAAUAUAUGCACUUUUACAACAGUCUUUAAAUUUAAAUUUUUCAAAAAAAAUCUUCUGUAUAUCUUUUCUAUUAAAAAAAUUUCCAUAUAAAUAAAUAAUAUACCUAAUUUAAUUGGACCGAGCACAACGCACAUGCAUAGAACACAUUCCGAAAAGCCAUGCUAUUCAGAAAUUGACGAAUGAAAAGUGAGGAGGCAGCAGUCAAUGCUAUUUCGGCUUGGCCCAAAAUUGAUUUAUCAGUUUGACGUGUGCCAGGAAUGAAGAACUGGAAUAUCACCGUCAAGCAGCACCCUGUGGAGCAAUACCAUAGAAUGCACAAUCUGGCUUUGCCAGGUGACACUGGAGGCUUUUUGAAAAGUGCUUCAAAAAGCCUUUUCUGAUCGAGUCUGAGCACUCAAAUUUUGGUCCUCAGAUGGAGCUACAGCUUUCUCUCCAAUAACCAACAAUUUUCUAAACUCAGCUCCUAGUGUGAUGAGAGUUGUUGAUAUUUGUAAAUGGAGAUCCCCGUAUUUGCAAAUGGAGACAUUUACCAAAUCACCAACAUGCUUCAUCCAGUCUAUGAAAUUCUGCAGCUGAUUCAAAUCCGGAACCUGAACCAGAGUCGGAGGUAAAUCUUGAGCCAUAUCUAAAGCGGUCUGAAGUUCAAGUACUUGAGCCCUUGACAAUGGUUUUGAAAUUGGAACAUCUUGGAUUACUGCAGACUUGUACCUCUUGGUUUCAAAGGUAAGGAAAGGCAUUGCUUGAGUACAAUUUGGAGGCAGCUUCUUCACCAAUUUUAUUUGGAGGCAAUUGGCAGCGGAUCCAGCUGCACCAAUUUCAGAGCAAAUACUGACACUACUUCAAACAGCACGCUGAAGAAGAGAUAUGUCUAUGGCAAAGACAAUGCAGUCCUCAUUUUGACUUGAGAUGCGGUAAUCAUCAAAGAGAGUUUCCUUGUGAAACUGGGCAACACAUUGAAUCCCUUCACCACUGAGAAGGUUGUGGAGGAAGCAAGCUUUCUCUCUAGUAAGGAAGAGGUGGCAUACCUUCCCCAUUUUGUCUAGGACAGGUAGGAAUCUUUUUUCUAAGAGAUUUACUCCAUUCUCUGUGAGAAAUGCUUUGAACUUCAUCCCUCUGUCUCUAUCCUCACUUAUCAGUAAAAUAGUUGAAAGCGCUACAAGGAGAGAAAAGAAGAGUAUUAAGAUAUAUAUAGACAAGAAAAACAUUAGAUGUCGAUCUUACAAGCUAAUACUUCAAACAGUAUCCUAGAAAGCUAAAAACUGCAAAAUGGCUUGAAAUUUGAAAAGAACACAUGCUUUUCCUCCUUAACUUGAGAAAAUGUUUAAUAUAGUGCACCUUACAGAAACAUUUAAGCAAUUAGAACUUUGCACAAAAACAUUCAAGAAGACUAAACAAAUCAGAUGCAGUGUAUUUCUCCAAGCACAAAUGGCAUUGCAUUUUCUCCUCAACUGUAAUAUUUAUUGAUGAAAAUCAGUACAGGUCCCUCAUUUGUUAUGGAAAGCUUUCUUGUAGUCUGACCGGUUAAUUCACGGGUCUAUAAUCAUCUUGCAAAGUUACAGGCAUUUCUUUCGAUUUAAAGUCUUUGCAUCACCACCUCAUCACACACCAAGCCAAUAUUCCGUCUACCUCUACAACAAAAAGUUUUAAGUAAACGAUCCUAAUGCAUGCAGCCAAAUAAAAUGCAGUAAGAAUAUUCAACUUAAAACUCUGAAAGCCAUCUUGGUGAAUUGCCUCCUUAGGGGAAGUUCCAUGCUUUACUAUACUUGACAGGACUGAGCAAAAGCUUCCAUACGACAGAUUUUGACAAUAAUGAUGCCAACAGAUCCUCAUUAAAUCCAUUAAAACUCCAAAGGUUCAUUGUUCAUGGAUGUUUACAGAGUUUUGGUCAUCAAAUAGCUCAGACCACAAUCCCAAACAAAAAAGGAGUGAAAAUUAGAUCACCAGCAGCUAAUUGUAAAUUCUAACUUAACUCUUCAUCUCCUUUGUAAACAGGAGACAAAAUGGAGACACGCAAAAUGAAUAAGGAGAACAUUUGAACUCAAAUGAAAUGAGGGCACGAAAUCAAACAAAUGGCAUGCGCAAACAAACCAAGCCUCAAUCAAAAACUAAAUAACCAUUAAGAAAAAAAAACUGGUCAGAGAAUGAACUCCAAAUUCGGGAGUGAAGCAAGAAGCUUUCAUUAUUUCAGAAGCUCCUGUACAAAUUAAUAAGUUAUGCUCUUUGGAAACAAACCUAAAUUCCAAGAGAAACAGAACUCAAAAAAUUUGCAAUUAUACGCAAAGGAAGCGAAGCACAGCAUUCUAUCACACGUACAAAUUGUAUAACAAGAGAUCGACACAUCGAAUCAGAAGAAUUCAAUUCAAAUUUGUCUCAAAAAUCAAAAUUAGAAGAUUUCACAUUUCGAGAGGAACAAGCGACAGGUCAGAUGCACAAUUUUCAACCACAACAUGCCACAAUUAACGGUUUAUUUCCAUGGAUUUAGAGAGCUGACUGACCUUUUGGCUUUUGGAAUUGAGAAGAACGCGCGCCAAAAUGGAAGAGGGAAAGCGAAAGUGCGGGUUUCAAUAGGGUAUUGGAUUAGCAAAUUUUAUUAGUUUGCGAGGGUAAAAUAGGAAAGAUAUAUCACUAUUAACUUUUUUUUUUAUAAGAAAAAAGAAUAAUAAAGAAUAUUUUAUUGUCAUUUGCAGCAUUUAAUUUUUUUUAAAUGCUAUUAGAAAAAAACGACAAUAAAGAAAUGCUCUUUUUUUAUUUUUUUCUCGAAGGUAAAAUCAAUUAUUUAGCGUCUUAUAUGUAAUCUAACUCCAUUUCUUACUUUAAGUCAUAUCCAACUGACCAAUAAAGUAAUUGUUUUUUUUUUUUCAUUCAUUUUUACAGAAAAUUAAUAUUGAAAGCUAUUGUAAAAAUUUUUAUUAUCAACCUCAUAGUUUAAUUUUUUUGGGGAAGAAUUGAAUUUUUUUUUUAAUUUCCAAGAAUUUCAUUCUCUAGUUUUUCCAUUAAUAUUACUUAUCUUGAUACCCAUCUUAAUUAAAAUCUGUAGUUUUAUUCAAGAGUCAUGCUAUUCAUUCACUCACAGACCAAAGGCUUUCCGCAGCAAUAUUAUUAUUUAAAUUACAACAAAGGGGAAAUCAAAUACGUCAUACAGAAGCUUAAAGCUGAAUCUACAAAAUCUAGAGCUCUCAACUACAAAAAUUACACUUGAUGAUCCUCUACAAGAUGAAGCUUGUUCAAUAUCUCAUCCAAAGCUUGUAAAGUAACCUUGUAACGAUCUUGAGAUUGCCUGCCUUCCUCGACGACCUGCACGAUGCGUUUGUACAAAUCAUCAUACCUGUGCACCGGAUUUUUAAUAUCAACGCCACUGCAGCUGUGAUCAAGAACAUAAGAGCGUUUAACAUCUUUUCUCCAUCGAGAAAGAAUGUAGUGAGGUGGGAUCUCCUGCAUGCCACUCUGGUUUAGAACACAAAGAAUGUGUCUGCAUAAAUAUCCUCUGAAAUUGAACAACCCACAAACACAAAGCACCUCCUGCAUAAAUAUCUUUCUCGUUGCUACCAAUCUCAAAUUCUUCCUUCACUAUCUGUGUUAUAGGUCCAUCAGCACUGACAUGUUUUGUGCUAUAGCAAGAGUACAUAGCCUCCACCUCCGUCUGAAACUUCCUUAACAUUUCAUUUGUGUACAGUUUUGAGAGUUGAAAUUCAUAGUAACAUCUUGGUUUCUGGAUACAACUUGAAUUUCUCGAAUCCAUAUCUGCCAAGGCUUCCAGUUGAUAAUUCGCCUGCAGUGCUUGAUCAUACUUGUCUAAGAAUUCUUUCAAAGGAGUACUCUUAUCAAGAUAUCCUUCAAAGUAUGAAGUAGAAACCUCAUUCUGCAGGAAUGAAAACACUCCUGAUAAAAAUGCUUCCUUCAAAUAAACAGGAGCCCACCUUUUACGAUCUUCAUAUAAAGUUUGAAUCCAUCCAUGAUCCUUUAUUCCAUGACGUUGAAUCGUGUCCUCCCAAGCUGUCUCAAAUUCCUCAGGCCUAAGAGAGUGAUAAAUUGCUCUAUGCAAUGCAGCUCUAACAGCUUCAUAUUCAAACAAUCCUUGGAGUUUCUCUGGAAUUUUUUGCAUGACGCAUGACAAUGAAAAGCAAUGAUAAGCUCUUGGGAAAGCAUUGCUGACGGCAGUUUUCAAGAUUCUACAUUGGUCAGUGAUGAUUGUUUGUGGACAGCGUCCUAACAUACAUGUAAGCCACGCCCUAAACAACCAUGUAUAUGAUUCUAUAGUCUCACUGGCGAGUAAACCACAGCUUCGUUUACACGCUUCGAAAAACACUUUGAAAUUCAAACGAAACAUUCCUUAGGUUGAUAAAUUAGUAGCGCAAAAGAAAUUUUAGUGAGAUAUGGGAUCAGGGUUUUUGCCACGGUGAUGUUAAUUGCGACAUUGGGGUGACUCAGCAGCCUUCGAGGCUGAAACUUUGAUUGACCAAAAGCUUCCCGUUCGUUGAUUAUCUAAUUGCAGAAACGAAACUCGCAGUGUACAGAAGAAGUACGCUGAUUUGAUAAUUCUGUGAAAAUCAUUGUUUUUUUGAGAUUUUUAAUGUGUUCGGUAAAUAUCAAAAUCUCAAAAACUUGUCUUUCAUUUUGGGGGGAAAAACCCAUUGAGAUCCUUAUGUUUUUUCUUAUAUAAUCUGGCUUAAUAAUUUGCAAAGUCUAUUACUUUGCACCCAUGCAUGCUGCGUUUCAAUUUUACAAAAUUGUACGUGAGUGCAUCCAGCUAAAAUUUGUAAAAAGAAAAUAACAAUAACAUGUUAAAAAUGUGAUGAUUAUGAAGAAAUUUUAAUUUAGUUAAAUAGGUGACGAUGGAUAGGUAUAAAAUCUGAGAUCUUUUAUGAGAUUAAUAAGUAUGUUGAGUUUGGAUUAGUUCAAUUUUGACAUAAUACAGAAUAAACACAACCUGCUAAUCUAAGUUAUCAUCUUUUCUCGUCAUCAGGUACCUGUUUGAAAAAUAAUUAUAUACAAUUUUAUUUGCGUUGUCUCUCCAAAAAUUUUGGACUCGAAUGUUAUUUUUAAUUGCUAAAAGUACGAAAAUGCCCCCUUUCUCUUCAGCUAAAGGAGUGCAAAGUCAUCUGUAUAAUUGAAUCUGCAUCAUCAGUUUCUAUUGCUGGCUGGUGUUACUGCAUGCUUACAGUUGCUUGACAAAGUGAGCCAGUUUUUUGUUUAUUAAUUUUUUUUCUUGUCGAGACAGUCACAAAGUAUUACUUGUUCCAUAUGAGAAUGAUGUGAAUCAAUUUUUCAAUUAUGCAUUCUGUGGUAAUUAUUGUGAAUUUAGUUUCAUUUGUCUUGUCUCCUGCAAAUUUUGAAGAAAAUGCAGACAUACAAACUUACAAUAUGGAAGAGUUCACUGGAAAAAACUUUGUGAAAGCUUCCAAGUGAAACAGGGAAUGGGCUUACUAGUAAAGGACAAAUUGGUGGCCAGCUAAUGCAUUCAUUCUAUGUCCAUUCAUCUUUUCGAAUUAUUGAAGACAAGCGUUGGUUAGAUCCAGAUAAUCUCGAUUAUCAAAAUAAUCUCUAUUUUGAAAUAAUAAUAUUCAAAAUAUCUCUUAAAUCAUUAUAAACCUCAAACCUGUUUUAAUUUUAUUUAAAAAGAUAAAAAAAAAAGGUUAUGUUGGUGAUUUUUUAUUUUUUUAAUAAAAAUAAAAUAAAUUGAUGUUUAUAAUUGUUUAAAGUACUUUAAAGAUUGUAAUUUUAUGAGAGAGUAAUAUUUCACCGUUUUUAGUGUGAAAGGCUGAAAAAGGACAAAGCAAGUUUCCCUAGUUUUUAUUUAUUUGAAAUUGGUCAUCUCAUAUGCUUCACCCUUCAACACUACAAUUUUUUUUGUGAUAAUUUUAUUAUUAUUUUUUCUACACAUGCAUGUGAAUUACUUUUCUUUAAGCUCCUGAAUAUUUAAGACGGAUCAUGGAAGAGAUGAGAGUAUAACAAGAUGAUCAAAAUAUGUAACAAAAAAAUUUUAGAAGUGAAAAAUAUGUUAGAGUCAAAGCAAAACUCUGAAAAUAGAGAUAUUCAUUAAUUUAGAAGAGAUGCAAGCAAAAGCUAUUCCAAAAAAAAAAAGCAAUAUGUCCCUUUGGAGGACAAACUUGUCAGUUUCAAAAAAGUACAUGCUUUGGAUUGAUAGUCGUAGGAUAUUUGUUUUGUCACUGUGUAUUAGUUGGAGAAGUCAAGCCUUGUGAAGAAUGUUAUGAAAAAGCAAAGGAUAUUCUUGAUAGAGCUCUAUUUGGUUAUGUAUUCAGUGAAUGGAUGUGUUGUUGGAAGAUAUUUGAGUGCAUUAGUUCAUUUGUGUCUGUCAAUGUGCUUUUAAUGAUUUUUCCACUUGUUUGUUGUAAAAGAUGAUUGUAAAUUGAAAUGAACUUGAUGUUGUAAAAUAUUUUGCUUAGUGGAAUUUCACCUAAGUAUUCACUUUUUAUUAAAUUUCGUUAACACAAUUCUUAAUUAAUGGUGUGUUUACUUCAUGAAAUAGGGAAUGAGAAUAGAGAAAUGAGAAUGAAACUCAUGUUUACUUGGCAAAAUAUAAUUUGAGAAUGAGAAUAAAAUGUGUGGGUCCCACACAAUUUGGGAAUAAGAAAUGAGAAUCUCAUUCCCAUGGGGGGUUAGAAAUGAAAAUAAGAGAAUGAGAAUAGAAUAUAUAUUUACUUUUGUAUCUCUCUACUUUUUCAUAUUUCCCAAAUUACCUUCAUUCAAAUAACAAUUAAUUUAUUAUUUUAAAUGUCAUUAAUAAUAAUUAUUAUUAUUUUUAUUCUUAAAUUUUAUUAACUUUAUUAUUUUAGUUAUUAUUAAUUAUUUUUAUUAAUAUUAUCAUUAUUGUUAAUAAUGAUAAUAUUAAUAAAAAUAAUUAAUGUAUCAUUAUUAACAAUAUUAUCAUUAUUGUUGUUGUUGUUGUUGUUGUUAUUAUUAUUAUUAUUAUUAUUAUUAUUAUUAUUAUUAAUAAAAAUAAUAAUAACAAUAAUUAAUAUUAACUAAAAUAAUAAAGUUAAUAAAAUUUAAUAAUAAUAAUAAUGUAAUUUUCAUUAUCUAGAUACAUGUAUAAAUAUUAUUAUAAAAAUAAUAUUAAUUAAAAUAAUAAUAAUAAUAAUAAUAAAUGUUAAUAAUGAUAAUACUAAUAAAAAUAAUAUUAAUAGUAAUUAAUAAUAACUAAAAUAAUAAAGCUAAUAAAAUAUAAUAAUAUUAAUAAUAAUAAUAAUAAUAAUAAAUGUUAAUAAUGAUAAUAUCAAUAAAAAUAAUAAUAACAAUAAUUAAUAGUAACUAAAAUAAUAAAGUUAAUAAAAUUUAAUAAUAAUAUUAAUAAAUGUUAAUAAUGAUUACUUUAAUAAAAAUAAUAAUAACUAAAAUAAUAAAGUUAAUAAAAUUUAAUAAUAAUUGUUAAUAAUGAUAAUAUUAAUAAAAAUAAAAAUAACAAUAAUUAAUAACAACUAAAAUAAUAAAGUUAAUAAAAUUUAAUAAUAAUAAUAAUAAAUGUUAAUAAUGAUAAUAUUAAUAAAAUUAAUAUUAACAAUAAUUAAUAAUAACUAAAAUAAUAAGUUAAUAAAAUUUAAUUAUAAUAAUAUUGUUAAUAAUGAUUGUUAACUUUAUUAUUUUAGUUAUUAUUAAUUAUUGUUAAUAUUAUUUUUAUAAUAAUAAUAAUAAUAAUAACAACAACAACAACAAUACACGACUUGGAUUAGGAUAGAAGGAAACUUAAAUCCUAGAGAAAAAGAUAGCUAUAUCCCAAGAUUUAAAAAAAUAGUCAUGUAGAUUUUUAAGAUUUCAGUAAGCGAUUGAGAUUUUCUUUUGACAAAUAAUAUCCUUUAUCUCUAUUAACAAAAAACAGAGACUCAAAUAUUUUAUAAUAAAUAAAAAUAUAAUAUUAAAAUAUAUGUGAUAAUAUAGACAUUUUAAAUAAUUUCAAUCCAAAAAAAUAGUUAUUUUUUACAAUCUAUUAAACAUAUUUUAUUGAAUUAAUAUAAGUUUUUCUAUAAAAUAGGAACAUAAUAUUAAAUAAAUUUACAAAACUUUAAAGAAUUUUGAAUGUAAAAUAAUUUUAAUAUAUUAAUACGUGAGACUUUUUAUUAUUGUAAAAAUUAUUUAACCCAAAUAUUUUUUAAAAUCUUUACAAUAAGUAUAAAUAUGUUAUUUACAUUUAAAAAUAUUUAAAUAUUAUUAACCUACAAUUAUAUUUGCAUUUAUUAGAAAUUUUUAAAGUCAAAUAUUUUGCACUUCUACAUUAUUAGAAUUAUUGCACACAAAGAAAGAAACAUAUAAGCUUCAUAAAUUUUUUUCUUUUACAUUUGGAAACAGAGAUGAUGAUUGAUUAUAAGGAUGAAAAAAAGGACAAAAAAUAUUAAUGAUUAACGAAAUCUCUAUGCAAAUUAAUUUUAGUAGGAAAAGAGUGAGAUGAAUGAUUUCUUUUACAGCUAGAAACAGAGAUGAUGAUUAUUAUAAGGUUAAAAAAGAAGAUAAAGAAUAUUAAUUAUUUGUGGAAUCUAUAUGCAAAUUGAUUUUAGUAGGAAAAAAGUGAGUUAAAUGAUUUAGACAUUCAUAGUGUGUUUAUUUUUUGGAUUGAUGAAUAAGAAUUAUUGACAACGCUAACUUCAUCUUCAUUGUUUGUUAUCCAACAACAGCAAUUGUCGCCGAUAAUGAUACCUCCAAUGAUGAUGAUGAUUUUAUUAUUAUUAUUAUUGAUAAAAAGUAUUUUAAUUAAUUAAUAUAUUAAUGUUAAUAUUAUUAUUAUUAAGAUUAAUAAUAAUUACUAAUAAUAAUAAAUUUUUGAAUAAAAAUAAUCACAAUAAUUAAAAUAAAAAUUAAUAAUUAUGACAAUAGUUAAUUAAUGUCUUUUUAGUAAUUUGUAAUAAUGUAAAUAAUUUUGAUUUUGAUUAUUACAAUUCAAGUAAACAAAUUAUUAUGAUUCAUAUUCUCCAUUCCCAUUUCAGCUCAUUUUGAUUUCAGUUCAUUUCGAUUUCUGUUUAAUAAACGCGCCGUUAGUGAUAUAGUAAUAUUUCAUAUAGAGAAAAGUAAAAACUAUACCUAAGGUUAAGGGAAAUGACUUCAAACCUCUCUUUUGACCAUAAUACAUUUUGUCCUAAAUUUAAAGAUUUUGAAUCUAAAAUUUUACAAUAAAUAAAAAUAUAUUCCUAAAAUAAAUAUACUAUCAAUAUUUAAAAUAUGUUUUAAUAUUUUACAAUCUAUCAGACACAUUUUAUUAAAUUAAAGUUAAUUUUAUAAUAAAUACAAACGUACUAUUAAAAUGAAUAUAUAAAAAAUUUAGAGUAUUUUGAAUAUUAUAUAUGCGUAAGAUAUAUUUUAUUAAUUUAAAAAGCUAUUUUACUUAAAAAAUUAUUUAUGAUAAAUUAAUAAUUACAUUUUUAAAAUUAUUUCAAAAUUUUAAAAUUUUUUAAUAUUAUUAAUCUUUUGGAUAGAUUAAAUUAUUUUAAAAUGCCUUAAUUGUUUUUACUUUUAGCGUUACCGGCCUUUCUUAUAUUUUAUUGCAAAUUAAUGCUAACAAGAAAAAGCUAGAUCAUAUUCCACAUAAGCAAAAGUGACAAAACAACCAGCUGGAUUCUUUUAUUAAUCUACAAUUAAAAUGGACUUAUAUAUAUAUAUAUAUAUAUAUAUAUAUAUAUAUAUAUAUAUAUAUAUAUAUAUAUAUAUAUAUAUAUAUAUAUAUAUAUAUAUAUAUAUAUAUAUAUAUAAACUACGUAUGAAAGUGGAAUCUUUUGAAUAUAAGUGGGGUAGGCUCCCUUUCAAAAAAAAAAAAAAAAAGUGGGGUAGGCUCUUUUAUUAAAGACAAGUAUUGAGUAGUCAAGACGAUUAGGGUCUUAACCAAUUAGGCCUUAGCCCGGUGGUCAGAACCUUGCACUCAUAAUUAUGAGCGCAGCGGUUUAAGCCCCGCAAUGUAAGUAGGGGUUUAUUUUCUUCUUUAAUUAUUAAGUGAAUGCAGUCUAUUCUCUUUCGAAAUGUGAAUGGAGUAGACACCCCUCGAAUAUUAGAGAGGGUAAAAUCUAGGCAGUGCUACAUAAGAAUUCAUGUAAAUUAGGCCCAGUAAUUGACUGAUUGUAAAUAUUAAUUGUAAAUCUCAUAUAAUAUAAAUUAUAAUCUGAGUAUUAAUCUCAUGUAAUUAAAAAAAAAAAGAAAAAAAAGACGAUUAUGUUCUUUUAUUAAACUACAAAUUGUAUAGUCUUUUUCAAAUUGUACAGAUAUUUAUAAAUUGGUGGCCCCUUGGAAAUUUAAUGCCAAGCAGAUUCAAGUCAUCAUGCACAAUCCUCAAUAAUUGUUUUCGAUAUUUAUAAAUUGGUGGCCCCUACGUCCUCAAUAAUUGUUCCGAUACUUAUAAAUUGGUGGCCCCUGGGUAAUUUAACAGCAGCUUGCAAGUGCCAACUAGUGAAAAGUCAUCAUUUCAAAUUCUAAAUACAAUAAUACUACACAUCUCAAAUUUUUUAUCUCAAAAAAUUAUCUCAAAUGAUAUGGAAUUUAUUAAUUGGUUGGUGAGAUAAUACAAUUAAUUCACUUGAAUCUUGUAAAGAAUUAUCAACUACUCAAUUAAUGACACAUCAUUUGGGAUAACUUUUUGGGAUAAAAAAUUUGGGAUGUGUAGCAUUAUUGUUCUAAAUAAGGGUCAUUCUAUAAUGCCGUAACUAAAUUUACGGCAUUGAUACCGUAAUGGACGUGGACCGUUAGAUUUGAAUAAAAAAUCUCUACCAUUAAUUCUAAAUAAAUAGGUAACCUGUUACCUAAGUAGUAGGUAAUUAUUAUUUUUUGUUCAAGUUCCAGGUUACAUUUACUAAUUUUAUGUGUGAUUUACAAGUUUUAUAAAACUUUUACAAGUUAAUGUUGAUUUACAAGUUUUAUGCAAUAUUUACAAGUUUUUGUUUUGUUUACAAGUUCUUCUUACAAUUUACAACUCUAACAUUAAUUUACCUAUUUUUCCAUUAAUUUACUAGUUUUAUGUGUGGUUUACACAUUUUUUGUUUUAUUUCACACUUAAUGUCAAUUUACAAGUUCUAUGUCAUUUUUAUAAGUUUUUGUUUUGUUUACAAGUUCUUCUUACAAUUUACAACUCCAACAUUAAUUUACUCAUUUUUCCAUCAAUUUACUAGUUUUUUGUGUGAUUUACAUAUUUUUUGUUUCAUUUCCCACUUAAUGUCAAUUUACAAGUUCUAUGUCAUUUUUCUACAUUUUUGUUUUGUUUACAAGUUCUUCUGGCCAAUUACAACUCCAUCAUUAAUUUACUCAUUUUUCCAUCAAUUUACUAGUAUUAUAUGGAUUUACAUAUUUUGUGUUUCAUUUCAUAAUUAAUGUCAAUUUACUAGUUGUAUGCCAUUUUUCUAAGUUUUUGUUUUGUUUACAACUUCUUUGUGCAAAUUACAACUCCAACAUUAAUUUACCAUUUUUUCCAUUAAUUUAUUAAUUUUAUGUGUGGUUUACAAAUUUAUUGUUUCAUUUCACACUUAAUAUUAAUUUACAAGUUUUAUGUCAUUUUUCUAAAUUUUUGUUUUGUUUACAAGUUCUUCUUGUAAUUUACAACUCCAACAUUAAUUUACCAUUUUUUCCAUUAAUUUAUUAGUUUUAUGUGUGGUUUAUAAAUUUAUUGUUUCAUUUCACACUUAAUGUUAAUUUACAAGUUCUAUGUCAUUUUUCUAAGUUUUUGUUUUGUUUACAAGUUCUUCUUGUAAUUUACAACUCCAACAUUAAUUUACCUUUUUCCAUUAAUUUAUUAGUUUUAUGUGUGGUUUACAAAUUUAUUAUUUCAUUUCACACUUAAUGUCAAUUUACAAGUUCUAUGUCAUUUUUCUAAGUUUUUAUUUUGUUUACAAGUUCUUCUUACAAUUUACAACUCUAAUAUUAAUUUACCAAUUUUUCCAUUAAUUUACUAGUUUUAUGUGUGAUUUACAUAUUUUUUUGUUUUAUUUCACACUUAGUGUCAAUUUACAAGUUCUAUGUCAUUUUUCUAAGUUUUUGUUUUGUUUACAAGUUCUUCUUGUAAUUUACAACUCCAACAUUAAUUUACUCAUUUUUCCAUCAAUUUACUAGUUUUAUGUGGGAUUUACACAUUUUUUGUUUCAUUUCACAAUUAAUGUCAAUUUACUAGUUAUAUGUCAUUUUUCUAAGUUUUUGUUUUGUUUAUAAGUUCUUCGUGCAAAUUACAACUCCAACAUUAGUUUACUCAUUUUUCCAUCAAUUUAGUAGUUUUAUGUGUGAUUUACACAUUUUUUGUUUCAUUUCACACUUAAUGUCAAUUUACAAGUUCUAUGUCAUUUUUCUAAAUUUUUGUUUUGUUUACAAGUUCUUCUGGCCAAUUACAACUCCAUCAUUAAUUUACCCAUUUUCCCAUCAAUUUACUAGUAUUAUGUGCGAUUUACACAUUUUUUUGUUUCAUUUCAUAAUUAAUGUCAAUUUACUAGUUGUAUGCCAUUUUUCUAAGUUUUUGUUUUGUUUACAACUUCUUCGUGCAAAUUACAACUCCAACAUUAAUUUACCAUUUUUUCCAUUAAUUUAUUAAUUUUAUGUGUGGUUUACAAAUUUAUUGUUUAAUUUCACACUUAAUGUCAAUUUAUAAGUUUUAUGUUAUUUUUCUAAGUUUUUAUUUUGUUUACACUUUUUUCUUCUAAUUUACAACUCCAUCAUUAAUUUACGUCUUUUUCCAUCAAUUCACAAGUUUUAUGUGUAAUUUACACAUUUUUUGUUUCAUUUUACACUUAAUGUCAAUUUACAAGUUCUAUGUCAUUUUUUUAAGUUUUCGUUUUGUUUACAAGUUCUUCUUGCAAUUUACAACUCCAACAUUAAUUUAUCCAUUUUUCCAUCAAUUUACUAGUUUUAUUUGUGAUUUACAAAUUUUUUGUUUCAUUUCACACUUAAUAUCAACUUACAAGUUCUAUGUCAUUUUUCUAAGUUUUUAUUUUUUUUACAAUUUCUUCUUGCAAUUUACCACUCCAUCAUUAAUUUACCAAUUUUUCCAUCAAUUUACUAAUUUUUUUUUAUGAUUUACAUAUUUUUUGUUUCAUUUUACACUUAAUGUCAAUUUACAAGUUCUAUGUCAUUUUUCUAAGUUUUUAUUUUAUUUACAAUUUCAUCUUCUAAUUUACAACUCUAACAUUAAUUUACUCUCUUUUCCAUCAAUUUACUAGUUUUAUGUGUGGUUUACCUAUUUUUUAUUUUAUUUCACACUUAAUGUCAAUUUACGAGUUCUAUGUCAUUUUUUUAAGUUUUUGUUUUGUUUACAAUUUCUUCUUGUAAUUUACAACUCCAACAUUAAUUUACUCUCUUUUCCAUCAAUUUACUAGUUUUAUGUGUGGUUUACGUAUUUUUUGUUUUAUUUCACACUUAAUGUCAAUUUACUAGUUCUAUGUCAUUUGUCUAAGUUUUUGUUUUGUUUACAAUUUCUUCUUGUAAUUUACAACUCCAACAUUAAUUUACUCUCUUUUCCAUCAAUUUACUAAUUUUAUGUGUAGUUUACGUAUUUUUUAUUUUAUUUCACACUUAAUGUCAAUUUACGAGUUCUAUGUCAUUUUUCCAACUUUUUGUAUAUAAUUUAUAACUUCAUCAUUAAUUUACCUCUUUUUCCAUCAAUUUACUAGUUUUAUGUAUAAUUUACACAUUUUUUGUUUCAUUUUACAUUUAAUGUCAAUUUACAAGUUCUAUGUCAUUUUUCUAAGUUUUUAUUUUGUUUUAUUUACAAUGUCAUUUUUCUAACUUUUUGUUUUGUUUACAAUUUCUUCUUGUAAUUUACAACUCCAUCAUUAAUUUACCUUUUUUUUUCCAUCAAUUUACUAGUUUUAUGUCUUAUUUACAUAUUUUUUGUUUCAUUUGACACUUAUGGUGUGUUUACUUCUUGGAAUAAGGAAUGGGAAUGGAAGAAUGAGAAUCAAAGCUAUGUUUACUUGACAAAAUUGAAUUUAGGAAUGGGAAUAAAUUGUGUGGGUCCCACAUAAUUUGAGAAUAAAGAAUGGGAAUCUCAUUCCCAUGGGGGGUUGGGAAUGAAAAUGUGGGAAUGAGAAUGAAAUAUAAAUUUACUUUUCUAUCCCUCUAAUUUUUUCAUAUUUCCUAAAUUACCCUUGUUCAAAUCACAAUGUAAUUUUGUUAUUUUAAAGGGAAAUUUACACUCGUCCACCUGUUUGUUUUGCCUUUUUCAAAAAUACACAAACACUUUUUUUUUUUCAGCGCGCCACCUGAUGUUUGUUUUUUGUUGCAUUCAUCCACUUCCGUCUAAUUUCCGUUAGUGGAUUUAACGGAAUGUUAAUGAAAUGACCUUUUUACCCCUCAAAAUUACAAUUUAACCCAAAAUAAAUAGAAAUUGGAGAUAAAUUGGAUGAAUUUAAUUUUUUUCAAAGGUGGAUGCUAGAAAUUGGAGGAAAAUAGUGUUUUUUGCUUGCUAAAUUUAGAAAAUUUGUAUUUAUUUUUUUGAAAGAUAAAAAAAUAAAUACACAAAAAAAUAAUACAAAUUUUCUAAAUUUAGCAAGCAAUAAACACUAUUUUUCUCCAAAAAAAUAAAUAAAAAUUUUCUAAAUUUAGUAACAAACAAACACUAUUUUCCUCCAAUUUCUAGCAUCCACCUUUGAAAAAAAUUAAAUCCAUCCAAUUUAUCUCUAAUUUCUAUUUAUUUUGGGUUAAAUUGUAAUUUUGAGGGGUAAAAAGGUCAUUCCGUUAAAUUCACUAACGGAAAUUAGACGGAAGUGGACAAAUGCAACAAAAAGUAAACUUCAAGUGGCGCGCUGAAAAAAAAAAGUGUUUGUGUAUUUUUGAAAAAUGCAAAACAAAUAGGUGGACGGUUGUAAAUUCCCCUAUUUUAAAUGUCAUUAAUAAUAAUAAUAAUAAUAAUAAUUAUUAUUAUUAAAGUUUAUUAAAUUUAUUAUUUUAGUUAUUAUUAAUUAUUUUUAUUUUUAUUAAUAUGAUCAUUAUUAACAAUAAAAAUAAUGAUAAAAAUAAUAAUUAAUAAAAAUAAUUAAUUUAUCAUUAUUAACAAUAUUAUCAUUAUUAUUAUUGUUGUUGUCAUUAUUAUUAUUAUUAUAUUAUUAAUAAAAAUAAUAAUAACAAUAAUUAAUAAUAACUAAAAUAAUAAAAUAAAUAAAAUUUAAUAAUAAUAAUAAUAAUAUAAUUUUCAUUAUGUACAUACAUAUAUAAAUAUUAUUAUAAAAAUGAUAUUAAUUAAAAUAAUAAUAAUAAUAAAUGUUAAUAAUGAUAAUAUUAAUAAAAAUAAUAUUAAUAGUAAUUAAUAAUAACUAAAAUAAUAAAGUUAAUAAAAUAUAAUACUAAUAAUAUUAAUAAUAAUAAUAAAUGUUAAUAAUGAUAAUAUUAAUAAAAAUAAUAAUAACAAUAAUUAAUAGUAACUAAAAUAAUAAAUUUAAUAAAAUUUAAUAAUAAUAAUAAUAAAUGUUAACUAAAAUAAUAAAGUUAAUAAAAUAUAAUAAUAAUAAUAAUAAUAAUAAUAAUAAAUGUUAAUAAUGAUAAUAUUAAUAAAAAUAAUAAUAACAAUAAUUAAUAGUAACUAAAAUAAUAAAGUUAAUAAAAUUUAAUAAUAAUAAUAAUAAAUGUUAAUAAUGAUAAUGUUAAUAAAAAUAAUAUUAACAGUAAUUAAUAAUAACUAAAAUAAUAAAGUUAAUAAAAUUUAAUCGAGCUCUAAUAUUUAGUCCCGAGCCUAACUAUUAAAUUCGAGUCAAAUGCCAGAAAGUUCAGGUCAAGUCAAUUAAACUAAAAGUCGAGCCGAGUCUUCCUUACAUGUAUAUAUGUUUGCAUCUUGAUUUUUAUUUUUAUUUAUCAUAUAAACUCUUCUAUAAAUUUAUUAUUAUUAUUAUUAUUAUUAUUAUUAUUAUUAUUAUUAUUAUAUAUAUAUAUAUAUAUAUAUAUUGUCAUUAAUCGGAAUGGGGAAUGAGAAUCAGAAUAAAUUGUUUACUUAACUUACAAGAAUCGAAAUCGAAAUGGAUUGGAAUCUCAUUAAUGUGUUUAUUUUAUCUUGGAAUUGGCUUUGGAAUGAGUUAGAUUGUAACAAAUUACUCAAAAGUACUUAAUGAAUUAUUAUCAUAAUUAUUUUAUAUUUUAAUUAUAGUGAUUAUUUAUUCAAAAAUUAUUAUUAUUAAUUAUAAUAUAUUAAUAAAAUCAUAAAUCUAUCAUUUUUUCUUUAAAUUAGUUUAUAAAAAUCGACCAUGUCCCUUUCCCGAAUGAGAAAUUGAGUAUAAAAUCAUAAAUUUAAAAUUUAACUAAAAAUCAUAAAUCUAAACUCAAAAAAAAAAUCAUAAGUGGUUCUAUAUACAUUUUAGGUAUAUAUAUAAAUGUUUGUUUGUGUGUGUAUAUAUAUACUAUCAAUUUUAUCCUUAACUUAUUUUAAAAAAUAAUGUUAUAUAAUUAAGAUUAUUAAGAUAUAAAAAACAACAAAAAAUUAUAAAAUUUAAAAUUCACUAAAACUAUGUCAUUUCCAUAUAAUAUUCAUUUUCUUUUUUAAGUGAAAGCGGUAAAAAAAAGGCUCGGCUCUCAAGUCUCAACGACACCAUAGAAUACGAGAACGACAAAAUGAAAAAUUAAAAUUAUAGUGAUUAUGAAUUUACAGUGAGAUUUGAAUGAUAGUAACACAUUUACAAUGAUUAUGAAUUUAACUGAUGAGUUCGUAAUGGAUCAAUAGUAUUUUCGCAAGGAUGGCAAUGGGUCGAGUCGGGCCUGUGCUUAGCCAUUUCCGAGCCCAACUCUAUAACUGAAAUAAAAUUUUCAAGCCUAAAAAGGCUCGAUUAUUUGAAAGCCUGUGCUCAAUCACACUUUCAUUUAAAGUUUUUUUUUUUAAUUUUUAGUUAAUUUAAAAUUUAAAAAUUGGACAUAGCCUCCCCAUAUACAUUAAAAUAUAAAAGCUUCAAAAAUUGUUUAAUGUAACAUAAAAAUAAAAAUUACUCAAGGUCAUAACCAUAUUAUUACGUAAAUAAUAAACAUAAAAUAAACAUUUUUUUUUUUAAGUUUCAGGGUCAAGUCAGGUCGAGUCCAGCAUGUAGGUCAUGAACCCUGAUCUGAAUUUAAUCGGGCUCUAAUAUUUAGGCCCAAGCCUGACCAUUAAAUUCGAGUAAAAGGCCAAAAAAUUCAGGUCAAGUCAAUUAGACUAAAAGUCGAGCCGAGUCUUCCUUGCAUGUAUAUAUGAUCAUAUAAACUCUUCUAUAAAUUAUAUAUAUAUAUUUUUACUUGUAAUUAAUCAAAAUGGGGAACGAGAAUCAGAAUAAGUGGUUUACUUGACCUACAAGAAUCAGAAUCGGAAUGGACUGGAAUCCCAUUGAUGUGUUUAUUUUAUCUUGGAAUUGGCUUCGAAAUGAGUUAGAUUGUAAAAAAUUACUAAAAAGUAAUUAAUGAAUUAUUAUCAUAAUUAUUAUUUUAUAUUUUAAUUAUAGUGAUUAUUUAUUAAAUUAUUAUUAUUAAUUAUAAUAUAUAUUAUUAUAUUAAUAAAAUCAUAAAUUUAAAAUUUAACUAAAAACCAUAAAUCUGAACCCAAAAAAAAAAUCAUAACAUAAGUGGUUCUAUAUAGAUUUUAGGUAUAUAUGUAAAUGUUUGUGUGUGUCUAUAUAUAUAUAUAUAUAUAUAUAUAUAUAUAUAUGAAUCUAUCAAUUUUAUCUUUAACUUAUUUAAAAUAUAUAAUGUUAUAUAAUUAAGAUAUAAACAACAACAAAAAAUUAUAAAAUUUACUAAAACUACAUUGUUUCCAUAUAAUAUUCAUAUAAUAUAAUAACUUGAAGGCUCUAGUUAGAAAAUUUCCAUCAAAACAUUAGCAUUGACCACCAAUGUGUAGGAUCCAAGUACGAAUUUAACACAUAGGCAAAUCACUCAAAAAAUAAAUUAAUUAAAAUAGAACCAUGAACAAAUAAAUUUUUCAAAGUGGGUUGGUAAAAAAGGAAACUAUGGUUGCAUUGACACUUACAAUGAUACACAAAAGGCAAAACGAAAUUAAGGCUGAUUUUAUUCUUUUGGGACUGGAUGCGUAUGUUCAAAAUAAUUGUUUAUUUUGAACAAUUAUUUGAUCUUCUCUACUGCAUAGCCAAUAUUUCAUUACAGAUGUAACAUCUGUAUAAUUCUCGUUUGUCUCUUACUUAGAAACAAUAAAAAGAUCAAAUUAAAGUCCAAUGCAUACUCUAUAUAUAUAUAAUUUUUUUUUUUGUGUUAACCAUUAACAAACUCAAUUCAUAAUAUAGUCAACAAAAAACAUUAAAUAUUGUCAAUCGCCACCACAAGAAUGAAAGCAUCCAAUAUAACCAGGAUUGGUCUCAAUUUAUCUCAAAACUUCAUAACAGUUCACCAACAAGGAGUAACCAUAAAUAAGGUAAUAGGGAUAAGUCUAACUGCUGGAACAAUUAGGUUUCUCAACCAAACAUUAGUUUACUCAUAGAUCCAAGGGUGAAGGCUGCUCUGCCAGUUAAUAGGGCCAUCUGGGAACCACAAGGCAAUUUCUUUCUGGGCACUCGCAACUGAGUCACUUCCAUGGAUGAUAUUCCUGCCCAUCACAAUAGCGAAAUCACCAUGGAUGGUUCCAGGAGCAGACUGCGCAGGGUUGGUGGCUCUAAUAAUAGUGCGGCCAGUCUUAACAACGCCUUCACCCUCCCAAAUCAUAGCAAUGACAGGACCAGAGGUUAUGUACCCAAUAAGAGCACCAAAGAAAGGCUUUGACAACAAAUCCUCAUAGUGCUUCUCAGCAAAAGGGCGGUCCACAGUCAUAAGCUUCAAACCCUUCAAAGAGAAACCUUUCUUCUCAAAUCUGCUGAUGAUUUCACCAACAAGGCCUCUUUGGACCCCAUCGGGCUUGAUCAUGAUGAAAGUUUGUUCCAUUUCAUUGAGAUUCAAAGAAACCAACUUGUUUGAGAAUUCAGUGAAAUAGCACAACACAUAGGUGAGAGAAUAAUGCAUGCUCUAUAUAUAUACAUAUUUGCUAUGUCUUGGUCAAAACAAUGCAAAUGCGGUAGAGGAGAAUCAGUAAAGAAUGACGAACCUAGCCCGGUUCUCCUCUUGACUCCCGACGCCGAGUCGUUAUCGUCGGACCGAAACCACUUCACGAACACGAACCCAGCCCCUUCACCAACACGAACCGUUGUAGAGCUUCUACUUUCUCACUCCUUUUUGGCUUCAAACAGUUUUCAAAGCGAAGAUUGCAGUAAAAGAGGAAGGAUCGAGGAAACAAAAUUCGGGUUAGCCAGCAAACCCAAUUGCUUCGAAAAUACAAAAUCUGGCGUGCUACGAUUUUUAGAUUCGAUUCCGGGACCUUCGAAUUAUGACCAGACUUUGAUUCUAUUUGGACUUUCGUAGAAUUCAAUUUUAAAAUCUAUAAUUUUGAAAUUUUAACCAGUUAAUUUUUUUAAAUAAAUGUUUAACCGGUUGUAAACCUGUUAAUGAAAUUUUUUUAAAUAUUUUUAUUAUAUUAUAAUUAUUAGGUACCGUUGAUCUAAUCCAAUGGUCCACGUUUAUUACAGUAUCAAUGCCUUAAAUUUACUUACAACAUUAUAGAAUUUUCCUAAUUAAAAUACAAAUUAAUAAUUAUAACAAUAGUUAAUUAAAGUCUUUUUAGCAAUUUGUAAUAAUCUAACUCAUUAUGAUUUUGAUUAUUACAGUUUAAGUAAACAACUUAUUAUGAUUCUUAUUCUCCAUUCCCACUUCAGUUCAUUCCGAUUUCAAUUCAUUCCGAUUUUCGUUUAAUAAAUGCACCAUUAGUGCUAUAGUAAUAUUUCAAAUAGAGAAAAGUAAAAGCUACACCUAAGGUUGAGGGAAAAGAUUUCAAAACUCUCUUUUGAUCAUAAAACCUUUUGUCUUAAUUAACUUAAAGAUUUUGAAUCUAAUAUUUUAUAAUAAAUAAAAAUAUAUUCCUAAAAUAAAUAUAAUAAUAUCUAUUUUAAAAUUACUAACUGUUUUUAUUAAAGGCAAGUAAUAUCAAUUGUAAACUACAAAUUAAAAUAGAUUUUUUUUCGAUAAAUUACAAAUUAAAGUGGAUUCUUUUGAAUACAAGUGGGACAGACGAUUAGGCUCUUUUUAUUAAAGGCAAGUAAAUUACAAAUUACUAACUGUUUUUCCUUCAAAAGUUAGCGGCUCAUGUUUGCAAGUGUGAAUGUGCGAUGCUCUUUUCUUAAAGGCAAUUACAGUGGGGCCCGAAUCAGACGUGCCUAAAUCUUUUUAAAAUUUUUGCCGUAUAACGAACAGAGGUCAUUACUAAAAUUUCUCUUCCAUAGCCUACAGCAGCUUCAGUUUAUCAAACUCCAUCAAUUUUCUUUCUUAACAAAAUUCCAAAGAUGUGUAGCAUUUUUCAGAUCACAUGCGAUGGUGCUCUUUUCAAUCGUUGCUUGGAUUGCUUUCUUGGAAAAGCAGCAUACAUACGUAACCUCCAAGAUAAUCUUGAUGCCUUGGACACUGAACUGGGAAGACUAAUCGCUAAAAAGAACGAUGUGAUGAGGAGGGUUGUCGACGCUGAACGACAACAAAUGAGAAGGCUGGACGGAGUGCAAGUGUGGGUUUCGAGGGUGGAUGCUGUUAAAACUGGAGCCGAUGAACUUAUCACAGACGGCUCUGAAGAAAUUGGCAAAUUAUGUGUUGGAGGCUACUGUUCCAAGAACUGCAGGUCAAGCUACAAAUUCGGAAAACAAGUGGCUAAAAAGCUACAAGAUGUAAAGACUUUAAUCGCCGAGGGAGUUUUUGAGGCGGUGGCCACUGAGGUGGUGCCCGAGAGAGCUCCGGAACCUGUAGCAGAUAAAAGACCCACUGAGCCAACAAUAGUAGGCUUGCAAUCACAGCUUGAACAAGUUUGGAGAUGUCUUGUAGAAGAAUCAGUGGGAAUCAUUGGCCUAUAUGGUAUGGGCGGUGUUGGUAAAACCACACUAUUGACCCAUAUCAACAAUAAAUUUCUUGAGAGUCCCACAAACUUUGAUUGUGUGAUUUGGGUCGUAGUUUCAAAAGACCUGCGACUUGAAAAAAUUCAAGAAGAUAUUGGGAAGAAGAUAGGUCUCUCUGAUGAUUCAUGGAAGAAUAAAAGUUUUGAAGAGAAAGCUGUGGACAUCCUGCGGAGAUUAGGAGAGAAGAGAUUUGUAUUGUUGUUAGAUGAUUUAUGGGAGCGGGUUGAUUUAACAGAAGUGGGCGUUCCACUUCCCAGCGCACAAAAUACUACCUCAAAAGUCGUAUUCACAACCCGUUCCAUUGGUGUUUGUGGCAGCAUGAGAGCUAGGCCGGUUAAAGUGGCAUGCCUAUCAGAAAAGCAAGCUUGGGAAUUGUUCCGCGAAAAUGUUGGGGAAGAAACUCUUGAGAGUGAUCAUGAGAUCGUUGAGCUAGCCCAAACUGUGGCCAAAGAGUGUGGUGGUUUGCCACUCGCACUUAUUACUAUUGGUCGAGCUAUGGCCUACAGAAAGAAAGCGGAGCAGUGGAGACGUGCAAUUGAAGAGUUAAGAAGAUCAGCUUCAGAGUUUGCAGGUUUGGGAAAAGAGGUGUAUCCUCUUUUAAAGUUUAGCUAUGAUAGUUUGCAGAAUGAUACAAUUAGAUCUUGUUUCUUGUAUUGUUGUUUAUAUCCUGAAGAUUAUGGCAUUCUUAAAUGGGACUUGAUUGAUUGUUGGAUUGGCGAGGGAUUUUUUGGGGAAUCUGACAGGUCUGGUGCAGAAAACCAAGGCUAUGACAUUUUGGACACUCUUGUUCGUGCACGUUUAUUAGAAGAGGUGGAAGAUGAUAAAGUAAAAAUGCAUGACGUUAUUCGUGAUAUGGCUCUAUGGAUAGCUUGUGAAAUUGAGAAGGAGAAGAGAAACUUUUUGGUUUGUGCAGGUGCUGGAUUAAAAGAGGCACCGGAUGUUAAAGGAUGGGAAAAUGUGAGAAGAUUGUCAUUGAUGCAAAACCAAAUUAAAACUCUGUCAGAGGUUCCCACAUGCCCUCAUCUCCAUACUUUAUUUCUUGCCUCUAAUAUGGAGUUGGAGAUGAUCGCGGAUGGCUUCUUCCAAUUUAUGCCUUCUCUCAAAGUUUUGAAGAUGUCACGCUGCUGGAAUUUUCAAUUACCUGUUGGGAUGUCAGAUUUGGGUUCGUCACUAGAACUUCUUGAUAUUUCACGUACCAAAAUAAGAGAGUUACCAGAAGAGUUAAAGUUGUUGGUAAAUCUGAAAUGUUUGAAUUUGGGGUGGACAAGGGAGUUAAAUAAAAUUCCACGGCAACUAAUAUCAAAUUCUUCAAGGUUACGUGUGUUGAGAAUGUUCGCUACUGGCUAUGGGGGUCUUCAUGGAGCAUCAGAAGAUAGCGUUUUUUUUGGCGGGGGUGAAGUUUUGAUACAGGAAUUGCUCGGUUUGAAAUAUUUAGAGGUAUUGGAGUUGACCUUGGGAAGUUAUCAUGCUCUCCAAAUUGUUUUGAGCUCAAAUAAGUUGAAAAGUUGUAUUCGAUCUCUUUUCCUCCAGUUGUUCAGAGAUACAACGUCGAUUAUUGAUGCUACGGCUUUCGCAGAUCUAAACCACCUCAAUGAAUUACAUAUUUAUAUAGGUAUUGAGUUGGAAGAGUUGAAGAUUGAUUAUACAGAGAUAGUACGAAAAAGGCGGGAACCUUUUGUUUUCCGCAGCCUUCACCUUGUUACUAUACAUAGCUGCCCUAAAUUGAAAUAUGUGACAUUCCUCGUUUUUGCUCCAAACCUCAAGUCUCUUGAGCUAUGGAAUUGCCAUGCUAUGGAAGAAAUAAUCAGCGUCGGAAAAUUUGCUGAGACUCCUGAGAUGAUGGGACAUAUAAGCCCUUUUGAAAAUCUCCAAAGGCUUAAUUUAGAAGAUUUGCCAAAUUUGGAGAGCAUCUACUGGAAGCCAUUGCCUUUUACUCGUCUGAAAGAAAUGGCGGUACUUGGGUGCGAUCAGCUUGAAAAGCUUCCGGUCGAUUCCAAUAGUGCAAAAGAGCGUAAAUUUGUAAUUCGUGGAGAAGAAGACUGGUGGAACCGACUUCAAUGGGAGGAUGAAUCCACUCAAAUUGCUUUUCGUUCCUGUUUCCAACCUGAUUCCUGAGCGGUGGUCGCAAAAUUUGAUUUCUGGUGAGUGCGUUUGUCUUUUAAAAGAAGAAUUUAAAAGAAAUUAUUCUUGUCGUUUGUUUUCUUCUGUGUUUUUAUUUCAGUUUCUUUCUCUCUCUCUCUCUCUCUCUUUUUGGUCUUCUGCAAAUCACAAUUAAAUGUUGAAUUAAUGGAAUUAAUGCUUCAUAAAUUUGCCGGCACUGCCAUUACUGUUUUUUGGGGGGGUCGAAUUGAUGCUCUGGUUUUUUACUUUUUGUUGUCAAAUUUUGCCCUGUUCUAUCUUCUUAGCGAUUUAAUUUCCUGUCAAAAGACGAGCGAGAAGAACAUAUAUAUGACUUAAACCAAUUGAUACUUUAUUUAUGUGCAUUGUAUGUAAUAAAUAUUAAGUAUACUUUAUUUUGCCCUGUUCUCUGUUUUUAUUUCAGUCUCUCUCUCUCUCUCUUUCCUGUCUUCUGCAAGUCAUAAUUAAAUGGUGAAUUAUAUGGAAUUAAUGCUUUACAAAUCUGCCUGCACUGGCUUUUUUUUUUUUUUUUUUGUGGGGUCGAAUUGAUGCUCUGGUUUUUUUUUGUUGUCAAAAUUUUCUCUGUUUUUUCAAAUUGAUGCUUUAUUUAUAUCUUCUUCGUGAAAAGUGAUUUAAUUUCCUGCCAAAAGACGAACGAGAAGAACAUUAGAGUCAAACUAAUGCUCACAUAAAUUUCCCGUCAGAAUAUAUAAUUAGACUGGAAUAGUAGCACUCUUUACAGAAAAUGACGUGAAAGUUAAUUUAGAAAGAUAUAUUCUUGACGUGAAAGUUAAUAGUAUACAUGCCAUCACCAUUACCAAGAAUCAAGCAUGGAAUUGGAAGUCAUUCUAUAGAGUGCAGAACAUGACUCUAUGCGGUAGUCAAUUUGACACACGACGAACACCAUAUGCUGCAUAACAUACAAAUUAAUUUCCCAUAUGUGAUGCAAUUUGCUCCUCAACAUAUGCGCAAUUCUUUCCAUUCCGGCCGUUGAUUGAACCCUUUGGCAACAAGACGAGCUUUAAACUUGUCAACAGAACCGUUGGAAUGUCUUUUAAUACAAAAAUCCUUUUGCAGCCAACAAUAUUGGAAGGGAUGGGAGGUGGAACAAGCUUCCAUGUCCCGUUACGAACAAGAGCAUCAUACUCUUCUGACAUAGCUUGACGCCAGUGAGGAUUUUUGAUAGCUUGUGUCACAGUUGUAGGUUCACAAUCAGAAAAAGGGCUAAAAUGAGCACGGAGGUUAAGUUUUUGUAACGGCUUGUGAAUCUUAUUUUUAGCUCGGGUAGUCAUAUCAUGAUGAUUUGUGGGGCAAUGAUCUAGUGGAAGUUUGGGAAGAUGAUUGAACAGGAAGUGAAGAAGUGCUUUGUGUAGAGGUAGAAGUAGGUUGGGAGGAUUGCUGCGGCGAUGUUACCGGUAGAAAAGAAGGAGCAGUACACGGUGCAACUCCAGAGGGCCCACAGUAGAUGGAGUAGGUGCCGACGAUGGAGUACUAGGAAAUGAAACAGUAAGAAUUGGUGGAACACUUGCGUAAUUAGGAGUGGUUGAUGAGCUUGUAAUGAUUUGUAUGGAAAAACAAACUCUACAAAUUUAACGUGACGUGAAAAAAAAAUUUGAAAGGUGGAUGGGUCAAAACAUAAAUAAGCACUUUGAGAUAAAGGAAUAUCCUAGAAAAACACAAGGCUUAGAGGGUGGUUCGAGUUUAUGUGAUGAAACACAAACAUUCAAAAAUUUUUAAGUUUAUAUUAAUUAGGAGUGGUACCAAAAAUUAAUUAGCUAUGGGGUUGUUGGAUGUGUUUUGGAUAUUUACAGUUAAGUUUGAGUAUCUCAACUUAAAAUUUGUAGUUUUCACUUGAAAAAAUUCAGUUAAAUUUUGCAAUGCAGACUGAUUGAUUUAUCAGUUUAACGUGUGCCAGGAAUGAAGAACUGGAAUAUCACCGUCAAGCAAGCACCCUGUGGAGCAAUACCAAAGAAUGCACAAUCCGGCUUUGCUAGGUGACACUGGAGGCUUUUUGAAAAGUGCUUCACGCUCACUUGCACAGAUUGAGCAUCCCCUCUGGAUAUUGCCCUCUCUGAUCGAGUCUGAGCACUCAAAUUUCGGUCCUCAGAUGGAGCUACAGCUUUCUCUCCAAUAACCAACAAUUUUCUAAACUCAGCACCUAGUGUGAUCAGAGUUGUUGAUAUUUGUAAAUGGAGAUCCCCAUAUUUGUAAAUGGAGACAUUUAACAAAUCACCAACAUGCUUCAUCCGGUGUACAAAAUUCUGCAGCUGAUUCAAAUCCGGAACCUGAACCAGAGUCGGAGGUAUAUCUUGAGCCAUAUCUAAAGCAGUUUGAAGUUCAAGACCUUGAGCCCUUGACAAUGGUUUUGAAAUUGGAACAUCUUGGAUUACUGCAGACUUGUACCCCUUGGUUUCAAAGGUAAGGAAAGGCAUUGCUUGAGUACAAUUUGGAGGCAGCUUCUUCACCAAUUUUAUUUGGAGGCGAUUGGCAGCGGAUCCAGCUGCACCAAUUUCAGAGCAACUACUGACACUACUUCGAACAGCACACUGAAGAAGUGAUAUGUCUACAGCAAAGGCAAUGCAGUCCUCAUUUUGGCUUGAGAUGCGGUAAUCAUCGAAGAGAGUUUCCUUGUGAAACUGGGCAACACAUUGAAUCCCUUUGGCACUGAGAAGGUUGUGGAGGAAGUAAGCUUUCUCUCUAGUAAGGAAGAGGUGGCAUACAUUCCCCAUUUUGUCUAGGGCAGGUAGGAAUCUUUUUUCUAAGAGAUUUACUUCAUUCUCUGUGAGAAAUGCUUUGAACUUCAUCCCUCUGUCUCUAUCCUCACUUAUCAGUAAAAUAGUUGAAAGCGCUACAAGGAGAGAAAAGAAGAGUAUUAAGAUAUAUAUAGACAAGAAAAACAUUAGAUGUCGAUCUUACAAGCUAAUACUUCAAACAGUAUCCUAGAAAGCUAAAAACUGCAAAAUGGCUUGAAAUUUGAAAAGAACACAUGCUUUUCCUCCAUAACUUGAGAAAAUGUUUAAUAUAGUGCACCUUACAGAAACAUUUAAGCAAUUAGAACUUUGCACAAAAACAUUCAAGAAGACUAAACAAAUCAGAUGCAGUGUAUUUCUCCAAGCACAAAUGGCAUUGCAUUUCUUCCUCAACUGUAAUAUUUAUUGAUGAAAAUCAGUACAGGUCCCUCAUUUGUUAUGGAAAGCUUUCUUGUAGUCUGACCGGUUAAUUCACGGGUCUAUAAUCAUCUUGCAAAGUUACAGGCAUUUCUUUCGAUUUAAAGUCUUUGCAUCACCACCUCAUCACACACCAAGCCAAUAUUCCGUCUACCUCUACAACAAAAAGUUUUAAGUAAACGAUCCUAAUGCAUGCAGCCAAAUAAAAUGCAGUAAGAAUAUUCAACUUAAAACUCUGAAAGCCAUCUUGGUGAAUUGCCUCCUUAGGGGAAGUUCCAUGAUUUACUAUAGUUGACAGAACUCAGCAAAAGCUUCCAUACAACAGAUUUUGAAAAUGAUGAUGCCAAUAGAUACUCAUUCAAUCCAUUGAAAAUCCAAAGGUUCAUUGUUAGAUCACGAGCAAGAAACAAAAUGGAGACACGCAAUAUGAAUAUGGAGAAAAUUUGAACUCAAAUGAAAUGAGGGCACGAAAGCAAACACAUGGCAUGCGCAAACAAACCAAGCCUCAAUCAAAAACUAAUUAACCAUUAAGAAAAAAAAACUGGUCAGAGAAUGAACUCCAAAUUCGGGAGUGAAGCAAGAAGCUUUCAUUAUUUCAGAAGCUCCUGUACAAAUUAAUAAGUUAUGCUCUUUGGAAACAAACCUAAAUUCCAAGAGAAACAGAACUCAAAAAAUUUGCAAUUAUACGCAAAGGAAGUGAAGCACAGCAUUCUAUCACACGUACGAAUUGUACAACAAGAGAUCGACACAUCGAAUCAGAAGAACUCAAUUCAAAUUUGUCUCAAAAAUCAAAAUUAGAAGAUUUCACAUUUCGAGAGGAACAAGCGACAGGUCAGAUGCAAAAUUUUCAGCCACAACAUGGCACAAUUAACGGUUUAUUUCCAUGGAUUUAGAGAGAUCGCGCGCCAAAAUGGAAGAGGGAAAGCGAAAGUGCGGGUUUUAAUAGGGUAUUGGAUUAGCAAAUUUUAUUAGUUUGCGAGGGUAAAAUAGGAAAGAUAUAUCACUAUUAAGCUUUUUUUUUAAUAAAAAAAAGAAUAAUAAAGAAUAUUUUAUUGUCAUUUGCAGCAUUUAAUUUUUUUUUUAAAUGCUAUUAGAAAAAUACGACAAUAAAGAAAUGCUCUUUUUUUUUUUUUUUUUUCUGGAAGGUAAAAUCAAUUAUUUAGCUCCUUAUAUGUAAUCAAACUCCAUUUCUUACUUUAAGUCAUAUCCAACGGACCAACAAAGUAAUUUUUUUUUUUUCAUUCAUUUUUGCAGAAAAUUAAUAACUUAAAAAUAUUGAAAGCUAUUCUAAAAUUUUUUAUUAUCAACCUCAUAGUUUAAUUUUUUUGGGGAAGAAUUGAAUUUUUUUUUUUAAUUUCCAAGAAUUUCAUUCUCUAGUUUUUCCAUUAAUAUUAUUUAUCUUGAUACCCAUCUUAAUUAAAAUCUGUAGUUUUAUUCAAGAGUCAUGCUAUUCAUUCACUCACAGGCAAAAGGCUUUCCGCAGCAAUAUUAUUAUUUAAAUUACAACAAAGGGGAAAUCAAAUACGUCAUACAGAAGCAUAAAGCUGAAUCUACAAAAUCUAGAGCUCUCAACUACAUAAAUUACACUUGAUGACCCUCUACAAGAUGAAGCUUGUUCAAUAUCUCAUCCAAAGCUUGUAAAGUAACCCUGUAACGAUCUUGAGAUUGCCUGCCUUCCUCGACGACCUGCACGAUGCGUUUGUACAAAUCAUCAUACCUGUGCACCGGAUUUUUAAUAUCAAUGGCACUGCAGCUGUGAUCAAGAACAUAAGAGCGUUUAACGUCUUUUCUCCAUCGAGAAAGAAUGUACUGAGAUGGGAUCUCCUCCAUGCCACUCUGGUUUAAAACACAAAGAAUGUGUCUGCAUAAAUAUCCUCUGAAAUUGAACAACCCACAAACACAAAGCACCUCCAAGUCAGAGGCAUUGUACAAAACAUCGAAAGCCCUUGAAUCUUUCUCGUUGCUACCAACCUCAAAUUCUUCUUUCACUAUGUAUGUUAUAGGUCCAUCAGCACUGACAUGUUUUGUGCUAUAGCAAGAGUACAUAGCCUCCACCUCCGUCUGAAACUUCCUUAACAUUUCAUUUGUGUACAGUUGUGAGAGUUGAAAUUCAUAGUAACAUCUUGGUUUCUGGAUACAACUUGAAUUUCUUGGAUCCAUAUCUGCCAAGGCUUCCAGUUGAUAAUUCGCCUGCAGUGCUUGAUCAUACUUGUCUAAGAAUUCUUUCAAAGGAGUAUUCUUAUGAAGAUAUCCUUCAAAGUAUGAAGUAGAAACCUCAUUCUGCAGGAACGAAAACACUCCUGAUAAAAAAGCUUCCUUCAAAUAAAUAGGAGCCCACCUUUUACGAUCUUCAUAUAACGUUUGAAUCCAUCCGUGAUCCUUUAUUCCAUGACGUUGAAUCAUGUCUUCCCAAGCUGCUUCAAAUUUCUCAGGCCAGAGAGAGUGAUAAAUUGCUCUAUGUAAUGCAGCUUUAAUAGCUUCAUAUUCAAACAAUCCUUGGAGUUUCUCUGGAAUUUUUUGCAUGAUGCAUGACAAUGAAAAGCAAUGAUAAGCUCUUGGGAAAACAUCGCCAGCAGCAAUUUGCAAGAUUCUACAUUGGUCAGUGAUGAUUGUUUGUGGAGAGCGCCCUAACAUACAUGUAAGCCACGCCCUAAACAACCAUGUCUAUGAUUCUAUGGUCUCACUGGCAAGUAAACCACAACCCAACAACACUGAUUGUCCAUGAUGAUUCACCCCAAUGAAUGAAACCAGUGGUACAUCAUAUCUUUCAGUCAAGCACGUAGUAUCAAUUAAGACUACAUCACCAAAGUACCUAUAUGCAACUCUUGACCUGAUAUCAGUCCAGAACAGGUUUCUCAAGCAUCCCUUUUCAUUUAGUCCACUACAUUAAAAAAGUUUGGAUCUGUCAACUGCAAACGACAAAAGAAACUCUGGAUAGCUUGUGCAUCUCCUGGUUUAAGCUUCAAUUGAUUUGAGCUAUUAACAUUAUUUCCAAAUACUCCAUUAACAUCUACAUUACCAUUUCCCUCGGUAUCAAUGAUAAGAGUUCGAAACAGUUUAAUUUUUUGAACUUCUUCAGCACUAUCUAAAUGCAAUGUUCUUUUGGUUCCAAUACCUAUGUGCUUAUGUGACUUGUAAAACUUUCCACUUCUUGGGCUUAACAAGUGGUUAUGCUCAAGCUCGACUUCAAUGAUUCUCCACCUUUUGGUUUCCAUCAACCUAAACUUUAUCAUUGCUGGACAGCCAGUUCUUGUUUCUGGUCUUGGGCGGUUUGCCUCGCUUUUCUUCUUGAAGCCUGCACUACUACAGCUCAGCUUUCCUCUAUACUUUACUCUUUUGGUACCAUGUAUUGCUAACUCUAACACCAAAACCAUGUUCCUUGGCAUAGCAAUUGUAAAAGUAAAAUACAUCAUCAUACAUCUCAAACUCCAUUCCAACAGCAGGAGGCAAGGGAUUUUGGAUUAUCCCAGUUUGUCCAACAUAUUCAGUCAUCGCACAAUCUCCUACGACCUCAAAAUCAUCAGUGUCAUCAUCACCUACUGGUUCGGUGUUGAGAGAAACUUCAUCCAUCUACAAUGGAUGUUCAAUGAAGUGAGCUUUAAGGAGAAAAAGCAAAAUCAGUUCAAGGAAUGAUAAUAUAAUCAUAUAGUUACUUUCACAAAGCUUCAUAUUUCAUCACUGCUUUACCAACAUGCAACUGCCAGAGAACAAACAGACAUGUCAUAGACGCUUGAAUUAAGUAUUUGUACAAAUGAGCACACAUCAUGUGGGACAAAAUUUCAGUCACUAAACCCAAUACCACUUUUUACAUCAUACCAAGGAACAGAUUAAACCCGACACCUUCUUUUAAACCAUACCAAGGAACAGAUUAAAUCAUCAAUGAAAAAUUAAUCACAUAAUAACUUAACCAGACAAAUGAAGAGCCUGAAACAGCACAAAACUUGAAUAUGAUUAUGAUAAUUGUUGAGUCCUUGUAUCUACAGCUUUCCUUCAAUGAUAAGACAAUGAACAUAAACGAGAUGCAAAAAAUUUAUUUUAAGCUGACAGCCCAUGAUAUAAAUCAAACAAAAUCAACUCCUUUUUUUACACAUCACAUCUCAUAUUCAUUUACAUUGAAACACAAAAAGGAAGCAGGAGUGGGAAAAAAACAACAGCAGAGGAACUUAUUUCCAUAAGGUUUACGAAAUAAGGAAUCUAUUAAAACCCAAAACUUGAGGUCACCACUAAGAAUUUCGUUCUCAUUAUUUUUUUCUUCAUUUUUCACCAAUGAUGAACUUAAAAUACAAUCAUAAAUGAUAAAACCCCAUCUCCAUCUUUUUGAACUAGAGCUAAAGCAAAGCAUUUUAAGAUGUUUCAUCAUUUUUUUUAAAAAAAAAAACCUCAAUAGUACAAUGUUUUUCAAUGUUAAAUGCACAAUUCAAUCUUCUCCUAAUUUACUCUAAUAAUCUCUUAAUUAAGGAAGAUUAAGCUUCAGUUGUAAGCUAAAACAAAUUUCUUAAAUCAAGCCCCAAUGCUUUAUGCUAUUCAACAAGGGCUCAUAAAUGAUAAAACUACUUCUACAAAGAUACCCAUUUUCUAAAUUAAUUUCACAAACUGAAAUCAAACUCCUGAAACGUAACGAGCAUUAAUAUAAUCAAACCCGAACAAGAAUUGAAAAACGACACAUAAACUCGUUUACACAUUUUGACAGACACUUUGCAAUCAAUGAGCAAAAAAUUAAUGGAGAAGAUAAAAUUCAAACGAAACAUGCCUUACAUUGAUAAAUUAGAAGGGCAAAAGAAAUUUUAGUAAGAUAUGGGAUCAGGGUCUUGCCACGGUGAUGUUAUUUGUGAUGUUCGAGCGACUCAGCAGCCUUCGAGGUUGAAAAUUUGAUUGACCAAAAGCUUCCCGUUCGUUGAUUCUCUAAUAGCAGAAACGAGACUGGCAGUAUACACAACAAGUUCGCUGAUUUUAAAUUCCGUUGUUUGAGAUGGAAAUUUUUUUUGAAAAAAUUAAUGUGUUCGAUGAAUAUCAAAAUCUAAAAAACUUUUUGUUUUUCAUUUUUUUGGAAAAAGCCAUUGAGAUCCUUACUAUUUUUUCUUAUAUCAUCUUGCUUAAUAAUUUGCAAAGUCUAUCGCAUAGCACCCAUGCAUGAUGUAUGCUGCGUUGUAAUUUACAAAAUUGCACAUGAAUAAAUCCAGCUAAAAUUUGUUAAAAGAAAAUAAUAAUAACAUGUUAAAACUUAAAAAUUUGAUUAUUCGAAGAAAUUUUAAUUUAGUUAAGUAGGUGACAUGAUAAUAAAUAGAUACGUAUAAUGUCCGAGAUUUUUAUAAGAUUAAUAAAUAUGAUAAAAUUAAACAUGCAAAUAUACACACUAAUUUAGAUGUGUGAAUAACAAAUAUGGAACGACACAUGCAAAGUCAUCUGUAUAAUUGAAACGCCAUGCACUAGUAGUAGGUAAGAGAAACCAAGGUUGAAGUUGCUCCAAUGGUUACUGUUCAUUUAUUUUUAUUUAUGAUUUUUAUGUAAAAUGUAAGAAAUAUGUAGAAAUGUUGCCAGCAAUGAUUUUGGAACUUUGCAUAAAAUUUUUAUCAUUAUUGUUUUUGGUAUUAAGAAAUCCGAGGCGGUGAUUAGACGUAUGUUGCAACAAUUAAGAAAUUUCUUAUUGGAGAUAAUUUGGUAGGUUGCAGCAAUUAGAGAAUAAUUUUCCUGCCGGUUAAUCAAUCAAUAAUAAAUUUCAAAUUGCAGAAAAUAAAAUAAUACUGUCGCACUUAGAAUCAUAUUUUCUAUCUCUUUCAAUUGUGGCAAUCAUUUGUAACAAAUAAAUCAAUUUGAUGCACAUCAUUUCCCCAAUUCAAAGUUCAAGUCACUGCUCAAUUGCAGAGUAGUUAGUAGACAUGCAUGCAUGUUUAAUUAAGUACUGCAUUGUAGUAUCGAAAAUCAUAACAUCUCACCAAGCCCAGAAACUAUGGGAAACAUGAUCUCACUCUCAGUGUCACUUGAUUCCAUUUUCUGUUCUUGCCUUGAUUUCGAUGUUGGGAAUGUGACGUCUGAGUCUAAGGUUGAAGAUAAUCUCGAUGCCUUGCGGACUGCAAUGGAAAAAUAAGCGGAAACGAGAAAUGAUGUGAUAAUAUUUACAAAAGAAUGGAUCGAGUGCAGGGCUGGCUUUCAAGGGUAAAAGCUGUGGAAAAUAAAGCUGAUGAUUUGAUGAGACACAGCUCUCAAGAGAUUGAGAAGUUAUGCCUUGGAGGCUUCUGUUCCAAGAACUGCAAAUGAAGCCACAGCCGUGGGAUAGAAGCUGCUACAAUGCUACGAGUUGUGGAGACUUUAAUGGGUGAAGGAUCAUUUGAAUUGGUGGCUGAGAGGGUGCCAGAAGAUGCAGCAGAGGAGAUAAAUUGUGAGUCAACAAUAAUGGGCAUGGUGUCGACUUUUGAGAAAGCCUGGAGAUGCCUUGAAGAAGAAUAAGUUGGAAUUAUUGGCCUAUAUGUCAAUGGGAGAGUUGGAAAUAUUUACUCAAAUCAACAAGAAGUUCCUUGAUAGUCCAAAUAAUUUUGAUGUUGCAAUCUGGGUAGUGGUCUGCCAAGAUUUGCAACCCCAGAAGUUUCGGGAAAAGAUUGGGAAAAAGAAAGGCUUGUUCGAUGAGUCAUGGAAGAACUGAAGUUUUGAAGAGAAAGCACUCGAUAUAUUCAAGAAUUUAAGCAAGAUGAAGUUUGUAUUACUGCUGGAUGAUAUAUGGGAGCAGGUUGAUUUAAUUAAAAUUGGUGUCCCUCUUCCAAGCACAAAAAUUACAUUCAAGAUAGUCUUCACAGCUCCUUCUAUUACAUUUGUGGCCUCAUGGAAGCUCACGACAAGAUUAAAGUGGAGUGUUUAAAUGACGAAGAAGCAUGGGAAUUAUUCUGCAAGAAGGUUGGAGAAGAUGUGGCGACUCUGUCCAAGUGCUAAGGAGCUCAGCCUCAGAAUUUCUAGGUACGGAAAAAUAAGUAUAUCCUCUUUUGAAAUUCAGUUAUGAUAAUUUACCUAGUGAUAAAAUUAGAUCGAGUCUGUUAUACUGUAGUUUGUUUCCAGAAGACUUUCCAAUUAGCAAAAUGGAAUUGAUACUGAGAUAUGAAAUCAAGGAUACUACAUUAUUGGUGUUCUUGUUCCUUUAUGUUUAUUGGAAGAAGAGGCUCCACUAUAUGUAAAAGUGCAUGAUGUGAUACGCGAUAUGCUUCUGUGGAUCGCAUGUGAAUUUUUUUUUUUUUUUUUGAUAGGGAUAGUAUGUGAAGUUGAGAAGGAGAAAGAGAAUUUUUUGGUUCGUGCAGGUGCAAGGAUUAACUGAAGUACCAGACAUUUGGAAAUGGGAAGGGUUGAGAAGGGUGUCUUUGAUGAGCAACAAAACUGAGAAGUUAUCAGAAAUUCCUUCAGAUCCCCAUCUACUGACUUUGUUGCUUCAACGUAAUUAUUUAGAGAUGAUCAAUAAUGACUUCUUCCAAUCUAUGCAUUCCCUUAGAGUUUUGAACUUAUCAUGUAAUCGUUCUCUAACUGAUAAUUUCAAAGUUAGUUUCCCUACAACAUCUUAAUUUAUCAAUGACUAACAUACGAGAGUUGCCGAUUGAGUUAAAGUUUGUAGUGAAUCUUAAGUUUUUGAAUGUGGAGUAUGCACGGUUUCUUCAUUCAAUUCCAGGGCAAGUGAUAUCCAGUUUUACGAUGUUACAAGUUUUGAAGAUGUUUGGUUGUGGCAGGUCAUCUUCUGAUCGUGAGCCACACCAGAAGAUAGCGUUUUAUUUGGAGGCAGUAAACUUUUGAUUGCGGAGUUGUUUGGUUUGAGAGACAUUUAGAUUUGUUGACCAUCAUCCUAAGAAGCUCCCAUGCUCUGAAAGAUUUUUGAGCUCCAACAAACUUCAAAGUUGUACUCAAUCUCUCUAUCCUAAAUGCUUUGAUUCGAAGUCAGUUGAUGUUUUUGGCCUGGCUGAUCUGAAGCAUCUCAAUAGGCUAUAGAUAUUGCGAGUUGUAAGCUUUUGGAAGAAGUGAAGAUUGACUUUGUUGGGAAAGCACAAUGAACCCAUGGUUUUCACAGCCUUAUGUCACAGAAGUUGUGUAAAUACUGCACGGGUUGCUGCCAUCCCAUGACAUUGAGCCAUGUUGAAAUAUCAUUUUGCUGUAAACUGAGGGAUCUGACAUAGCUUGCUUUUGCUCCAGGCCUUCUUGUUGUUUCCAGAAAACAUUGCCAUGAUAUAGAAGAAAUACUCGGUGUUGGAAAAUUAGGUAAAGAGAUGAUGUCAAACCUGGAACCUCCUACAAAACUCCAAGGUUACGUUUGUCAUGUGGGAUUGGAUUGAACUAAAUUAUUAAGAUUGAAUUAAAUUGAAUUAUAUUUAUAUUCUUAUGUUUAGUACCGGAUUGAACUAUAUUAGAUUAUAUUUAAAUAAUAUUAAAUAGUAUUUAAGUUGGUAUUUUAAUAUAAAUAUCAAUUAUCCAUGAAAUUUUAUAAUCAUAAUUAAAAUAAAUUUAAAAAGUAAUUACUAGGAAAAUUAAAUAUAUUGCAAAAAGUUAUUGGGUAGUCAUAAUAUAAUAAGCAAAUAAAAUUAAAUAAAACAAAUUAAAUAUUUAAUUAAUUUUUAUCAAAUAUUUAAAAAUAUUAUAUAAAAUCAAUUAAUUAAUGGUUUUAUUAAUUUUCAUGAUUAUUUUUAAUAUUACAUUAGUGAUUAUUAAAUUUAAUACAAUCAAAUAAUGCAAUAAAUAAUUAAACGUUUAAUUUUAUCGAUUAAUUAUUAAAUAUACAAGUAAUAAAAAUUUAAUCUCAGGAGUUGGUAGAAGCAAAAGUACUAAUUUAAUUACAUCAUAGAUAAUAAAUAAAAAUAAAUUCUAAGUAAAUCAUAAUAAAAAAAUUAAUUAAUUGAUUCAAUCAAUCAAUAUUAGGUGUAAAUAAAAAAAGAGUAAUGAUAUAGCCACAAACUCUUGCACAAACUUAUUUUGUACAAACUCAUGUGUCAUGAUAAGAUUAAUUAAAUUAAAUAUCACUUGACCUACAUGAUUUAUUUUUAUUAUUUUAUAUUUUCAUUCAACCAAUGAAUUAACGCCACGUCAGUUUGUAUAAGAUAGGUUUGUACAAGAGUUUGUGGCUGUAUCGUCGCUUAUAAAAAAAAAUAUAAAUAAAAAUAUCAUAAAUAGACAACUUUUAUCUUUAAUCUUAUUCCAACUAAACACAUGUGUAAAUUAGAAUUAUUAAUCCCAUGAUUUUAAGAUUAAAUUCAAAUUUAUUCCCCCUUAAUCCAAUCCAACUAAACUUGUCAAACAUGGGAUAAAAAUUUAAUUCUAAAAUUAGUACAAUUCCAUAUUUAAUCCUAACAUCCAAAUAUAGCCCAAGUUGUUUGCUUAAAGAAGCUACCAAAUUUGAAGAGCGUUUACGGGAAGGCCUUGCGUUUCCCAGAUGUAUGCAGAAUUUUUGUAUCUAAAUGCCCAGAACUUAAGAAGCUGACGCUGGAUUUGAAAGGGCGGGCCAAGGUAAAAUUCUUAUCAAGUGAAAGGAAAAUCGGUGGGAACAACUUCAAUGGGAGGAUCAAGCAACUCAGGAUGCAUUGCUUCUGUUUUUCAAAUCAACUGACAAGUGAUUGAAGGGGCCAUCAUCAGCCUGGAUGGGGAGAUCCUGGAGCAGAUCAGCAGGGUUUGAAUCUGCAUCAUCAACAUCAUCAGGAUCUCUAUUUCUAUUGCUGGUCGUAAUGCCUGCCUACUGUUGCUUGAAAAAGUGAUUAAGUGAGCCAGUUUUUUGUUUAUUAAAUUUUGUCUUGUGGAGACAGUCACAAAGUAUUUUUCAAUUAUGAUAUUCUGUGGGAAAUUGCAAGUAUUUUCAAAUAUGAUCGUUACUAAAGGAAACAAAGGAAUCAACACAGCAUACUGAACCUCAGCAGUAUGAAGCUAAUGAUUAAACUCCUCACACAAUUCAUGACAUGCAAAACCAUUCACAAAAUCAUCCACAGCAACCAUAAUUGGCGUUUACAAGAAUUACUUUUCUGUUCAUGCAAUCGGCGUCUGAACGCGGCUGAUCGGUCACCAGUGUUGGCGUUUACUGUGAUUAGACAAAUUGUAGGACUUCAAAAAUAACUUCUAUAGAGGUAAUUUCGAUUUCACAUAAUUAAUUUUAGGGAAAUUUACACUCGUCCACCUGUUUGUUUUGCCUUUUUCAAAAAUACACAAACACUUUUUUUUUUUUGCAGCGCGUCACCUGAAGUUUAUUUUUUGUUGCAUUCAUUCACUUCCGUCUAAUUUCCGUUAGUGGAUUUAACGGAAUGUUAACGAAAUGACCUUUUUACCCCUCAAAAUUAUAAUUUAACCCAAAAUAAAUGGAAAUUAGAGAUAAAUUAGGUGGAUUUAAUUUUUUUUAAAGGUGGAUACUAGAAAUUGGAGGAAAAUAGUGUUUGUUGCUUGCUAAAUUUAGAAAAUUUGUAUUUAUUUUUUUGAAAGACAAAAAAAUAAAUACACAAAAAAAAUAAAUACACAAAAAAUAAAUACAAAUUUUCUAAAUUUAGCAAGCAAUAAACACUAUUUUUCUCUAAAAAAAUAAAUAUAAAUUUUUUAAAUUUAGCGGGCAACAAAUAUUAUUUUCCUCCAAUUUCUAGCAUCCACCUUUGAAAAAAAUUAAAUCCAUCCAAUUUAUUUCUAAUUUCUAUUUAUUUUGGGUUAAAUUGUAAUUUUGAAGGGUAAAAAGGUCAUUCCGUUAAAUUCACUAAUGAAAAUUAAACGGAAGUGGACGAAUGCAACAAAAAGUAAACUUCAGGUGGCGCACUGAAAAAAAAAAGUGUUUGUGUAUUUUUAAAAAAGACAAAACAAACGGUGGACGGUUAUAAAUUUCCCUUAAUUUUAUUUACAAUAUUUUAUGCCUGCUAGGUCAAUUGAGAUUCUUUCCACCGGGCACACUCUUCAUGUUCUUUUAUUUUCUGUCUUUUAUUAGACGUUGGAUUUUACUACUCUUUUAUCCAACGGCUUGCCACAACAAGACAAAUGAGGUGGUACAUUCAUUUUAUGUCCUUUCAUGUUUUUGAAUUACUGAAGACAAGUGGCUCGUCGCUUUUACUGUAGGUAAGAUCCAAAUUAUCUCGAUUAUCAAAAUAAUUAUUUUAAAAUACCUUAAUUGUUUUUAUUUUUAUGUUGCCGGAAUCAGAAUGAGCUGAAAUCAGAAUGAGUAAGAAUAAAAAUUGACUGAAAUGUAAAUAAUGAAUGAGAAUUAAAAUAAAUUGUUUACUUAAACUAUAAGAAUCCAAAUCAAAAUGAUUGCCAUUAAUGUGUUUCCUUUGUCUUGAAAUCGGAAUCAUAAUGAAUUAAAUUGUAACAAAUUAUUAAAAAGUACUUAAUAAAUUAUUAUCAUAAUUAUUAUUAAUUAAUUGUAAAAUUUUUUAAUUAAUUAUAAUAAUUAUAAUGAUAUUCGGCCACCACGAGACCAUAACGAAGCCAGAAACACAUGCUUCUUCUGCCGUUUCGAAGUUUUAAAUUUAAAAAUUAAAAACACAAUUUUCCAUUGAAAAAUAUCAAAAUUAAAUCUAAAGAAUUUGAAAAAUCCAAAAUCCUUACCCGUCCCUCUCACUGUCCCUCUUAUUCGCUUAUUCUCUCUCUCUCUCUCUCACUCACCCGAUCUAGGGAUGGGCACGGUUCGGUUCGGUUCGAAAUUAAGUAGAACCGAUUUAAAUCGGUUAUUUUAUAAAAAGAACCGAACUCAAUAAGAACCGAACUCAAACGGUUCUUUUCGGAUCGGUUCGAUUUGGUUCGGUUUUUUCGGUUUUGGGCCUAUUUUGAAUUUUUAAAAUUUUAGUCCAUUGGGCCUCAUGAAUGUAAUAAUUUUUUUCAAUAAUUAAUUUAUCCUAAUUUUAUUACAAAUAUUAACAAUAAAUACAAAGUAUUCAAAACACAGUUUAUCACUAAUAUCUUACUAACUAUUAAUAAGAUACUCCCAAAUAUAUGAAAUAUUAAAAUUUCAAAAUACAUAACCAAACUCCAAUACUCCAUCUAUAUAAACAUAAUCAUAAUGUUAUAAAGAGAAAUAACACAUGUUUGAUUUGAAUAAAAUCAAAAAAUAAUUUGGUUUUUCGGUUCGGUUUUUCGGUUCAGCUAAGUGAAUCGAAUACCGAACCGACAUUUCGGUUUUUUUUACAAACGGUAUAUUCGGUUUUUUUUAAAAAUAAAAAUCGAACCGAAUUAGAAAAAACCGUCGGUUCGGUUCGGUUUUUUUAAGACUACGGUUUUUUUGCCCACCCCUAACCCGAUCUGCCUCUUUUACUCACCCACUAGCAGGCUGUCACUCACCCACAAAACUUGUCACGCCACGGCCAUUGUUGACCAGCCAUCAUCGCUGUCACGCCACGCCCAUUGCCGACCAGCCCAUCACUGAUCACAUCGCCGUUGACGGUGUGCUUGACGAUUUUGGACCUUUUUCACCUACGUAGGUAAUUAAAUUUAGCAUGUUGAGGAAAGUUUUGAUUUAUUGUAUUUAUAUUUUAAAAUUAUUAGAAAUAAGUUAUUGGAAAUGUAGAUUUUGUUUGAAUUAUAUAUGAUUAAUACAAUUUAUUUUUCAUGGUAUAAAAAUGAAGGAUUUGGAAAAAAAACUACAAAGUCGAAGAUUUUGAAGAAUUAGAUUAACAACAAUUUAAAUGGAAAUAAUGAAAAAACUGAUAAUGAUGUGGAUGUGAAACCAAAAAAGUAUGAGCCAAAGUUUGGGAUGUUGUUUGAUAAACACCAUUAUCUUCUUAUGAGCCAAAAAAGGAAGAAUUAGAUGACAACAAUUAAGGUAAGAUUAAACUACUUACUUAAUUAUUCUACAAUUAAUUUAAUUUUAAUUUUAAUGUAUCUUUUUAUGGAUUUGCAGGAUUCAAAUGUACAAACACCAUUAUCUUCUGAGGUGGAUAUUGUAGUCCCAACGCAUGAGAGCAAUAAGGAUCCUGUAAGUUUUAUGUUCUUUGAUGUAAUACUAUUUAAUUAUUUUAAUUUUUAAUGGUCACUAAAUAAUGGUCAUUAUUUAAGAACCUGUGAUCGCAUACCAAUUACAAGGAUGUGAUAUUUAUCCAUGGUUUCCUUUUGAUUCUUACAUUGUAAGUUAUAAUCCAAUUUCUAUAUUUAUGCCUAGUUAAUUUUGCAUUUUCUGGAAUGUAAUAUGGUUCUUAUUUUGUACAAACUAGCAAUCCCCAUCACUCCCAUCUAUGUUGCCUUAUUCUUCAUCUUGGAUAUCGUAUAAAGGUUCUCAACAAAGGAGUUUUCAGUAAUCGCUACUUCAACAGAAUGAUAAUAACAAAGAAGUUUGAAGCAGACUUAACAGAUUGAUCAUUGACUUAUUCUUUUGUUGUGUUUUGUGUAUUAGUUGGUUGGAUGAUAUUACUCUAGUGCUCAAUGAUUGAACGUGGAAAUAUUUUGAAGGGUUUUUAUCCAUAUAUUCAAAGGGUUAAGUGUGUCAAUAACCAUUACAACAAUAAGAGUAGUUCAUAUAGAAAUGUCAAAUUAACCACACACAAAAGAAAAAGGUACAAAUAACUUAUUUCUAGUAAUUUUAAAAUAUAAAUACAAAAAAAAACCAAAUACUUUUCUAAUCAAAGUAUCACAUACAAGGUUUCGUAAAGGCCGUGUCAAAAGAAUUUCUUUAACUGAUUAAAUAUACUAAUUUUAGGUGACAAUAAUCUAAUAAUUUUAAACUAAAUUAACUUAAUUUCGCGAAAAAAAAUUCAAAAAACGCAUAGAAUUACGGAUCAAGUCUAAUUAACAAUCAAACGUAGUAACUCAGAUGCAUUUAUGCCAAAAAGAAUGUUCAUAAGACUACACAAAACCACCCAAAAAAAAUUAUAAAAUAAUAAAAGCAGCAGCUGCAAUAGAUUUUGCCUGAACAAGAAACACAACAAAACAAAGAGAAUAAAUCAAUCAAGGGCAUAAAUAGAUUGAACAAAAAAGGGCAAGAUCAGAGAAGAAACUGACCCACGACACUGGAUCCUCCUAAGCCUAGCGUCAUGGUUGCGGUUUUGAUGAUGCGUUAGCUGAGGUCUGACCAAAAUAUUGACAGUGACCUUGUGGGUGAGUGAGAGGUGAACGAGCUUCGUGGGUGAGAGUGAGAGCCGAGAGGGACAGAGCGGGUGAGAGAGAGAGAGGGUGAGUGAGGGGAGCGAUAAGAAUUUAGAUUUUUUUAGUUUGUUUUGAUUAGCUUUUAUUAUUUUUUAAUGGUAAAAUUUGUUUUUAAUUCUCAAAUCUAAAAUUUCAAAACGGCACAUACGCGUGUCGUUUCUGGCUUCCCUCUGUAACGAGGGCGGCCGAAUAUCAUUUUUUAAAUCAUUAUUUUAAAAUGGGUCUACAUUGCAACAGUAGUACGAUCCCAUUAUUAUUUUCAGUCAUUAAAUUUUAUUAAUAUAAUUAUAUAAUUAUAAAUUUAAUAAUUAAAAACAACAAUAAUAAUAUACUGUUGCAAUAUAAUUUUGACCUUUAAAAUGCCUUAAUUGUUUUUACUUUUAAUGUUACCGGCCUUUCUUAUAUUUUAUUAUAAAUUAAUACUAACAAGAAAAAGCUAGAUCAUUUUCCACAAAAAUAAAAGUGACAAAACAAUCAGCUAGAUUCUUUUAUUAAACUAUAAAUUAAAACGGAUUUUUUUUUAAUAAACUACAUAUGAAAGUGGAAUCUUUUGAAUAUAAGUGAGUAGGCUCUCUUUUUUUAAAAAAAAAAAACGGGGUAGGUUCUUUUAAUAAAGACAAGUCAUAAGUAUUAAGUAGUCACGACCAUUAGACUCUUUUAUUAGGACCUGUCUAUGGUACAGAUUCUGUAACAAACAUCUCCCGUCAUACCACCAUCCGAUCUUCUAUUGUUUAGUUUCUCACUUCACAUCCAACGGCUGAUGCUGCAGUCUGUAGCUUACAGAUUCUGUAAGCUAGUCAAGUCCCUUUUAUUAAAUUACAAAUUGUAGGAGGUUGCUACGUUACAGAAUCUGUAACAUACACAUUCAAUGGGAAGCAGCACACGUGUCCUGAAGAGAGAGAAAAAUCGGGCAAAUGCAGGCAAUGGCGGGUAAUGGGAGUUGGCUAAAAGUUGGAUAUGCAAAUUUACAAAAGAGUACUGCUAUUUACUCCGAAUGCUAACUCUGAAUUUACGCCCCGAGAGAUAAAACGACGUCGUUUUUUUUUUUUGCUUUGUAAUUUCAGCCAAAAAAGGUGGGCAGCACGUGGGUGAGCAUAUGCUUCAAUUAAUUUGGAACCAAAACGACGUCGUCUGUUCCUGCUUAAUCCUUCGUUUUGCUUUUCUUUCCAACCACAACGCUCGGCACCCAAAACUUCCACAAACUGCAAACUGCAAAACAUUUCCAUAUGCUAGCUCUUUAUGCAUGUGACCAAACACAACUUUCAUGUGUCUGUCUGCUUGUGUAUAUAGGAUGGAAACUUAUAUGGGUUUCUCCAAUCACCUGAAUGAUUGUAUUCUCAAAUGUUGCUUGUGGAUUCAUGGGAUUUGCUGUUCCAAAUGAUUAUGUUGAAGUCUUGACACUGAUUUGGGAAGGCUGUUGGUUUUAAUUUUGUUAACUAUUAGAGAUGUAGUACUUCUUGCAUGUCUAUUUCUUUUUCUUUUUUUGUCUUCCCUCUAAUUUAAUCAAUUUUAAAUGCACUAGAUGCCACAUGCUUUGUCUGCAUAUUUGUCUCUGGGCAUAGUCUGAAGAUGCUUUUGCCAACACAGAGCUGAUUUAGGGAAUGCCCAUGGAGCACUUGUAAGUGCCUGCUUUUCCAUAAAUCACAAAAUUUUAACAUGUCAAAACUUAAUGAUUCGUGAAAGUUGAAUGCUGAAUUUGAACGCCAACUUGUACAUGGGCUUUGGCAUACAGCAGCCAACAACGGUUCCUCAACGUAAGCACUUGUUUGAAACGCGUUUUUAUUUGCAGGCGCAAGAACUAUUGCUGCUGUUUGCAAAACAAAAAGUGAUUGCAAAACAAAAAGUAAAACGAAAGGAAAAGGUGUUUCGAUUGUAGUUCGUCAAAAUGAGUCCAAAAGAAAAGAAAAAAUGCGUCGAAACGGUGCGUUUCCUUUUAAUUUCAAAACGGCACGUUUCAUUCGGGGUGUUAGUCGAGGCGCAAGUCGGGACAAGCAGCUUCUUCCUUUAUAAAAUCUGUAACUUAAGUCAGCUCCCAAAUUGUAUAGUCUUUUUUCAAAUUGUACAGACAUUUAUAAAUUGGUGGCCCCUUGGAAAUUUAAUGCCAAGCAGACAAAAGUCAUCAUGCACAAUCCUCAAUAAUUAUUUCGCGUAUAUUUAUAAAUUGGUGGCCCCUACGUCCUCAAUAAUUGUUCAGAUACUUAUAAAUUGGCGGCCCUUGAUAAUUUAACAGCAGCUUGCAAGUGCCAACUAGUGAAAAGUCAUCAUUCACAAUCUUCCAAAUGAACCAAGGGACAUACAAAGAUUAAGACAUGUCAUUCUUUUUUCAUUCCCUUUCAUGUAACUUACAUCUAAAUACAUAAAUAAUAUAAAAUGAAUGGAGAGAUGCCGGAGCAUAUCAGCAGGGUUUGAAUAUGACCUUUGGCGCUUGUCUUUUUUUGUGAUUUUUUUUUUCAUUUUUUCCUUCCUGUCAUUUUAUCAUUUCUUUGGCUUUGUCUCUAUUGCGGGCGUUACUGCAUGCUUACUGUUGCUUGACAAAGUUUGCUAGCUUUUCCUUUUGUUUAUUAAAUUUUUUUAUCGUCGCAAAGUAUUACUCGUUCUAUUUGACAGUGAUGUGAAUCAAUUUUUCAAUUUUAUAUUUUAUCGUCAAUGUGAAUUCAAUUUCAUUUGUCAUCAUGCAUAAUCCUCAAUAAUUGUUUCGAUAUUUAUAAAUUGGUGGCCCCUGCGUCCUCAAUAAUUGUUCCGAUACUUAUAAAUUGGUGGCCCCUUAAUAAUUUAACAGCAGCCUGCAAGUGCCGACUAGUGAAAAGUCAUCAUUCACAAUUUUCCAAAUGAACCAGGGGAUAUACAAAUAUUAAGACAUGUCAUUCUUUCUUUUUUUUUGAGUGAAACAGAAAUUUACAAGAAUUACUUUUCUGUUCAAGAAAUCGGCGUCUAAACGCGGCUGAUCGGCCACCGGUGUUGGCGUUUACUGUGAUUAGACAAAUUGUAGGAAUUCAAAAAUAACUUCUAUAGGGGUAAUUUCGAUUUCACAUAAUUAAUUUUAUUUACAAUAUUUUAUUCCUGCUAGGUCAAUUGAGAUUCUUUCCACCGAAAACACCCCUCAUGUUCUUUUAUUUCCUGUCUUUUAUUAGCCGUUGGAUUUUACUACUCUUAUAUCCAACGGCUUGCCACAACAAGACAAAUGAGGUGGUACCUUCCAACCGGUGAAAGGUAGUUUUGGCCCCAAGUGGAACAAGGGAUGCACUUACUAUUAAGGACAGUUGGCGGCCAGCCAAUGCAUUCAUUUUAUGUCCGUUCAUCUUUUCAAUUGUUAAAGACAAGUGGCUCAUCGCUUUUACUACAGGUAAAAUUCAGAUAAUCUCUAUUAUGAAAUAAUAAUAUUCAAAAUAUCUCAUAAAUUAUUAUAAACCUCAAAUUUAUCUUAAUUUUAUUUAAAAAAUAAAAGAAAAAUAGGUUAUGUUGGUGAAUUUUUUUUAAUCUUUUUAAUAAAAAUAAAAUAAAUUGAUGUUUUAUAAUAGUUUAAAGUACUUUAAAGAUUGUAAUUUUAUGAGAGAGUAAUAUUUCACUUUUUUAGUGUAAAAAGUUGAAAAAGGACAAAGCAAGUUUCUCUGAUUUUUAUUUUAUUUGAAAUUAGUCAUCUCAUAUACUUCACCCUUCAACACUACAAUUUUUUUGGUUAUUUUUUUAUUUUUUUAUUUUUUACAUAUGCACGUGAAUUUCUUUUCUUUAAGCUCCUGAAUAUUUAAGACAAAUCAUAGAAGAGAUGAAAGUAUAAUAAGAUGAUCAAAAUACGUAACAAAAAUUUUUAGAAGUGAAACAUACGUUAGAGUUGAAGCAAAACUCCAAAAAUAGAGAUACUGAUUAAUUUAGAAGAGAUGCGAGCAAAAGAUAUUCCCAAACAAAAAAGGGCAACUUGUCCCUUUGGAGGGCAAACUUGUCAGUUUGAAAAAAGUACAUGCUUUGGAUUGAUAGUUGCUGGAUAUUUGUUUUGUCACUGUGUAUUAGUUGAAGAAGUCAAGCCUAGUCAAGAAUGUUGUGAAAGAGCAAAGGAUAUUCCCGAUAGAGCUCUAUUUCAUUAUGUAUCCAGUGAAUAGAUGUGUUGUUGGAAGAUAAGUGAGUGCAUUAGUUCAUUUGUGUCUAUCAAUUUGCUUUUAAUGAUUUUUCCACUUGUUUUGUUGUAAAAGAUUAUUGUAAAAUUAAAUGAAUUUGAUGUUGUAAUAUUUUGUCUUUAGUGGAAUUUCACUUGGUAUGUGUUCAAUUGUGUUGUCUAUAAUUUUGCAUUCAAAUAAGUUUCCACCUAAAAUAUUAGCACGAGUAGUAGCCCUUGAAACUUUAGUCAAAAUUAUUGUUAUAAUUUCUUAUUAGGGGUAAACUUUUUAUUAAACCUCGUUAACAUAAUUCUUAAUUAAUUGUGUGUUUACAUGGAAUAGGGAAUGAGAAUGGAGGAAUGAGAAUGAAACUCAUGUUUACUUGGUAAAAUGUAAUUUGGGAAUGAGAAUAAAAUGUGUGGGUUUUACAUAAUUUGGGAAUAAGGAAUGAGAAUCUCAUUCCCAUGAAGGAUUGAGAAUGAAAUAUAUGUUUACUUUUGUAUCCCUAUACUUUUUUUAUAUUUCCCAAAUUACCCUCAUUCAAAUCACAAUUAAUUUAUUAUUUUAAAUGUCAUUAAUAAUAAUAAUAAUAAUAAUAAUAAUAAUAAUAAUAAUAAUAAUAGUAAUUUUUAAAUUUUAUUAACUUUAUUAUCUUUGUGAUGUUGAACCAUAUACAUAUAUAUAGAGAAAAGUAAAAGCUAUACCUAAGGUUGAGGGAAAAGACUUCAAAACUCUCUUUUGAUUAUAAAACCUUUUGUCUUAAUUAACUUAAAGAUUUUGAAUCUAAUAUUUUAUAAUAAAUAAAAAUAUAUUCCUAAAAUAAAUAUAAUAAUAUCUAUUUUAAAAUAAUAUCAAUAUUUAAAAUAUGUUUUAAUAUUUUAUGCUCUAUCAGACAUAUUUUAUUAUAUUAAAGUAAAUUUAAUAAUAAAUACAAACAUAAUGAAUUUAUAAAACAUUUAAAGUAUUUUGAAUAUUAUAUAAAAUAAUUUUAAUAUAAUGCAUGAGAUAUAUUUUAUUAAUUUAAAAUGCUAUUUAACCUAAGAUUUAUUUAAGAUAAAUUAAUAAUUAAAUUUUUUAAAAUUAUUUCAAAUAUUAAAAAUUUGUAAUAUUAUUAGUCUAUUAGAUAGAUUAAAUUAUUUAUAUUAUUUUGUAUCUAUUAAAAAAUUUUAAAGUCAAUCUUUUUAAUUACUAUUGGAAGGAUAUAAUGAUUAAAAAAAUCUUAGUAUUUUUUUAUUAAAAAUUUAAAAAUUUACAUGACAAUUUCUAUAAAUAUUUAGGUCUCGUUUGGUAUGUCGGAUUGGAUUGAAUUGGAUCUGAUCGGAUUAGAUAAGAUAGGAUUUGAUUGGAUAAUACUGGAUUAUAUAUAAUAUUAUGUUGUGUUUGUUAUGCCAUGAGAUUAGCUAGUAACUAAUAAUAUGUCUUAUAUAUUAAUUUAUUAAAAUCAUCGUAGAUUUUGAAAUACUAACUAGGCAAUCCAAGAGGGGGGGUGAAUUGAGAUUUUAAAAAUUAAGCUAAGCAAACCACACACAAAUUCAAUCUAAUGCCUUAAUAAAUUCGAAAACAAUAAAUUCAAUGAAAGCACAAUAAUAAAUGAGCAAUGGAAGAGAAAGCAAACUCAAGGAUUUUUACAUGGUUCGGUAAUCCCCGCCUACGUCCACGCCUCCAAGCUCACCGGACUUGAGGAUUUCACUAAGCUAGCCUCCCAAGGCUUCAAACGCUUACAAUUGACUUCCAAGGUGUCAAUGAACCUUUACAACAAGAGAUUAUCCCCAAUCUCUUAACCCAAGUGUAUCCCAACACUUACAAUCACUCAAAGUAAAAGAUUACAAAUUGUUUUGCCUCUCACAAUAUAUAAGAUUACACAAUGAUGCUUAUAUAUAUGAAUAGAUGAAGCAAGAAUGUGUUCUAAUUAAGCUCUAUGAAGAUUGUAUUCUCGAAUAUUAGCUCAAUGGUCGUGUUGUGAUCAACCUUCUUUGAUUUUGAAUGAGCUUAUUUAUAUCUGGAGCUGAAAAACUAGCCGUUACAAACUGUCGGUCCGAAAACGGUUCGCCGUUAAUCAUUAACGGUUAACCGUUUAGGCUGGUCAAAAGUUACCGUUGGGCCAAAUUUCAAAUAAACGGUUUGCCGUUUAGGCUUACCCUUUCGUCGUUAAAUUUCAGAGACCUACAAAACAAAUUUAAUUUAACCGUUCUUACUAAACGGUUCAAGGUUAGCAAUCUGGAAAUAACCGGUUAACCGUUUUCAGUAAACGGUUCACCGUUAUUUUCCAAAAUCAUCAUUUUAACAAUACUUUGCAGAACAUGCUUUCUGUAAAUUAUCGGUUAGCCGUUUUAAAUAAACGGUUAGCCGUUUUAUACAGUGAUUGCUACAGUAAAAUUAUUUUUUAAAUUUAUAGUUUGACCUCAAAAUUUUAUAAAACUGUAUUACGGCCCAAAACGUUAUGAAACUUUGCACAUAUGUCCAAUUUCAGAAUUUUUAAAUAAUUCUUUGUCAAUCCCAAAACUUUUUGAAAUUAUGAUUUCACCCAAACUAUGUGAAAUUAUAGAAUGACCCAAAAUAUUUAAAUAGUUUCAAAUAUGUCCAAAUCUGAAAUUUUAAAACAAUAUCAAAGGUUUUAAAAUACUUUCAUUUUAGUUCAAAAUACUUUAAUUCCUUAACAUAAUUUUCUUAUUAUAUAUGAAACCUUUAUACUGUGAAAAGAAUGAUUUAUUUAAAAUAUAAAAAAAUAAUUUGAGCUUAAAAGAUUUAUCAUUCUUAAUCUUGUUUGUUGUCAUCAAAAUCAACAUUAUGAAAACAUAUAUGUUAACAGAUUUACUUUAAAAUGACAUAUAAUAUAAUAUAACUUAAAUCAAUAAUUAUUGGUAAAUUUAUUAAAAAAAUACAAAAUCUUUGCUUAAUUUUUUUUUAAUAUUUAACAUGUUAUAGUUUCUAAUCCCAUGAAUAGUAAAAGAUAAAGUUUUAUCUUAGAAAAUGUAAUCUCAAGGGUCCCAUUGGGAUGAAAUUUUGCCUCUAUUGAAAUUAAGUGGUGGGCCUAUUAUUGUUACCUUUAUUUUUUUUACACCAAACAUAAUAUAAGGAUUAUUUUACACUAAAAUUAUCGAAUCCCAUAAUAUAUAACUAAAACCAAACAGGCACUUAGGGUAUAUAUGAGCCACGGUGGAGAAGCUUUAUUUAAUAUUAUUGAUUUAAAUAAUAUCUCAUUAAAAAUGUACUGAGAAGAAAUUUCGGUGGGUAUUUUAGUCUUUUCAGCAAUCACAUGAUCAGCCUUUGGCCUUGAAACUUCGGUCGGAAUGAUUUAUUCUAACAAGAAAAAACUAGGUAACAUUCCACAAAAGCAAAAGUGACAAAACAACCAGCUGGAUUCUUUUAGUAAACUACAAAUUAAAAUAGAUUUUUUCGAUAAACUACAAAUUAAAGUGGAUUCUUUUGAAUGCAAGUGGGACAGACGAUUAGGCUAAAAAUUAGUCAAGAAUCUAAUAGUCUUUUUCAAAUUCUUGUUUUAUUAUUUUUCAAAACCAGUUUUUGGUAAUUACAAUCGGGUCAUUAAUCAUUAUUCAGAGUUAUUGUUUCCUUCAAAAGUUAGUGGCUCAUGUUUGCAAGUGUGAAUGUGCGAUGCUUUUUUUCCAAAGCGCAAUGACAGUGGGUCCCGAAUCGGACGUGCCUGAAUCUUUUCAAAAUUUUAGGGAAUUAUCAUUUGUAUACCUUUAAUUUAUUUCAUUAUCAAAAAUACUACAAUACUUUAAGGGUGUAUCAAUCGUCCACCCUAAGUUGACAAAAUAUAUCAGCUGACCACUAAAUCGUUAGUUGUCGUUUAAGUAUGAUGACGUCAGAAGGAUAAUUUAGUCUUUUUAUAUAAUACAAGUGAUAAUUUAAGAGUAUAUAAGUGAUAAUUUUUAAGGGUAAAAUUAUCAAUUCACUGUAACUCUGUUAACUUUCAAACGGCAACUAACGGUUUGGUGGUCGGCUGAUACAUUUUGUCAAUUAAGGGUGGACGAUUGAUACACCCUUAAAAUAUUAUAGUAUUUUUAAUAACAGAACAAAUAUAAGGUAUAUGAAUGAUAAUUUUCCUAAAAUUUUUGCCGUAUAAGGAACAGAGGUCAUUACUAAAAUUUCUCUUCCACAGCCUACAGCAGCUUCAGUUUAUCAAACUCAAUCAAUUUUCUUUCUUAACAAAAUUCCAAAGAUGUGUAGCAUUUUUCAGAUCACAUGCGACGGUGCUCUUUUCAAUCGUUGCUUGGAUUGCUUUCUUGGAAAAGCAGCAUACAUACGUAACCUCCAAGAUAAUCUUGUAGCCUUGGAGACUGAAUUGGGAAAUCUAAUCGCAAUAAAGAACGAUCUGAUGAGGAGGGUUGACGAUGAUGAACGACAACAAAUGAGAAGGCUGGACGGAUUGCAAGUGUGGGUUUCGAGGGUGGAUGCUGUUAAAACUGGAGCCGAUGAACUUAUCACAGACGGCUCUGAAGAAAUUGGCAAAUUAUGUGUUGGAGGCUACUGUUCCAAGAACUGCAGGUCAAGCUACAAGUUCGGAAAACAAGUGGCUAAAAAGCUACAAGAUGUGAAGACUUUAAUCGCCGAGGGAGUUUUUGAGGCGGUGGCUACUGAGGUGGUGGCUGAGAGAGCUCCGGAACCUGUAGCAGAUAAAAGACCCAUUGAGCCAACAAUAGUAGGCUUGCAAUCACAGCUUGAACAAGUUUGGAGAUGUCUUGUAGAAGAAUCAGUGGGAAUCAUUGGCCUAUAUGGUAUGGGUGGUGUUGGUAAAACCACACUAUUGACCCAUAUCAACAACAAAUUUCUUGAGAGUCAAAACAACUUUGAUUGUGUGAUUUGGGUCGUAGUUUCAAAAGACCUGCGACUUGAAAAAAUUCAAGAAGAUAUUGGGAAGAAGAUAGGUCUAUCUGAUGAUUCAUGGAAGAAUAAAAGUUUUGAAGAGAAAGCUGUGGACAUCCUGCGGAGAUUAGGAGAGAAGAGAUUUGUAUUGUUGUUAGAUGAUUUAUGGGAGCGGGUUGAUUUAACAAAAGUGGGCGUUCCACUUCCCAGCGCACAAAAUACUACCUCAAAAGUCGUAUUCACAACCCGUUCCAUUGGUGUUUGUGGCAGCAUGAGAGCUAGGCCGGUUAAAGUGGCAUGCCUAUCAGAAAAGCAAGCUUGGGAACUGUUCCGCGAAAAUGUUGGGGAAGAAACUAUUGAGAGUGAUCAUGAGAUCGUUGAGCUAGCCCAAACUGUGGCCAAAGAGUGUGGUGGUUUGCCACUCGCACUUAUUACUAUUGGUCGAGCUAUGGCCUACAGAAAGAAAGCGGAGCAUUGGAGACGUGCAAUUGAAGAGUUAAGAAGAUCAGCUUCAGAGUUUGCAGGUUUGGGAAAAGAGGUGUAUCCUCUUUUAAAGUUUAGCUAUGAUAGUUUGCAGAAUGAGACAAUUAGAUCUUGUUUCUUGUAUUGUUGUUUAUAUCCUGAAGAUUAUGGCAUUCUUAAAUGGGACUUGAUUGAUUGUUGGAUUGGUGAGGGAUUUUUAGGGGAAUCUGACAGGUUUGGUGCAGAAAACCAAGGAUAUGACAUUUUGGACACACUUGUUCGUGCAUGUUUAUUAGAAGAGGUGGAAGAUGAUGAAGUAAAAAUGCAUGACGUUGUUCGUGAUAUGGCUCUAUGGAUAACUUGUGAAAUUGAGAAGGAGAAGAGAAACUUUUUGGUUUGUGCAGGUGAGGGACUAAAGGAGGCACCGGAUGUUAAAAGAUGGGAAAAUGUGAGAAGAUUGUCACUGAUGCAAAACCAAAUUGAAACUUUGUCAGAGGUUCCUACAUGCCCUCAUCUCCUCACUUUAUUUCUUGACUUCAAUGAAAAUUUGAAUAUGAUCGCGGAUGGCUUCUUCCAACUUAUGCCUUCUCUCAAAGUUUUGAAGAUGUCAAACUGCGUGAAUUUAACUUUGAAAUUACCUUUGGGGAUGUCAAAGUUAGGUUCACUAGAACUUCUUGAUGUUUCGCAUACUGGCAUAAGAGAGUUACCAGAAGAGUUAAAGUUGUUGGUAAAUCUGAAAUGUUUGACUUUGAGGUGGACAUUUGAGUUAAAUAAAAUUCCACGGCAACUAAUAUCAAAUUCUUCAAGGUUACGUGUGUUGAGAAUGUUGGGUACUGGCCUUUUGAAUUUUCAUCAAGCGUCAGAAGACAGCGUUUUAUUUGGUGGGGGUGAAGUUUUGAUACAGGAAUUGCUCGGUUUGAAAUAUUUAGAGGUAUUGGAGUUGACCUUGGGAAGUUAUCAUGCUCUCCAAAUUCUUUUGAGCUCAAAUAAGUUAAAAAGUUGUAUUCGAUCUCUUUUCCUCCAGUUGGCCGGAGAUGCAACGUCGAUUGUUGAUGCUACGGCUUUCACAGAUCUAAACCACCUCAAUGAAUUAUAUAUUAAUAAAGGUUUUGAGUUGGAAGAAUUGAAGAUUGAUUAUACGGAGAUAGUACGAAAAAGGCGGGAACCUUUUGUUUUCCGCAGCCUUCACCAUGUUACUAUAUGGCGGUGCGCUAAAUUGAAAGAUUCGACAUUCCUCGUUUUUGCUCCAAACCUCAAGUCUCUUGUGCUACGUAAUUGCCAUGCUAUGGAAGAAAUAAUCAGCGUUGGAAAAUUUUCCGAGGUUCCUGAGAUGAUGCGACAUAUGAGCCCUUUUGAAAAUCUCCAAAGGCUUCAUGUAGAAGAUUUGCCAGAUUUGAAGAGCAUCCACUGGAAGCCAUUGCCUUUCACUCAUCUGAAAGAAAUGGGGGUAAGAGCAUGUGAUCAGCUUGAAAAGCUUCCACUCGAUUCCAGCAGUGCAAAAGAGCAUAAAUUUGUUAUUCGUGGAGAAGCAGACUGGUGGAACCGACUUCAAUGGGAGGAUGAAGCCACUCAAAUUGCUUUUCGUUCCUGUUUCCAACCUUAUUCCUGAGCCGUGGUCGCAAAAUUUGAUUUCUGGUGAGUGCGUUUUUGUUAACGCUUAUGUUUUAUUCCAGUGUAUUUUUCUUCUGUCUUCUGCAAAUCACAAUUAAAUGUGUGAUACAUGUUACGGGUAAUAUACAUGCAGUAUUUUUGGUACACUGCAAAUCACAAUUAAAUGUGUGAUACAUGUUACGGGAAAUUUAUAUACAUGCAGUAUUUUUGGUGGGGUCGAAUUGAUGCUCUGGUUUUCGACUACUUUUUGCUGUCAAAAUUUUCUCUGUUUUUUCAAAUUGAUGCUUUAUUUAUAUCUUCUUCGUGAAAAGUGAUUUAAUUUCCUGCCAAAAGACGAACGAGAAGAACAUUAGAGUCAAACUAAUGCUCACAUAAAUUUCCCGUAAGAAUAUAUAUAUAAUUAGACUGGAAUAGUAGCACUCUUUACAGAAAAUGACGCGAAAGUUAAUUUAGAAAGAUAUAUUCUUGAUUAAUCCAUUUUCUGAAGCUUUUAUUUUGUAUGGUCAAUUAUACCUUCAUACUAAAAAUUUCUGAAGUUAUAAAUUAGUGCAACUUGACAAUUUUUACUGAUGAUAUCUUCUAUUUUUCCUUUCUUUUUUUUUUUACUCUCAUUGAAUGUUACUGUCAUUUUACUUACAAAUAGGUUUGAAUUUUAUUUAGUUUUCUCAUAGUAUUUGUGCAAGUACUAGAAGGUCAAACCCCGCAUACUUUGAUUGCCAAACCACCGUCCAAUUUAAAAAAAGAAAAAAAGAAAAAAAAUGUGUAAUCCAUGAAUCUGGUUAAUUUUGUUUGUUUGUUUUUUUUUUUUAAAUAUCAUUCUUUUUCGGCCACCCAAAAUAUCAUUGAUGACUUUUCUGGUCUAAUGCUAUGUAAAUAGUAUGUUAAGUAAAACAUAAUCAAUUAUUUGUGUUUUAUCUCUAAUUAGAACAUCAAUCAGUUCAGUACCUCACAAAUAAUUCGCAAUAUCUACAAAAUACUAUAAUGGCUACAAAACAAAUCCUGCUUGCAAAUUGUCAAGGAUACCUAUCCGUUCGCUUGACAAGUCAUUUGAAUAAAUAUUGUUCACAUUCCUUACUCUGUCAAUUAUCCAAAGCACCAUCAACUUUAGUUUGAAUAGUAUACAUGCCAUCACCAUUACCAAGAAUCAAGCAUGGAAUUGGAAGUCAUUCUAUAGAGUGCAGAACAUGACUGUACGGUAUAUAUAGCCCGGUGACUUUAUUGUUUUGUUAAAUUUUUUGUUUAAUAUUCUAAAUCUUUGUUUACAAAUUUUAAGUGUUAAUUCUUCGGAAAGCUGACCUCGAAGAAAGGCGUUAUUGAUAUCCAAUUGACGAAAAGGCCGGCCAUGACUAACAUCAAUACUAAGAACAAGUAUAGCCCGGUGACUUUAUUCUUUCUUGUAGUCUUUGCAUCACCACCUCAUUACACGCCAAGCCAAUAUUCCAUUUACCUCUACAACAAAAAGUUUUUAAGUAAACAAUCCUAAUGCACGCAGCCAAAUAAAAUGCAGUAAGAAUAUUCAACUUAAAAAUCUGAAAGCCAACUUGGUGAAUUGCCUCCUUAGGUGAAGUUCCAUGCUUUACUAUAGUUGACACAACUCAGCAAAAGCUUCCAUACAACAGAUUUCGAAAAUGAUGAUGCCAAUAGAUACUCAUUCAAUCCAUUGAAACUCCAAAGGUUCAUUGUUCAUAGAAGUUUACAGAGUUUUGGUCAUCAAAUAGCUCAGACCUAAUCCCAAACAAAAAACGAGUGAAAAUUAGAUCACGAGCAGCUAAUUGUAAAUUCUAACUUAACUCUUCAUCUCCUUUGUAAACAAGAAACAAAAUGGAGACACGCAAAAUGAAUAUGGAGAAAAUUUGAACUCAAAUGAAAUGAGGCACGAAAGCAAACAAAUGGCAUGCACAAAAAAACCAAGCCUCGAUAAAAAACUAAUUAACCAUUAAGAAAAAAAUUGGUCAGAGAAUGAACUCCAAAUUCAGGAGUCAAGCAAGAAGCUUUCAUUAUUUCAGAAGCUCCUGUACAAAUUAAUAAGUUAUGCUCUUUGGAUGCAAACCUAAAUUCCAAGAGAAACAGAACCCAAAAAAUUUGCAAUUAUACGCAAAGGAAGUGAAGCACAGGAUUCUAUCACACAUAGGAAUUGUAUAACAAGAGAUCGAUAUAUCGAAUUAGAAAACUCAAUUCGAAUUUGUGUCAAAAAUCAAAAUUAGAAGAUUUCACAUUUCGAGAGGAACAAGCAACAGAUGAAGUUGAAAAUUUUCAGCCAUAACAUGCUAAAAAUGCUACACUUAACGGUUCAUUUUCAUGGAUUUUCUCGGGAAACAAACAGAAAAUUACGGUUUAGAGAGUUGAAUGACCUUUUGGCUUUUGAAAUUGAGAAGAUCGCGCGCCAAAUUGGAAGAGGGAAAGUGAGAGUGCGAGUUUUAAUAUCAUUGUUUUAUUAUCGAUAAUUAUUAAAUGUUUUUCCAAAAAAAAGAACAAGCAAGGAUAUUUUAUUGUCAUUUGCAACCUUUAAUUUUUUAAAUGCUAUUAGAAACACAAGACAACAAAGAAAUACUUAUUUUUUUUCUAAAACUAAAAUCAAUUCUUUAACUUCUUAUUUCAUAAUCCAACUCCAUUACUAAGUUAAAAAAAAUUGUUUAAAAAUUACUUGAGUCAUAUCCAAUGGACCAACAAAGUAAUCGUUUUUAUUUUUAUUGAUUUUUGCAGGAAAUUAAUAAGUUAAAAAUACUGAAAGCUAUUGUAAAAAAUUAAAUUUCCCUGAUACUGAAAGCUAUCGAUAAUUAUUAAAUUUUAUUUUUAUUGAUUUUCGCUGAUUUUAAAUUUCGUUGUUUGUGAUGGAAAUUUUUUUGAAAAAAUUAAUGUGUUCGAUGAAUGUCAAAAUCUCAAAAACUUUUUGUUUUUCAUUUUUUUGGAAAAAACCACCGAGGUCCUUACUAUUUUUCUUAUAUCAUCUUGCUUAAUAAUUUGCAAAGUCUAUCACAUAGCACCCAUGCAUGAUGUAUGCUGGUUGUAAUUUACAAUAUUGUACAUGAAUAAAUCCAGCUAAAAUUUGUUAAAAGAAAAUAAUAAUAACAUAUUAAAACUUUAAAAUUUGAUUAUUCGAAGAAAUUUUAAUUUAGUUAAGUAGGUGACAUGAUAAUAAAUAGAUACGUAUAAUGUCCGAGAUUUUUUAUAAGAUUAAUAAAUAUAAUAAAUUUGGAUUAGUUCAAUUUUGACAUAAUUCAGAAUAAACACAUCUUGCUAAUCUAAAUUGCCACCGUUACUCAUCAUCAGGUACCUGUUUGAAAAAUAAUUACAAACAACUUAAUUUGUGUUGUUUCUCUAAAAGUUUGAGACACAAAUGUUAUUUCAAAUUGAAACGCCAUGCACUAGUAGUAGGUAAGAGAAACCAAGGUUGAAGUUACUGUUCAUUUAUUUUUAUUUAUGAUUUUUUGUAAAAUGUAAGAAAUAUGUAGAAAUGUUGCCAACAAUGAUUUUGGAACUUUGCAUAAAAUUUUUAUCAUUAUUGUUUUUGGUAUUAAGAAAUCCGAGGCGGUGAUUAGUCGUAUGUUGCAACAAUUAAGAAAUUUCUUAUUGGAGAUAAUUUGGUAGGUUGCAACAAUUAGAGAAUAAUUUUCCGGUCAGUUAAUCAAUCAAUAAUAAAUUUCAAAUUGCAGAAAAUAAAAUAAUACUGUCGCACUUAGAAUCAUCUUUUCUAUCUCUUUCAAUUGUGACAAUCAUUUGUAACUAAUAAAUCAAUUCAAAGUUCAAGUCACUGCUCAAUUGCAGAGUAGUUAGUAGACAUGCAUGCAUGUUUAAUUAAGUACUGCAUUGUAGUAUCGAAAAUCAUAACAUCUCACCAAGCCCGGAAGCAUAGCUCUUUAUCUUGUAAAUGUUGAAAUCUUAUGCAACCUAUGGGAAACAUGAUCUCACUCUCAGUGUCACUUGAUUCCAUUUUCUGUUCUUGCCUUGAUUUCAUUGUUGGGAAUGUGACGUCUGAGUCUAAGGUUGAAGAUAAUCUCGAUGCCUUGCGGACUGCAUUGGAAAAAUAAGCGGAAACGAGAAAUGAUGUGAUAAAUUGUGAGCCAACAAUAGUGGGCAUGGUGUCGACUUUUGAGAAAGCCUGGAGAUGCCUUGAAGAAGAAUCAGUUGGAAUUAUUGGCCUGUAUGUUAAUGGGGGAGUUGGAAAAUAUUUACUCAAAUCAACAACAAGUUCCUUGAUAGUCCAAAUAAUUUUGAUGUUGCGAUCUGGGUAGUGGUCUGCCAAGAUUUACAACCCCAGAAGUUUCGGGAAAAGAUUGGGAAAAAGAAAGGCUUGUUCGAUGAGUCAUGGAAGAACUGAAGUUUUGAAGAGAAAGCACUCGACAUAUUCAAGAAUUUAAGCAAGAUGAAGUUUGUAUUACUGCUGGAUGAUAUAUGGGAGCAGGUUGAUUUAAUUAAAAUUGGUGUCCCUCUUCCAAGCACAAAAAUUACAUUCAAGAUAGUCUUCACAACUCGUUUUAUUGACAUUUGUGGCCUCAUGGAAGCUCACAACAAGAUUAAAGUGGAGUGUUUAAAUGACGAAGAAGCAUGGGAAUUAUUCUGCAAGAAGGUUGGAGAAGAUGUGGCGAUAAAAUGAGUAUAUAUAUCCACUUUUGAAAUUCAGUUAUGAUAAUUUACCUAGCGAUAAAAUUAGAUCGAGUCUGUUAUACUGUAGUUUGUUUCUGGAAAACUUUCCAAUUAGCAAAACGGAAUUGAUACAUUGUUGGAUAAGCGAGGGCCUUUUGGAUGAAACUAAUAGUUCUGAGAUAUGAAAUCAAGGAUACUACAUUAUUGGUGUUCUUGUUCCUUUAUGUUUAUUGGAAGAAGAGGCUCCACUAUAUGUAAAAGUGCAUGAUGUGAUACGCGAUAUGCUUCUGUGGAUCGCAUGUGAAUUUUUUUUUUUUUUUUUUUGAUAGGGAUAGUAUGUGAAGUUGAGAAGGAGAAAGAGAAUUUUUUGGUUCGUGCAGGUGCAAGGAUUAACUGAAGUACCAGACAUUUGGAAAUGGGAAGGGUUGAGAAGGGUGUCUUUGAUGAGCAACAAAACUGAGAAGUUAUCAGAAAUUCCUUCAGAUCCCCAUCUACUGACUUUGUUGCUUCAACGUAAUUAUUUAGAGAUGAUCAAUAAUGACUUCUUCCAAUCUAUGCAUUCCCUUAGAGUUUUGAACUUAUCAUGUAAUCGUUCUCUAACUGAUAAUUUCAAAGUUAGUUUCCCUACAACAUCUUAAUUUAUCAAUGACUAACAUACGAGAGUUGCCGAUUGAGUUAAAGUUUGUAGUGAAUCUUAAGUUUUUGAAUGUGGAGUAUGCACGGUUUCUUCAUUCAAUUCCAGGGCAAGUGAUAUCCAGUUUUACGAUGUUACAAGUUUUGAAGAUGUUUGGUUGUGGCAGGUCAUCUUCUGAUCGUGAGCCACACCAGAAGAUAGCGUUUUAUUUGGAGGCAGUAAACUUUUGAUUGCGGAGUUGUUUGGUUUGAGAGACAUUUAGAUUUGUUGACCAUCAUCCUAAGAAGCUCCCAUGCUCUGAAAGAUUUUUGAGCUCCAACAAACUUCAAAGUUGUACUCAAUCUCUCUAUCCUAAAUGCUUUGAUUCGAAGUCAGUUGAUGUUUUUGGCCUGGCUGAUCUGAAGCAUCUCAAUAGGCUAUAGAUAUUGCGAGUUGUAAGCUUUUGGAAGAAGUGAAGAUUGACUUUGUUGGGAAAGCACAAUGAACCCAUGGUUUUCACAGCCUUAUGUCACGGAAGUUGUGUAAAUACUGCACGGGUUGCUGCCAUCCCAUGACAUUGAGCCAUGUUGAAAUAUCAUUUUGCUGUAAACUGAGGGAUCUGACAUAGCUUGCUUUUGCUCCAGGCCUUCUUGUUGUUUCCAGAAAACAUUGCCAUGAUAUAGAAGAAAUACUCGGUGUUGGAAAAUUAGGUAAAGAGAUGAUGUCAAACCUGGAACCUCCUACAAAACUCCAAGGUUACGUUUGUCAUGUGGGAUUGGAUUGAACUAAAUUAUUAAGAUUGAAUUAAAUUGAAUUAUAUUUAUAUUCUUAUGUUUAGUACCGGAUUGAACUAUAUUAGAUUAUAUUUAAAUAAUAUUAAAUAGUAUUUAAGUUGGUAUUUUAAUAUAAAUAUCAAUUAUCCAUGAAAUUUUAUAAUCAUAAUUAAAAUAAAUUUAAAAAGUAAUUACUAGGAAAAUUAAAUAUAUUGCAAAAAGUUAUUGGGUAGUCAUAAUAUAAUAAGCAAAUAAAAUUAAAUAAAACAAAUUAAAUAUUUAAUUAAUUUUUAUCAAAUAUUUAAAAAUAUUAUAUAAAAUCAAUUAAUUAAUGGUUUUAUUAAUUUUCAUGAUUAUUUUUAAUAUUACAUUAGUGAUUAUUAAAUUUAAUACAAUCAAAUAAUGCAAUAAAUAAUUAAACGUUUAAUUUUAUCGAUUAAUUAUUAAAUAUACAAGUAAUAAAAAUUUAAUCUCAGGAGUUGGUAGAAGCAAAAGUACUAAUUUAAUUACAUCAUAGAUAAUAAAUAAAAAUAAAUUCUAAGUAAAUCAUAAUAAAAAAAUUAAUUAAUUGAUUCAAUCAAUCAAUAUUAGGUGUAAAUAAAAAAAGAGUAAUGAUAUAGCCACAAACUCUUGCACAAACUUAUUUUGUACAAACUCAUGUGUCAUGAUAAGAUUAAUUAAAUUAAAUAUCACUUGACCUACAUGAUUUAUUUUUAUUAUUUUAUAUUUUCAUUCAACCAAUGAAUUAACGCCACGUCAGUUUGUAUAAGAUAGGUUUGUACAAGAGUUUGUGGCUGUAUCAUCGCUUAUAAAAAAAAAUAUAAAUAAAAAUAUCAUAAAUAGACAACUUUUAUCUUUAAUCUUAUUCCAACUAAACACAUGUGUAAAUUAGAAUUAUUAAUCCCAUGAUUUUAAGAUUAAAUUCAAAUUUAUUCCCCCUUAAUCCAAUCCAACUAAACUUGUCAAACAUGGGAUAAAAAUUUAAUUCUAAAAUUAGUACAAUUCCAUAUUUAAUCCUAACAUCCAAAUAUAGCCCAAGUUGUUUGCUUAAAGAAGCUACCAAAUUUGAAGAGCGUUUACGGGAAGGCCUUGCGUUUCCCAGAUGUAUGCAGAAUUUUUGUAUCUAAAUGCCCAGAACUUAAGAAGCUGACGCUGGAUUUGAAAGGGCGGGCCAAGGUAAAAUUCUUAUCAAGUGAAAGGAAAAUCGGUGGGAACAACUUCAAUGGGAGGAUCAAGCAACUCAGGAUGCAUUGCUUCUGUUUUUCAAAUCAACUGACAAGUGAUUGAAGGGGGCAUCAUCAGCCUGGAUGGGGAGAUCCUGGAGCAGAUCAGCAGGGUUUGAAUCUGCAUCAUCAACAUCAUCAGGAUCUCUAUUUCUAUUGCUGGUCGUAAUGCCUGCCUACUGUUGCUUGAAAAAGUGAUUAAGUGAGCCAGUUUUUUGUUCAUUAAAUUUUGUCUUGUAGAGACAGUCACAAAGUAUUUUUCUUAGUUGUUCUAUAUGAGAGUGAUGUGAAUCAAUUUUUCAAUUAUAUAUUCUGUGGUCAUUGUGAAUUUUGUUUAGAGCUGCAGACUAAGAAUAUGGAAAAGUUCACCGGCCAAAACUUUGUAAAAGCUUCCAAGUGAAGGGCCCGGGUGGGACUUGGGAGGCACACCAUGUUUUGUCUUCUAGCGUUGUGGCCGUUAGAUAUUUGGUCCCAUGAUCUAACGGCGCAUGAAAUUGAAAGGAAAUCGGCAACCGUUUAAGAGUGCUCAAGUGAGGUAGGUUAGGGUUUUACGAAAUCUCAAAAGACCAAGAUACUCCAAACUGCCCAUGAAAUUGAAAGGAAAUCGGCAACCGUUUAAGAGUGCUCAAGUGAGGGAGAUAUUUGGAGAAUAGGGUAGACAUCUCCACCCCCACUCCGCCCCAUUGCCAUCCCUAAAGGCAAAUGAGGUGGUACCUUCCAACCGCUGAAAGGUAGUUUUGGUCCCAAGUGAAACAGGGGAUGCACUUACUAUUAAGGACAGUUGGUGGCCAGCUAAUGCACUCAUUUUAUGUCCUUUCAUCUUUUUGAAUUAUUGAAGACAAGUGGCUCAUCGCUUUUACUGUAGGUAAGAUCCAGAUGAUCUCGUUUAUCAAAAUAAUUAUUUUAAAAUACUUUAAUUGUUUUUACUUUUAUGUUAUCUUUACUAAACUGGAAUCAGAAUAAGCUGAAAUCGAAAUGAGUAGGAAUAAGAAUAGAAUGGAAUGAAAAUAAUGAAUGAAAAUCAAAAUAAGUUGUUUACUUGAACUAUAGGAAUUAAAAUCGAAAUGAGCUGGAUUGCCAUUAAUGUGUUUACUUUGUCUUGGAAUCGAAAUCGGAAUGAAUUAGAUUGUAACAAAUUACUAAAAAGUACUUAAUGGAUUAUUGUCAUAAUUAUUAUUAAUUAAUAAAUUAAUUAAUUGUAAAAAAAUUUAAUUAAUUAUAAUAACUAUAAUAAAAAUUAUUAUAAAAAUAUAUUAACUAAUAAUAUUACUAUAAAUUACUUAAUUAAAAUAAUAUAUGAAUUAUUGUGAUUAUUUAUUCAAAAAAUAUAAUUAUUAAUAAUUAUUGUUAAUAAUAUAUUAGUAAUAAAUAUAUUAAUUAUUUAAUAAUGUGAUUAUUUAUUCAGGAACAAUAAUUAUUAAUAUAUUAUUGUUAAUAAUAUAUUAAUAUAUUAAUUAUUGUGAUUAUUUAUUCAAGAACUAUAAUUUUUAAUAAUUAUAGUUAAUAAUAUAUUUAUUUAUUAAUUAAUCAUAAUAUAUUAAUUAAUUAAUUAUAAUAUUAUAUUAAUUAAUUAUAAAAGAGGACAAAGUGGGUAUUUUUAAUUUUGGGGAAGGUAAAAUGGUCAAUCCUAGGAAUGAGAGACUCAUUCCCACCUGCCUAUGGGAAUCAAUCUCCCAAUCUUCAUUCUCAAAUAGUGGUGGACCCCAUCAUUCCGAUUCUGAUUCUUGCUCCAUAUUUACGAAGUAAACACCGUCAAUCAUUUUAAUUCUGGAAUUCGAUUCUUUAAUCCUGCAAGUAAAUUAGGGAUGGCAAAACGAAUAAACGAAUCGAAUCGUAAACGAAUUAGGUCAAAAUUCUAUUAAUUUAGAUUCAUUUAUUAAACAAAUUAAAAUUUUAUGAGUAGGAUUCGAUUGAUUUAUUAAACGAAUAUUUGAUUUUUAAUAAACUAUAUAUGAAAGUGGAAUCUUUUGAAUAUAAGUGGGUAAGCUCCCUUUAAAAAAAAAAAAAAAAAAAAAAAAACCGGGGUAGGCUCUUUUAUUAAAGACAAGUCACAAGUAUUGAGUAGUCACGAGUCACGACGGUUAGGCUCUUUUAUUAAACUGCAAAUUGUAGGAGGUUGCUAUGCUACUGGGAAGCAGCACACGUGUCCUGAAGAGAGAGAAAAACCGAGCAAAUACAGGCAAUGGGAGUUGGCUAAAAGUUGGAUCUGCAAUUUACAAAAUCUGUAACUUAGGGGAAAUUUACAGUAAUAACCAAAAAAAAUUCCCUUUUUUUCAUUUUAACCCCCAAAAAAUAUUUCUAUCAACAUUAGCCAUUAAACAACAUUUGAGACCAAAAUACCCCUCCCUCAUCUCUCCCCCAACACUCCAUUUCACUCAUCUCUCCCAAACCGAUCCAACUCCCAUCAUCGGCGGCGACAUCAACCCUCGUCGGCGGCGGCUCCAUCUCUCACCGGCAUCCGAUCUACGAUCUACAACCUUCAACAAAAUCUAGGUUAGUCAUUUUUCUUAUUUUCAUUAAUUUAAAAUGAGAUUUUAGAAUAAUAAUAGUUAUAGCUUGAGAUUAAUAGUGGUGGUGAUGAUGUUUGUGGUGGUUGGUGGUGUUUGGGAGUAUUGUUUUCGAUUUUGGAGUGAUUGUGCUUAAUUUUGCGGGUGGGGAGGGAGGGGAGUAGGGCGCGCGCGCGCCCAUCGCUGGGCAGCAGCGCGGCACGCUGUUGCACCAAAUCUGGUGCGACAGCUAUUUUUUUUGUUUAUUAAUAAGUUUUAUUGUAUUAAAUAUUUGAUAGUUGUUUUAUUUGAUUUUUCACUUUGGUUGUUGUAGGCUUGGAUUUACGAAGCAAUCGGAGGGUUGCCAUCAACAUGGGUCGUCAAAACGAAGAAUAAGAUUCCCCGCAUUCUGCAAUGGAAGCCCAUGGCGUCGUCGAGAAUCAACUUUGCGGAGGUUUAUUCGUUCUUCAACGACGAAUCUCGUCUUGUAAGUAAUAUGUAUUACUUAUUUUUUAAACUUUACUAAAUUUAAGUUAUGUAUACUUACUUAAAAUUUUCAAUUGAAUUUAUGGAAGGGGGACGUUUUACAAACCCUUGAGCCAAAUUCAAAGGAGAGUAGCAAAAAUUAUUGGCUCUCUGUGAAGGAUUACUUGCCAAGCAUUCCAGACUGGGUUCAUAAGGUCGGUAUACUCUAAGCACGAAAAAUUUGUUAAUCGAAAUUUUUGACUUUUCAUUUACUAAUUUUAAAUGAUACUUUAUACAGCACCAACCCUCAAUCAACGCGAUGCCGUCGGUUACAAGGCAUUCAGACGAGCAUGACGAUCAUGACGACAUACCAAACCCAAUACCAGAGCAGUGUCAUGACACUUUUGCGGAUGAGGUGGGCCAUGACACUUUUGAGGAUGAGGUGGGUAAAUAUGACCACCAGGAGCAAACAGACAACUCUGAUGACGCACGGGAUUCUGAGGUUAGAAAUAAUAUACGAUAUUUUUUUUUAUAAAUUAUUAAUUUUUUAUUGUUAUUCUAAAGUUUUAUUUUUUUCUUUUGUAAUAGUCGAGGACAAAGCAGUUUAAUGAUUACGUACGACGACGGCUGGAUAAGAUUGAUCGUAACGUGUAUGAAAUUAAGUCAGAAUUAAAAGAUUUUAAAGAAACCGUUGUUGGUUUCAUCGACACAUUUUCUAAACGUCCAAAUAAGGAUUCUCCCACUGCACGCUCGUAUGCGGUAAGCUAUUUUAAAUUUGAUAAUAAUGUUCGUUUAACUUUUAAUUUGAUAGUUAUUUAAUAUGUUCUUUUUGGCGAAUGUACAGGCCCCGGAUGACGUUGGAGUGUAUACUGACGUGGGCAAUGAAAAUUUGUCUACGCCCACAUCAUUGUAUAGUUUCUACGGGGAUGUAAGUGGGGAGAGCGUGCAGGUGUUCACAGAGGUGCCUCCGGGCGUUAGUAAGUUCGGCCGCGCGUACAUACCGUCGUAUGUUUAUAACAGUCCGUACAUGAUUCCUCCGGUCAGGCGAGGACAGCACGUCCGGCCUUUACCUCGACCCCAAAUCAUGGAGCAUGCGAUUGACAUGAGUACGAGUGUGGAUGUAAAUCCACUGAGAGGAUUGGAGGACUCUAGUCUGUUUGCUGAGUUUGAUCAAUGGUUUACUGGUGAUAGCAGAGUCCGCCGGAGAGUCCAGCACCCGCGGUCAUUCUUUCAAAUAAUUUUGGGGACAGCUUCGAUGGGAUGGUUAGGCGAUGAGGUAUUUAUAAUUUCCUCGUGGUGUAUACUGUUGUGGAUUUGUGUAUAAAUUUGUUUUUAAAAACUCGUAAUAUUUCUGUUUCUCUACAGCAUAUUCACGAGUAUCUCCGCUUGAUUAGCGAGAAGCAACGGCAGUAUCCAAAUGCCUUACUCCAACGUGUCACACAUACUGACACAUUUUUUUGGGUAACGUGCCGACAAAACUUAUAAAUCUUAUGUGGAUGUAAAAAUUUAAGUUUUAUUAAUUUAUGCAUUUCUUGGUUAUCUAUGUAUUAGGUGUUCUUGAAUCAGUUAUGGAAUAACAGGAAUUGUGCAGUCGAUUCAAUGGUAUUCGACGACCGCGUGAAUAGUUAUCUUUGUGGCCGCCAGCACACAAUGUCUAAAUCAAUGACGGAUGUCGAUAUGGUAUGUAUUUUAUUACAUUUCACAUGCUAUCUAAUGAAAAUAUUCAAGUUGUUGCUUUUUCUUUGUUGUAUUGUAUUUUAAUUUCAUACAUAACGAACAUGUUUUUCAAUUGUUAUAUGCAGCUACUCAUCCCUGUUAACUUCGACGGCGCGCAUUGGGUACUAGCACGAGUUGACUUUCGGAAAAACAAAGUCUGGAUUUAUGACUCAUUACUCACAAAUCGCAACGACAAAAGGUACAAGUUGAAAUUCAAGCCACUUGAAGUUAUAUUCCCUCGAUGGUUGGAAUACGUUGGCUUCUACAAUAUCCGACCGGAGUUGCAGAGUGAAGACCCGUGGAAAGUUAUCGCAGUUAAGAGCGCGCCACAACAAGAGCCCGGAACUGGCGAUUGCGGUGUUUUUGUAUUGAUGGUUACGAUGUAUUUAAUGUUCGGGAUUAGAUUGGAGUUUAACGCUAGUCAUGUCGAGUACUUUAGAAAGAAGAUUGCGGUUGAUAUAUUUAAUGACGAUAUUCAAUUGUAAACCUAUGUAGUAAUUCAAAUGUUGAAAUUUGAAAUUUUUUUUACUUCGCACACUUAAGUUUAUAUAAUUUUAAUGCCUCACAUUUUAAACUUUAAAUAAAGUUUUAUGAAAUAUAAGUGUACAAUACAAAACAAACAGUAACAGUUUUAACCAACGAACACAAAAACAAUAAUAGUUUUAACAAACUCAUAACACACAAAAUACAACUAACUUCGAGUCGACGCAAUGGGAUUCUUACAUCUCUUACGAUUAUGGCCUAGUUCAUGACACCGACCGCAUCUAACAGUCCGCCGGUCAACGUCCUCGCCAGCCGAGGGUAUUCUGAGCUCUUUACGACGGCCAGGUGGUGGUGCCUCAACUGGUGGGUAUACAUGCAUUUCCUGAAUUUUAUCUGGAAUUUCCCAAUCAGCCACAUCACCAACUGGCUCUACUGGUUGUGCAUAAGCCAUCGCCAACGAUUCUGUAGUGUAAAAGUCCGAGCAAAGGUUAAUAAAAUCCACCCGGUGUGUUAGACACGCCGCGAUUGCAUGAGCACACACAAGCUGAUCAAGCUGGAACACUCUGCAGGAGCAAGUUCUCUUUUGCAAGUCAACUAACCCUUCCUUAAGCCCACCGCCUAUAACUUGAAAGCGAUGCGGAGACACCGGCCGAACUAUCAUUCUUUCAGCUAUAGUUCUCCUCUCAGUGACUAUUUCAUCCGCCCAUGUUGUUAGCCGAGUAGUCAUUGAUUCAGCCACAAUUUUCCUAUCAUAAAACCAUUGCUGCAAUGUUUUCCUAAAGUGAUCAACAAGAUGAGUCACAGGAAAUUUUCGAGGUUCCCUCAUGAACGCAUUAACACUCUCCGCGAUGUUCGUGGUAAGAAUGCUGUACCUCCUACCUUCAAACUGCGACCUUGCCCAAUUACACGUACCGACAUUAUUUUCUAGGUAAUCAGCCGCACCCGAGUGGAUCAUCCACAACCCUUCAAGUUGUCUCUUAAAUUCCUCGUGGCCAUAUGCUUUUGCUGCAUUAAUAAAGGCAGGCUCAAAUUGAUCCCAAAGAGCUUUGGACAUUCUAAACUGAGACUUAAUGUUACCUUUGACGUGGUAAAAACAAACGCCAUGAGUUGCAUUGUGAAAAACUUUAAGAACGGCUCUCCUUAUGGCAGUGCAUCGAUCAGAGAUAAUUACCAACUCAGGUCUAUCGCCAAUCACUCCGUGUAACUUCAUCAUAAACCAUUCCCAAGCAUCGUUGUUUUCUGAAUCCAUGAUCCCAAUGGCUAACGGAUACAAUUGAUUGUUACCAUCAAGACAUGUUGCCACGAACAUGCUUCCACGAUAUAAUCCCUUCAGAUGAGUACCAUCUACAGCAAUGACAGGCCGAAUGUACUGCAUAAAACCCUUGAUGGAAGAUCCGAGUGCUACAAAAUAGUACAAGAAAUUACCAUCUCCAUCCUGCUUGAGGUGAGUGACUGUACCCUCAUUCGCUGUAGUUAGUACGUGAGAGUAUUUAGGGAGCAAGUUGUAUGACUCUGCAGGGUUGCCUCGAACUAUUUCAAGACCAACUUCUCUCGCCCGAUAUGCCUGCUGGUAUGUUAACUGAACACCGUAUUCCUGUUGCAUAUCUGCUCUUAUGUCAUUCGGAGUAUAAAUCCUCUUGUCUUGAAUAUAUUUUUCUGCGAUAAUAUGACCGACAACCUGGCUCCUGACUUGAUGACGUCCAUCAACCAAUACCUCAUUAUGACAAGUGUGUACAUUGUCAAUUCUCUUCACCACCCACGGAAUAUUUUGCUCGUUCGAACAUCUAGUUGCUCGAAUACGCCAUUUACAUGAUUCUGAACAACAGUGAGCCUCGAAACGUGUCGUAGUAGACCGUGCAAUCUUGAAAUCAAACUUGUCUCUAAAGGCAACCUUGCGUAGUUGUAAUAUAAACUCAUUUUUCUCAGCAAAUAGCUUACCCACACUGAUAUCAUCUGAAUCACAACUGCUAACAAAGCUUGGAGCAACCAUAUUCGAAGGCAAAGUUGGAGCAACACUUGUAAGGGGGUCAAUUCGCCUUCUCGAUCGAACCAUAGAAGGAAUAGGUCUAUUGCCUCUGUUAUUCACAGGAGUAUUGUCUUCACACUCAUCCUCAUGCUGAAACGACGGAACAUUUGAAGGACCGGCUCCUCCAUCAUCACCAUCAUUAUUGUAACGCGUGCCCCCCCUUGUAGUAUUAGAAGGUUCUGCACAAACAUUAUCCCCCUCUGUCUCAUUAUGAAAAUCAUCAUUGUCCCGAAAAACAUUGUUGUGAUACGGAGAAUAUCGUUGCUCCAACGACGUUGUUAUUGGAAAUACUGUUGCUCCAACAUCCUGUAACGUAACGCCAUUAUCAUCAAUGUUGUCAUAAUUAUCGUGGAUUGGAGAGUAAUAUUGCUGCAACGAUAUUGUCCUUGGCAACACCUCUUCAUCAUUAUCGGGGCCAGACAUAUUUGCUCUAAACGAAGUUUCUGUAUCGACAUGUGGCUCAAUACCUUCGCUCGGAACUCGAGGUGAUGUGGUCACGAAUAUAGGAAUGCAUCCAAAAUUAGCUACGUCCGAUGCCAUAUGCAACACAACCCUCACCAUUUCAUCAUCGCAUAUAUCCAUGGGCAUUGCACAUAUACGAUAUAAUGUGUUACUAGACCUCAAAGUUGUCUUCAUGGUGAUACUAUAGUCAUUAGGGUUAAUUUGUAACACCUCGUAUACUCUUGCCAAUAACUGAUCAAACAAAUAAUUUUUUCCAACCAAAAAUGCUCGAUUUUUACCAUUCACGUACUCCAUACGGCUAUUUUCUAAUGUCUCCCACCAACCAUCGUAACACAAUUCAAGUACAACUGAAUCCAUUAAGCCUGAAAUUAUAAAAAAAAAUUAUUUCAGCCAUAUUAAAAUAAUACAGUUUUAAUGAUGUAUUUCAUGGUGGGUGCGACAGGCAACCUGUCGCCCGAAUCUUGGUGCGACAGGGUGCCCGUCGCACCAAGGUUUGGUGCGACAGGGUGCCCGUCGCACCAAACCUUGGUGCGACGGGCACCCGUCGCACCUUGCUUGGUGCGACAGGCACCUGUCGCACCAAGUUUUGCUGCGACAGGCAGCCUGUCGCCAGAUCCAGAUUUAGCCCAGUUGUUCAGAAAAUAACUCAUACCAGUAACUGAUGUCGAUUUGUGUUGGAUUCGGGAUUCGGAUGUCGAUUUGUGUUGGAUCCGGAUAAAUUAUGAUCGGAUAUCACUUUUAUCGUUGUCCUUUGCGGUCACCGUUGACUGAUGAAUCAAGAGCGAAAAGCUGCUUUUGGUUUGGCGAUAUAGGAGAAACGACGUUGGUUUUGUUACGCAAAGAAGGGUAAUUUGGGAAAAAAGGCUUGUGUUUGGCUAAUGUUGAUAGAAAAAAGUUCAGAGGGUUAAUUGCAAAAAUAAUAAAAUAAUAAUGGUUAUUUUCGUAAAUUUCCCGUUUGAAUAUGACCUUUGGCGCUUUGUUUUUUUUUUUUUGUGAAUUUUUUUCAUUUUUUCCUUCCUGUCAUUUUAUCAUUUCUUUGGCUUUGUCUCUAUUGCGGGUGUUACUGCAUGCUUACUGUUGCUUGACAAAGUUUGCUGGCUUUUCCUUUUGUUUAUUAAAUUUUUUAUGGUCACAAAGUAUUACUCGUUCUAUUUGACAGUGAUGUGAAUCAAUUUUUCAAUUUUAUAUUUUGUGGUCAAUCUUAAUUCAAUUUCAUUUGUCUCCUGCAAUUAUGAAAAAAUUGCAGUCAUAAUAUGGAAAAAUACACCGGCAAAAACUUUGUAAAAGCUUCGGAGUGAUACGGCGAAUUCACUUACUACCAAGGACAAUUGGUGGCAAAGCUAUUCCAUUCAUUUUAUGUCCAUCCAUCUAUUUAGUUAUUGAAGACUAGUGGUCCAUUUGUAAAUUUCAGAUUGUCUCUCUCUCUCUCCCUCUUGAAAUAACAAUAUUUAAUAUAUCUCUUAAAUUAUUAUAAAUUUUAAUUUACUCUCGAUUUAAAAUGGAGCAUGUCGAUAAAUUUUUUUAUUAAUAACAUUCUUUUAAUAAGGGAUACUAAUAUCUUAUUUUGAUUAAUAACAUUCUUUCACUGUGUUAACUCAAAAAAAAUAUUAUAAUGCUUUACAAUAAAUACAAAUGUCCUAUUAAAUGAAUAUAUAAAAAAUUUAGAAUAUUUAGAAUAUUAUAUAAAAUAAUUUUAAUAUAAUGCGUGAGAUAUAUUUUAUUAAUUUAAAAUGUCAUUUUACCUAAAAAAUAUGAUAAAUUAAUAAUUACAUAUUUGAAGUUAUUUCAAAUAUUAAAAAAAAAUUAAUAUUAUUAGUCUUUUAGAUAGAUUAAAUUAUUUUUUAUAAGAGAUAGAUUAAAUUAUUUUAAAAUACCUUAAUUGUUUUUACUUUUAACGCUACCGGCCUUUCUUUUAUUUUAUUGCAAAUUAAUGCUAACAAGAAAAAGCUAGAUCAUAUUCCACAAAAGCACAACCAGCUGGAAUCUUUUAUAAAACUACAAAUUAAGAUGGAUUUUUUUUUUUGAUAAAUUACACAUGAAAGUAGAUUCUUUUGAAUAUAAGUGGGGUAGGCUCUUUUAUUUUAUUUUUGAAUAUUGUAUAUCGGGACUGUAGAUUUUUUUAUUAAACUACAAAUUGUAUAGUCUUUUUCAAAUUGUUAUAAAUUAGUGGCCCCUACAAUCCUCAACAAUUGUACCGAUAUUCACAAGUUGGUGGGCCCUACAAUUCUGUUCCGAUAAUUUAACUGUGCAAGUGCUCAUUCACAAUCUUCCAGGUCAUGCUCUCUAUAAUUGUUUUUUUUUUUUUCUGCAUUCCCUUUCAUGCUCUUAAUAAUUGAAGAGCAUACUUUUCAUUUUCAAAUGUGGAGCCGCAGCUAAUGUCGCUAAUUUAAUUUGGGAUUAAAUUAGGGGACCAUUAUAUUGCAGUGUGCACUAAUUUUUGUGUUUAUCUAAACUCCUUAAGUUUAAGACAUAUUAUGGCAUAAAUAAGAAUAUAACAAUAACAAAAGAGUUAUUCAUAAAAUAUGUGAGAUAUUCAUAGUUUAUUAAUUUAAAAUACCAUUUUAAAAUUAAAGAUUUAUUUAUGAUAAAUUAAUAAUUAUAUUUUUGAAAUUACUUCAAAUAUUAAAAAAUUAAUAUUACUAAUCUAUUAGAUAGAUUAAAUUAUAUAUAUUAUUUUCUAUUUAUUAAAAAAUUAAAAUUAUUUUUAAUUACUAUUCAAAAAAUAUAAUGAUAAAAAAAAAUCUUAACAUCUUUAUUAAAAAUUUAAAAAUUUACAUGAUCAAUUCUCUAAAUAUUUAGGGUAUAUGUGAACAUCGGUGGAGAAGCUUUAUUUAAUAUUAUUGAUUUAAAUAAUAUGUCAAUUAAAAAUGUACAGAGAAGGAAAUUUCGGUGGUUAUUUUAGUCUUUUCAACAAUUAUCAUGAUCAGAUCAGCCUUUAGCCUUGAAACGUCGGUCAGAAAAGUUUUAAAAUUAACGCUAACAAGAAAAAGCUAGGUCAUAUUCCACAAAAGCAAAAGUGACAAAACAAGCAGCUGGUUUCUUUUACUAAACUACAAAUUAAAAGUGGAUUCUUUUGAAUACAAGUGGGACAGACGAUUAGGCUCUUUUUUAUUAAAGGCAAGUAAAAAGUAGUCGAAUAGUCGUUUUCAAAUUAUUGUUUUAUUAUUUUUCCUUCAAAAGUUAGUGUGGCUCAUGUUUGCAGGUGCGAAUGUCCGAUGCUCUUUUUUUAAAGGCAAUUACAGUGGGUCCCGAAUCAUUACUAAAAUUUCUCUUCCACAGCCCACAUCAGCUUCAGGAAUCAGUUUAUCAAACUCAAUCAAUUUUCUUUCUUAACAAAAUUCCAAAGAUGUGUAGCAUUUUUCAGAUCACAUGCGAUGGUGCUUUUUUCAAUCGUUGCUUGGAUUGCUUUCUUGGAAAAGCAGCAUACAUACGUAACCUCCAAGAUAAUCUUGAUGCCUUGGAGACUGAAUUGGGAAAUCUGAUCGCUAGAAAGAACGAUGUGAUGAGGAGGGUUGUCGAUGCUGAACGGCAACAAAUGAGAAGGCUGGACGGAGUGCAAGUGUGGGUUUCGAGGGUGGAUUCUGUUAAAACUGAAGCUGAUCAAUUUAUAAGAGACGGCUCUCGAGAAAUUGGAAAAUUAUGUGUUGGAGGCUACUGUUCCAAGAAUUGCAUGUCAAGCUACAAGUUCGGGAAAAAAGUGGCUAAAAAGCUACGGGAUGUGCGGACUUUAAUCAGUGAAGGAGUUUUUGAGGUGGUGGCUGACAGAGCUCCAGAGUCUGUAGCAGAUGAAAGACCUACUGAGCGAACACUAGUAGGCUUGCAAUCACAACUUGAACAAGUCUGGAGAUGUCUUGUAGAAGAAUCAGCGGGAAUCAUUGGCCUAUAUGGUAUGGGCGGUGUUGGUAAAACUACACUACUGACCCAUAUCAACAAUAAAUUUCUCGAGAGUCCAACCAACUUUGAUUGUGUGAUUUGGGUUGUAGUUUCAAAAGACCUGCGACUCGAAAAAAUUCAAGAAGAUAUUGGGAAAAAGAUAGGUUUGGUUGGUGAUUCAUGGAAGAGUAAAAGUGUAGAGGAGAAAGCUGUCGACAUCUUCCGGAGUUUAAGAGAGAAGAGAUUUGUAUUGUUGUUAGAUGAUAUAUGGGAGCGGGUUGAUUUAACAAAGGUGGGCGUUCCACUUCCCGGACCAAAAAAUACUACCUCAAAAGUCGUAUUCACAACCCGUUUCAUCGAUGUUUGUGGUAGCAUGGAAGUUGACAGGAAGUUUCAAGUAGCAUGCUUAUCAGAAAAGGAUGCUUGGGAACUGUUUCGAGAAAAAGUUGGGGAAGAAACUCUUCAGAGUGAUCAUGAUAUCGAUGAGCUAGCCCAAAUUGUGGUCAAAGAGUGUGGUGGUUUGCCACUCGCACUUAUUACUAUUGGUCGAGCUAUGGCCUACAGAAAGAAAGCGGAGCAGUGGAGACGUGCAAUUGAAGAGUUAAGGAGAUCAGCUUCAGAGUUUGCAGGUUUGGGAAAAGAGGUGUAUCCUCUUUUAAAAUUCAGCUAUGAUAGUUUGCAGAAUGAUACGGUUAGAUCUUGUUUCUUGUACUGUUGUUUAUAUCCUGAAGAUUUUGGCAUUCUUAAAUGGGACUUGAUUGAUUGUUGGUUUGGCGAGGGAUUUUUUGGGGAAUCUGAAGGGUUUGGUGCAGAAAACCAAGGAUAUGACAUUUUGGACACUCUUGUUCGUGCAUGUUUAUUAGAAGAGGUGGAAGAUGAUGAAGUAAAAAUGCAUGACGUUAUUCGUGAUAUGGCUAUAUGGAUAACUUGUGAAAUUGAGAAGGAGAAGAGAAACUUUUUGGUUCGUGCAGGUGCUGGAUUAAAAGAGGCACCGGGUGUUAAAGGAUGGGAAAAUGUGAGAAGAUUGUCAUUGAUGCAAAACCAAAUUGAAACUCUGUCAGAGGUUCCCACAUGCCCUCAUCUCCUCACUUUAUUUCUUGACUUUAAUCAGGAGUUGGAGAUGAUCGCGGAUGGCUUCUUCCAACUUAUGCCUUCUCUCAAAGUUUUGAAGAUGUCAAACUGUUGGAAUUUGAAAUUACCGGUUGGGAUGUCAGAGUUGGGUUCAUCACUAAAAUUUCUCGAUAUUUCAGAAACACCAUAACAGAGUUACCGGAAGAGUUAAAGAAGUUGGUAAAUCUGAAAUGUUUGAAUUUGAGGUGGACACAGCAUUUAAAUAAAAUUCCACGGCAACUAAUAUCAAAUUCUUCAAGGUUAGGUGUGUUGAGAAUGUUCGCUACCGGCUAUGGAUAUUUUCAUGAAGCACCAGAAGACAGCGUUUUAUUUGGUGGGGGUGAAGUUUUGAUACAGGAAUUGCUCGGUUUGAAAUAUUUAGAGGUAUUGGAGUUGACCUUGGGAAGUUAUCAUGCUCUCCAAAUUCUUUUGAGCUCAAAUAAGUUAAAAAGUUGUAUUCGAUCUCUUUUCCUCGAGUUGACCGGAGAUACAGCGUCAAUUAUUGAUGCUACGGCUUUCGCAGAUCUAAACCACCUCAAUGAAUUAUGGAUUGAUAAUGGUAUUGAGUUGGAAGAGUUGAAGAUUGAUUAUACGGAGAUAGUACGAAAAAGGCGGGAACCUUUUGUUUUCCGCAGCCUUCACCAUGUUAUUAUACGAAGCUGCCAGAAGUUGAAAGAUUCGACAUUCCUCGUUUUUGCUCCAAACCUCAAGUCUCUCAAUCUAGACGGUUGCGAUGCUAUGGAAGAAAUAAUCAGCUUCGGAAAAUUUGCUGAGACUCCUGAGAUGAUGGGACAUGUAAGCCAUUUUGAAAAUCUCCAAAUUCUUCAUUUAUCGCAAUUGCCAGCUUUGAAGAGCAUCUACUGGAAGCCAUUGCCUUUCACUCAUCUCAAAGAAAUGGCUGUAAGAGGGUGUGAUCAGCUUAGAAAGCUUCCACUCGAUUCCAACAGUGCAACAGAGCGUAAAUUUGUUAUUCGUGGAUACAUACUCUGGUGGAACCGACUUCAAUGGGAGGAUGAAGCCACUCAAAUUGCUUUUCGUUCCUGUUUCCAACCUGAUUCCUGAGCGGUGGUCGCAAAAUUUGAUUUCUGGUGAGUGCGUUUGUCUUUUAAAAGAAGAAUUUAAAAGAAAUUUAUUCUUGUCGUUUUCUUUUUGGGGCAUCGAAUUGAUGCUCUAGUUUUUUACUUUUUGUUGUCAAAUUAUGCCCUUUUUUUUUUUUUACAAAUUGAAACUUUAUUUAUUACUUCUUAGGAUUUAAUUUCCUGUCAAUAGACGAACGAGAAGAACAUACGACUUAAACCAAUUGAUACUUUAUUUAUGUGCGUUGUAUGUAAUAAAUAUUAAGUAUAUUAGCUGUCUUUCCUGAAAAUCAAAUGACAAUAAAUUUUUUAAAGUUUUGAUUUUCUAUGGUCAAUUCCACCUUUUGCAAUUUCUUCUAUUCUAACAAAAACCAAAUUCUUUGUUCAAGUAUUUUCGUUUGGGUAUUAAUAAUUCUCCACCGAAAGAGUGAACUCUUGGAUGCUGCUCAAGGGUCUCUAAUCAAUCGCCGGAAGCAAUUGAGAGGGCGCCGAGACCUAAUCGGACCUAGGCCCAAGUUUGGUCUUAAAGCCUGGGCUUGAGCCUGACAAUUAAAUUAAAACAUUAAUUGAUUGAAUUGUCGUGUAAUUGAUUUAUGGGGGAUGAAACAUCAACAUGCUUGAAAAUACACUAAUCUUAGCAUCAUCGGUUAAUAAUUUUUAGAUUUAUGGGUAAUCAAUAGUUAAGAUUAGUUGUCAUUAAUACUAAAUAUUUUUUACUUUUUUUGUCUCUUUUAGAGGAUCUUCUAGAACAAUGCAUCCACAACAAAAUUUAAUAUUUUACAUAAUAAACAAAAUAUAAAUGUUAAAUUUAAGAAACUGCAUUGCAUUUCAGCUGAAGCUGACUUUAAUAUUUAGGGUAGAAAAACAAUAAAAUCCUUAAUGUGUUUAAUUUCUAUCACUUGUGUCAUUAAAAUUUUCUAGUCACCCCAACCAAUUGCAUCUCAACCCACUUUUUUUGGAUGAUUUUAUUUUUACACUAUUAUUUUCAACAUAUCAUGAUGUAUUCGUCAAAAGCUGGAAAUGACUGUUGCCCGUCAAAAUUCACAUUUAUUCCUUAACGAUAAAGUUUUAAUAUAAUUUUGAAGUUAUAACUCAAAAAUAUAUUGUGUAAUAAUAAGAAAAAUGACCUAAAUGGUAAAAGUGAGAAAUAAUAAGAUCGAAGUACUAUUCUCCAUCCAAUGUUAAAUGGGGCAAUGCCAUUCUCUGGUUCUCUUCUUUAAAUGCGUGAUGUGCGUGCUCUGUUUUAUUUUUACACUAUUGUAGCACAUAAGUUGCAAAAUAUAACAUAAAAUUUGAAAAAUGUGUAGUUUUUGUUCCUUUUUUCUUAAAAAUGGGAAAAAGAAUGUAAUUUUGUUUAAAUUACUGUUGUGAUAACAAUUAUUAUUUUAUUGAUUAAUUGGCAGAGAAUCGUUAUGGUUUCGUAUGGUUGUUUUUUUUUUUUUUUUUUUCGUAUGGUUGUUAUGGUAUCGUUAUGGUUUCGUAUGGUUGUUAAAACAUUGGAAAGUCCACUACAUCAUCCGUUAAUAACUUUCAAAUUUAUGGUUAAUCAAUAGUUGAGAUUUAUUAUCAUUAAUGCUAAGUAUUUUUUAAUAUUUUUCUCUCUCCUAGAGGAUCAUCCACAGCAAAAAUUUAAUAUUGUAAAUAGUAAACAAAAUAUAAACGUGAAAUCUAAGAAACUGCAUUGCAUUUCAGCUGAAGCUAACUUUAAUAUUUAAUGGGGAAAAAUAAUUAAGUACUUAAUGUACUUUAUUUACCCAUAUAUAUGGCUAAUUUUUUAAGAUAAAGGGGAAGGAUGAUGCUCAAAAAUAUAAAUUAUAAAAUUAAUUGAACUCUCAAGUAAGUUUAAAGUUCAUUAUUUUUAAUUACAUGUUUAUAAUUUAUUUUUAUUUCGUAUUAAUCUAUAGAUCUAAAUCCACUUUGGAUUCAUAUACAUAUAUACACAUGUUUAUAAUAACACAAAGGCUAUCAAUCUCCACCACCAACAAUUUUAUACCCAUUUGCCAAGCCAAAAUCAGACCCUGGUACAAACCUCAAAGCUCUGCAAUUGUUACCGAGCAAAUACCAAUAUUCAUGCAGAACCCACCAUGCCAUCUACCAGUAGCAUCUCUAAUCAACCCCUCUGCACUCGCCAAACCGGAUCCCUUCCUAGCACCAUCAGAGUUUAAUUUAUAAUAUGGCCAUCGAGGAGGCAACCAACCAAACAUUUUUUGGACUCUCAGUCCUCUAUCACUUUGAAAAGCCUCACAAGUACGAAUUAUCUCCUCAGCUCGUACCCUGAUAUCCCGAACCAUGCUUUCUGCAUUCACAACUUUAUCUUAAAAAAGCAACUGAUUCCUUGCCACCCAUAUACACCAGAUGGCUACCCCAAAUAUGCAACUCCAUUCUUGAUUGCUACCAUGAUUACCCAUACCUUGAAUAUUGGCAAAAAUCCAGUCACGGGUUGGCAACGUGAAAAAAUCAGCAGUCUCAUGACCUGUUAACAACAUAUUCCAGAUUCUCCUAGAAGUGGCACAGUCACGAAGAGCAUGGGCCGUAUCCUCUGCAGCAUAACCACAGCGCAUGCAUAUCAUAUCCACCCCAAUAUGUCUCCUAUAAAGCUCGGCUUUGCAUUUAAUCCUGUCCUUUGCAGCAAGCCAAAGGAACGUCCGGAUUCUGUGAGGACCUCUCCAUUUCCAGAUACUUUUCCAUCUCACCUCCUCAUCCUGAACCAAAUUUCCAAGAAGCAGGUUAUAAGCUGUUCUUGCCGUAAACAUUCCUGAAUUUGAUGAUCCCCAAUAAAACUGAUCAGCCUCACUAUCCGGGGAAGGAGGCUUAAUAGCUGCAAUCAUUAACACCACAUUAUGAGGGAGGAGAAACCCAAAACGGCCCCAAUUCCAUGAACCAUCAACACUAAUGGCGUCAACCACCCAAUCAUGUAAAAUAGCUUCAGGAAUAGGUGCCACUGCAAGAUGAACAACCGGCCCAACAUCCGCAACCCAAGAUCCUGCCAGAAACGAAUUCGCUUGCCGUCCCUCACAUUCCAUCGAAGCCCCUGCAACACCUUUGGCCAAAUCCGACCAAUAGCCUUCCACAAGUAUGAGCCAUAUUUUGUAGGCAAGGAAGUUGACAUAGUGUUCGGAUCAAAGCCAUACUUCGAGCAUAGAACCUGUGCCCAGUAGCUAUUACUAUUGACCAGCAAGCCCCAACCAAGUUUCAUUAAUAAUGCUUCAUUCAUAAGCGUUAAAUUCUUCAAACCUAGACCUCCUGAUAAUUUCGGACGACACACAUCAGCCAUUAAUCAGAUGAAGCUUCUUAACUUCCGAGUUACCACUCCAAAUAAAUCUGCGGCAAUGUUGCUCAAUUUUGGUUAUAAUUGCUGUAGGCAGUCUCGUUGUUUGCAUUGAAUAAAUCGGCAACGCCUGCAGCACAGACUGCGUGAGAGUGAUUCUACCAGCCAAAGAUAAAAAUUUAGCACUCCAACCAUUUAGUUUACGCUCCACCUUCUCUAAUAUGCCAUGAUACGUUGCUUUACUAACCCUCGAGUGCAAAAGCGGCAUACCCAAAUAAUUACCCAAGUUCGUAGUCAUAGAGAACCCAAGAGUUGUGCCAAUAUUACGCACAUUACACGGAUUAACAUUCUUAGAAAAGAAAACUUGAGAUUUCUAUUUAUUGACCUUUGCCCCCGAGCUCACGUAAAACGUAUUGAGAACAUCAUUGAUCACAGCCGCUUGAGUGCAAGAAGCUUCAGCAAAAAGUAAUAAAUCAUCAACAAAAAAUACAUGAGUGAUAGGGGUACCUCGCUUAGAAAGCUGAAUUGGCCUCCAAGUGCCAGUAUUAAUGGCACGAUGAAUUCCGUGGCUAAGUCUCUCGAUACACAGGACAAAAAUAUACGGAGAAAUAGGGCCGCCUUGUCUAAUCCCCUGUGAGUGAACGAACUCCUCAGUACAUUCCCCAUUCCACAGAAUCUGCAUAGAGGCUGAAGUGAUACAAUCCAUUGUGAUACGAAUAAGGUCUGACGGAAUCCCCGCUUCACAGAGAGUUUCAAAGAUGAAAUCCCAACUUAGUCUAUCAUAAGCUUUCUCCAGAUCCACUUUAAUUAGCAUAUGGCCAAUCUUUCCUGACUUUUGACGCAUGGUAUGAAUUACUUCCUGAGCAAUAAUAAUAUUCUCUGUUAUGUGCCUUCCAGGGACAAAACUAGUUUGCAUUGGCCCUAUCAAUUCAGGAAGAAUGCCCUUUAAUUUAUUCGCCACAAUCUUCGUAAUUGUUUUAUAAAUGUCAGGACAAAGACUUAUAGGUCGAUAUAAUCGGAGGCUAUCCGGAUGCUCAACUUUCGGAAUAAGCACAAUUAGAAUUUAUUAAUCUCACUAGGUAUUUGUUGUCCCUUGAAAAUCCCCUGCACCAAAUUACAAACCGAAACUCCCACAGUAUCCCAUUGUGUCUGAUAAAAUACAACAUGCAAACCGUCAACUCCCGGAGCCUUAAGUGGAUGCAUACUAAAAUUUGCCUCCCUAAUAUCAUCCUCACAUACUCCCGCAUUAAGCUUGCCAAGAUUAAUCUCAUCAACUUUAGGAAACAUACUCACCAGAGGGUAAGGGAUAUGCUCCCCAGGCUCUUUUGUAUAGAGAUCCUUAAAAAAUGUUACAUCAUGAGCUUUGAUAAUAUCCACAUCCUCAAUCCAAUUGCCAUGCUCAUCUUUAAGCAUCACUAUUUGGUUCUGUCUUCUCCUCUGAAUUGUCUGGCGAUGAAAAUACUUAGUAUUUCGAUCCCCAAAUUCAACCCAAUCACGCCUAGAUUUUUGAAACCACAAAAUCUCCUCCUGACUCAAAAUACUCUCCAACUCCCGCUUGAGAGUCACCUCGAGAUCCAUCAGGUGUCUAGAUCUGUGCCACUCCAGAGCACGUUGAAUUCCGGCCAAUCUUGCUAAUAUGUUAUUCUUCCGUUUGUGUAUGUAUCCAAAGACCUCCUUGUUCCAUUUCCGCACCUCCGUAAUAAAAUGGCCAGCCGGGUUGACAUAAUCUCCACUCUCUCACCACGUUUCAGAAACAAAAGUUUUUAACCUACUGUUAGUGAGCCAAGACGCCAAGAAUCGGAACGGUUUAGCACCACUAGCUUGCCGACUUACCCUCUCAAAUUUAAUUAGAAUAGGGCGAUGGUCCGAGUCAAGUUUAGGCAGAUACAUGACUUGUGAAUUGGCAAAUUUCUGAACCCACUCAUCAUUACAAAAACUUCUAUCUAGGCGCUUUAGUAAGUUUCCUCUCUCCCAAGUGAAUUUCGGCCCACUGAAGUCAAGAUCACAAAACUGAUUCCGAUGAAACCAAUCACUAAACCGAUGACAAACACCAUUUGAGCGAGGCGAACCGCCCCUCCUCUCUGAGGGAUGUAAAAUGGUAUUGAAAUCACCUCCAAGGAGCCAAGGCCCCAACACAUUGCGAGCCACUACUUUAAGGUCCUUCCAUAGAAGGUUUCUAAUAUGUUUAUUUGGACUUGCAUAAACUGCAGUAGCCCAAGAGAUGAAACUAAUGUCGUUAGCUAUACGAAAAUGAAUGAACUGUUUAUGAUUUAUGAUCACCUUCACUUUAACACAAUCUUUCCACAUUAACCAAAUACCUCUGGAGAAACCUUCAGCCUCAAUUCUAUGCGACCUCUCAAAACCACUUCGAAUAAUAAACUCAUCAGCCUUUUUCCCGCUUAUCCUUGGUUCAAACAGUGCCAUCAUGGAAGGAUUAUACUUCUGAAUUAGGGCUUUGAAAGUCCUUCGAAACGCAGGGGCAAAUGCACCUUGGCAAUUCUAAAACAUAAUUGAGAAACUCAUUAAACAAAAAUAUUAGAGAACAGAAACCAAACCCCUUACUAACGAAGGGUGUGAGCUUGAAGCUCCAACUCCAUAUCUGUCUCUUUCUCUAGAGAUCCUCCAGAUUCUGAAUCAUCUCGGGAUCCGUCAACACCACCUCGAGCCACAUAAGUGCUUCAUUCUGAGUCCUCAUCUCCACCAACUCCAUUCCAACCCCCAUUAUCAGGUGGUUCACCCAGGGGAUUGUUUCUAUUAUCCUUUGUCAUAUCGGCAAAAAGAGGGUUCGCUCUAGCAAACUGAGUCAGCAUGUCCGUACCAUCAGGGGGAUUAGCAAAGGAGUACACCGAAUGUUUAAGAGGGUCAAGGGAAGUACUUGCGAGGUGGGGCUGGUUGUCUCUGGUCUUGACUGACUGCUGUUGUAUUGAGGCAAGGGUUGGGUUAAUAAUGUGCAUGGCUGGUGAUAAGAUCUUGUUUUGGUCUGCAUGGUUUGCAUGGGGAGGGCUGGAACGUAACUGGACCAGACUAGGGCUGGGAGGAUGAGCAACGUUUCCACGGUUUGAUCGUUGGCUAUGUUUACGUAAGGAAUAUCUAUGGUUAGGUUGCAUGAGCUGAUUGCUAUUUUGGUUUUCAUCUUGCAAGUCAAGGUUGCUCUCAAGUGCAUGAUUGCUAGGAAUCCUUUCACUGAUUUCUCGCUCAUUAUCCAUAUUAUCUUCAGAGUUGAGGAGCGAAAAGCGGGAACCAGAUCGAGCAUUACCAUUAUGGGUUUGAUUAUAAUCUCCUUGAAUCGUACCUUCCUUAGCCUUCUGUGGCCUACCUUUUUUAGCAACAAUCAUCCAAGGACCAAAAAUCGAAUUCUUCGGGUUUUCAACGGUUGCAAGAUCCACCGUCACUCCCGUCACUUCGCCCUCCGGUUGAUGUACUCCGUCGCAGCCUUGCCCUCUCGGCACCUCCUGCUUUCGUCGACAGGUAUCAACUGUGUGCCCAUACUUUCCACACUCAAAACAUAUAGUAGGGAGCCCCUCAUAUUCAAUCCUUUGAAUCUUGCCAUUCAACUGAAAUUGUGAGACUAAAGGCUUGUUCAGACAAAUUUCAACAGCAACUCAAGCAAAUUUUCCACGUUUUGCAGCCUUAGUAUUGUAAUCUAUCCUUAUGACACGACCAACAACUUCCCCCAGUAUUCGAAGAACCCUUUUAUGAUAGUAAUGCAAUGGCAUGCCAGGAAGUCUGAUCCACGCCACUACUGUUUCAAUCUUAUAAGAUAAACAAUCAAAGGAUGGAGACCACUUUUGAACAGUUAAGUAAUGCCCAAAAAUAGUCCAAGGGCCUUGCGUGAGAGCAAAGUCCACAUCCUCUUCUGUUCCGAAGCGUACAAGAUAAUAAUCAUUCUCUAAGUCAAUGACUGUAAACCCUCAUUCCACUCUCCACAAGGAUUCCAGUUUAAUACAUAAUGAUCUAUAGCCAAUUGAUCUCCCUAACAGUUUCACAAUCACUGUGUUUUUCCAUGGCCGAACCAGCUGUUCCUGCAUCUUCUGUGAAAACACAACCGAAGGAAUACAUCCAUCUGUUUCAAUGAUUACGUCCUCAUCCGCAACAUCUAGGUCAUCCACACCUUCAUUCAUCUCAGCAGCCCCUGACUGAUCUUUCAUUAAACUAUCCCUAAAGGACAUAACCGGCAGAUUAUGUUCAUCAGAUCCCUGUUCCCUGAAGCGUGCCUUCUUAGUCGUGCGGUCUUCCUCCAGCAGGGGAGGGGUCGCUUUCAUCAAAUUAGGGUUUAGUUCCAUCAGAGACAACUUCCGUCUUUAUCGGAGCUUCCUCCUUUUUUUCCCCUAUUCGCACCUUUCUAAUACUCUUUCAAAAUCGUAAAAUCUUUAAAUUUUACCCCUCAUCUUAACUUAAGAAAACUAAUCACUUAUUUUAUUUAACAAAGAAGAGAUUUUUUUCCCGUAAAUUUCCCAAUUAUUUCUCUCCCUCUCGCUCCCGUAAGUUAUACAACUUGAAGUGAAAUAUGAGUGGUCUGAUUCUAGCUUAAAUAAUUUAUUGUGACAUGCUAUCUAAGGACAAUACAUUACCUAGCUCUACAUAUUUUAUUUAACCUCUGGCUCACCCUGUGCAAACUUGCCUUUCCCCUGCAAGAGAAGAUUAAUCAAUCUAUCAAGUCUCAAAUUCAAUUUGGAAUAUGACCAUCGUACGCUCUUGUUCUUCCCUCUUUACGAGUGCAUUCCCCCCAACCUCAAGCUCCCUCUCUCGUCUUCAAUGUCACUGCUUAUAUCCUUAUGUUGUUCUAGUUUGAAAUAGUGGCUUCCACUAUUUCAGGGCCCCCAAAAUUCCAGAAACAUACUAUUCAUCACGAUGACAAAAUUUUUGGCAGGCAGGUGCUUCCUGACUUUCACACGGUAAUUCUCAAAUUCUGAUUUCACCAUAUUUUAAUUACUGAUUAGCAUAUAUUCAAGUGCUCUCCAUUAUAAUAGAAGCCGCCUCACCCGUGAUUCCAAACUUUAUCUUUUUCCCUUUUUUAAAUUAAUGCAAGUAGCCGCUGUCCUUUUUAUUAAUUAAUUAAUUCGGCCGCCCACAUUUCUUUUCCUAAUGUCUUCUACUGUCGAUUUUCUUUUAUUUUCUCUUUAUUCUUAAAAUAUGCUUAUAAUAAUAAAAUAUAAAAAUUAAAAUUAAAAUUAACAUAUCAAAAUAUAAUUUAACAGAAAAUUAAGAUAAAAAAUGAAAAAAAAUAUAAAUUAUGAGCAUAUCAAUUAAUAAAUGAAAAAUAAUUAUUUUUAUUUUUAUUAAAUAUAUAUUUUUCAGUAUUAAUCAAUUAUUUGAAUAACUAAAAUUAUUUAAAAAUAAAUAAAUUAUUCUUUAAAAAUAACUUUUUAUAACACUCACUAUGCUGGUUGUAGGGUAGACGCUUUGGGGACUGAAGCUGGUAACUUCUACAAGUAGUCUUUUUUUUUUUUUUUUUUGAUUACAUGAGACUAUUGCUCAGAUUACAACUCAUAUUACAUGAGACUAUAACUGAUAUUUACAAAUCAGACUAUUACUGGGACCAACUUACAUCAAUGCUAAUGGAGCUCUGCCCAGAUUUUUAACCCUCACAAAUAUUCAAGGGAUGUCUACUCCUCACUCAUGGGUAAGGGAGAAGACUACCUUCACUCAAUUAAUUGAGGAAGGAAAUACACCCACAAUACUUUUGUGGGGGUUCGAACUGCUGCCCUCCAACUUGGAGGGCAGCAGCCCUGGCCACUCGGGCUGAGCCGAGUGGUUUACAAGUAGUCUUAAGUUGACUGGCAACAACUAUAUUGGCAUUUAGAAAUAAUGUACUGCAACCAUAUUGGUAUGUUCAAAUGUUCUUACUAUUGUAUUGGUGUGUCAAUAUUAUCUCUAACUGCCUUAUAGAUAAAAAAAUAAUCUAAAUUUACAAUUUAACAUAAAAUAAAAUAAUUGGUAGAAAAACAAUUAUGGUUCAUUUACUUAUCAGUAAUCAGAAUAGAUUGGAAUCGAAAUGAGCUGUAUUACCGUUGAUGUGUUUAUGAUGUCCUCGAAUUGGAAUGAAUUAUUUUAAGUUACUAAAAUAUCCUUGGUUUGUUAUUCUAAUUAUUAUUAUUUAAUAUUUGUCAUAUCAUUAAAAAGAAAUAAUAAUGAUGAUAAUAUUAUCAUUAUUGUUUGUUACAUUAUUAUUAUUCAAAAAAAUUAUUGUUAAUAACAAUAAUUACUUUAUUUCAAUAAUAAUAAUGAUAAAAUUAAUAAUAACAAACAUGACAACAACAACAAUUAUUUAUUAUGCCAAAAAUAACAAUAAUAAUAAGAAUAAUCAUCAUCAUCAUUUUUUCCCAAAAAAGCAUUAUCAUCAUCAUUUCAAAAAAAAAAAAUCAUCAUUAUCAUCAUCAUUUUUGUAGUGGCUGCCUAUCGGCUGCUGCUUUCAUGUGAGAUUGACUUGCGACGCUUCAACGGCUAUUAUUUCUGGCAAUGUCAGGUGUUACUGUUUCAAUUUAGGAAGAAGAUGUUUCGGUGUGCUAACGAUGGGAGAUGUUGUGGCUGCGAUUCGGGGAGCUACUAGUUUAUUGCACAAAUGACGGCAGGUGCUGCUGCUUGAUGCGAGGUCAAUGGCAAGUUGUCAGCAGUUCGACUUUGGUAUGGGCGCUGCUGGUUCGAUUUUAGGUGUUGUCUAAUUUCAUUUUCAGGAUUUUAAUUUUAUUUUUUCUUUUAUAUUUUCAUUAAUUAAUCAGGGCAAAGUUUGAUUUUAGAAUUUGGAAUGAAGGUUUUUUUGUUAAUCAUGGAAAUGAGAUUCUGAUUGUCGAGAAUUAACUUACACAAGCAACUGCAAAUUAAGUGAAAACAAAAAGUUUUUUCUCUUUGUGUGAUUAAAACAUGAAAUGUACCAUAAAUAAAUAGGUAAAAAAAUAAAUCAACACAAUCCAAAACAGUAAACCAAUUACAAGAGGCACAUAUUUUUAUGUGAAACACCGAAAACAAAAAAAAUCAUAGCACCCUAGUCUGAUAUAAUCUUCUAUUAUAUUAAUGGGAUUAUAGCACAAAUUCUUCCCUAUAUAACACUAGAAGUUAACAAUAUCAAGAAUCUCAAUAAUCUUGACUUACAAUACAACCUAAUAUGUCUCUCUAAUAAGUAGAUAUCUAAAAUAACAGUCUCUAAUAAAUAAGUAUCUCAAAUAACAGUCUAUAAUAAGUAGGUAUCUCAAAUAAUAGUCAAUAAGAUGGUAAAAUAAAAAUUAAAACUAGUAGGAUUGAAUAAGGCGAUGCUAUCAACUUAUCUUCUAAAUUUGAGAAAAAUAAUUAAAUUCACUUUUUCGAUUGUCCGACAAAAGAUGGAAACCCUUGCCCCAAAACCAAAGGAAUCACCAUUGUUCUCUCUCUCUCUCUCUCUCUCUCUCUCUCGUUCUUUUCUUCUACUUUUCUUAAUGUUAGCCGCCACUUGCUUUUAUUCUUUAUAGCAUUUAAAAAGCUACUUUUAAUGGUAAAUUUCAUUUAAAUCCAAAACUUAGUGAUAAUUGCACACCAAAUAAUUCUUUUUGGACUAUGGACUUUUGGGCUUCCAAAUAAGAUGAAUACAACAAAUCUCCCCCUUUAGAUCAUAAAGCCUGCUCUCUGCAUAUACUUUUUCAGCUUUUCCUUGAAUAAUGACUUUGUUAUCAUACAUAAUCCAUUCUCCGUUGUGUAAAUUUUCUCAAGCUGUAACUGUUGCUUCUCAAGCACGUCUCGUAUCUAAUGAUAUCUCACAUCAAUAUACUUAGAUUUCGAAUGGUAUAUCAAAUUCUUUGAACGGCACUCUGGCUGUCGCAGUACAUAACGUAGCUGUCUCGUUUUACACCCAGCUCUUAUAAGAAAUUCUUCAUCCAUAAUAUUUUUUUGCAACCUUCAAUAAUUGUAAUAUCAUUUGCUUUAGUGGUAGAAAAGGCAACUUAUUACUAAAGUUUAGAUUGCGAUGAGACUGCUCCCCCUACAAAAGUGAGCAAACAUCCUAGUAGGAAUUUUUCAGAAUCAACAUCUUCUGCCAUAUCUACACACUUGUAACACAGGUUUGUCACCACCAAAAUAUAAACAUGCUCUGGAAAUGCCUCUAAGAUAUCUGAGAAUGUCCAGUGCUCUUUUAUAAUAAAUACAAACAUAAUGAAUUUAUAAAACAUUUAGAGUAUUUUGAAUAUUAUAUAAAAUAAUUUUAAUAUAAUGCAUGAGAUAUAUUUUAUUAAUUUAAAAUGCUAUUUAACCUAAAGAUUUAUUUAAGAUAAAUUAAUAAUUAAGUUUUUUAAAUUAUUUCAAAUAUUAAAAAUUUGUAAUAUUAUUAGUCUAUUAGAUAGAUUAAAUUAUUUAUGUUAUUUUUUAUUUAUUAAAAAAUUUUAAAGUCAAUAUUUUUAAUUACUAUUCGAAGGAUAUAAUGAUUAAAAAAAUCUUAAUAUUUUUUAUUAAAAAUUUAAAAAUUUACAUGACCAUUUUUAUAAAUAUUUAGGGUAUAUAUGAGCCACGGUGGAAAAGCUUUAUUUAAUAUUAUUGAUUUAAAUAAUAUCUCAUAAAAAAUGUACUGAGAAGAAAUUUCGGUGGGUAUUUUAGUCUUUUCAGCAAUCACGUGAUUAGCCUUUGGCCUUGAAACGUCGGUCAGAAAAGUUUUAAACUGCUUAAUUGUUUUUCACUUUUAACGUUAGUGGCUGCUUAUAUUUUAUUAAAAAUUAAUGCUAACAAGAAAAAACCCCUCAAUGAAUGAGGGUGAGAUUGCUAAAAAUUACGACAGGUGAUAUUAGGUGAUAUUUUAUUAUUAUUAUUAUUAUUAUUAUUAUUGGGGGAUAAAUCCUCACCAAAGUGAGGAGAUUUUAUCAAAAUCAAAAUAAAAAUAUAACAAGAACUGAAAGUCGGGCAGCCUAAAAGCUAGAUGAACUAAAAGUCCGGCGCCUAAAAACAACCUUAUGCAAAAGAGAAGCAACAUGAGACCGAUCAAGUAAAAGAAUCCACCGCAACACCUAAAUUGGCCAAAUUAUCUAUUGGUAUUACAAGUUUCUUGUUAUAAAAGUGUAGAAUGAAGUAGGUGACGUAGUUUUAAGUUACAGCUGCAUGCCCAAUCGCAAUAUCAAAUAAUGCUUAAAGUAGUUGCCUAGGCCCGCCACAAUUUAUAUUAACUCUUAAAUUUAUAAAUAAUUAAAUUUUUAAAAGUUUGGAUUUAUAUUAAAAAAUCUUCAUAUAAAUAAAUAAUAUAUGCACUUUUACAACACAGUCUUUAAAUUUAAAUUUUUCUAGAAAAAUCUUCUGUAUAUCUUUUCUAUUAAAAAAAUUUCCAUAUAACUAAAUAAUAUACCUAAUUUAAUUGGACCCAGCACAACGUACAUGCAUAGAAUACAUUCCGAAAAGCCAUGCUAUUCGGAAAUUGACGAAUGAAAAGUGAGGAGGCAGCAGUCAAUGCUAUUUCGGCUUGGCCCAAAAUUGAUUUAUCAGUUUGACGUGUGCCAGGUGUUUGAGGGAAAUACUUCGACGAGACCAGACGUGAUGAGCAGAUAUUGGGUAGUAGAGUUCUGCGAACAGGUGUGUUCUGUAAGAGCCUGGUAGCAGAGGAGCAGCAGCAAGAAUAUUUUGCUCGUCCACGAAUAUGCCAUUCAUGAGGAUGAACUCCCGUUAGAGGCAUAAGGCCAUUCCUGUUAGGAGUCGAGGCGAGGAGACCCGGUCAACGACAGUUGGCAAGACGUGCGUUCCUAUCCGAGAAUCAAGGCACGAAGUCCAUCUCCAUUCGCCCACAAUGACUACAAUGGGGCAUCCACAUCCGAGGGUGGGGAGAAUAAUGGGCGUGGACUACGGAAGAUCGGGAUUCAGAGGAAGCCUAUAAAAAGGUAGCCAGCGAAGGUAAAAGGGUUAGACUUUUUGCUAUUAGAACUAAGAAAAGAAAGUUCCGAGAACUGAGAUUAAAAAGAAGCCAUAAGAUUCGUGGCAAACAUUUCCAGAACCCCUAUUUCUGACUUGAGCGUCGGAGGGUUUGCGCCGGGAAAACAAACGGCGUACUCUGACCUGUCUGUGUGCGCAGGAACCUCUGGAGAAGAAGCGUUACGAGGAGAGAUCCUGGUCGUGGUAAAGUUGAUCGAGCAGAGACCUUGGUCGUAGAACAAGGACAACCAGAAUCUCGCAUCAACACCAGGAAUGAAGAACUGGAAUAUCACCGUCAAGCAAGCAACCUGUGGAGCAAUACCAUAGAAUGCACAAUCCGGCUUUGCAAGGUGACACUGGAGGCUUUUUGAAAAUUGCUUCACGCUCACUUGCACAGAUUGAGCAUCCCCUCUGGAUAUUGCCCUCUCUGAUCGAGUCUGAGCACUCAAAUUUCAGUCCUCAGAUGGAGCUACAGCUUUCUCUCCAAUAACCAACAAUUUUCUAAACUCAGCACCUAGUAUGAUCAGAGUUGUUGAUAUUUGUAAAUGGAGAUCCCCAUAUUUGCAAAUGGAGACAUUUAACAAAUCACCAACAUGCUUCAUUCAGUCUACGAAAUUCUGCAGCUUAUUCAAAUCCGGAACCUGAACCAGAGUCGGAGGUAAAUCUUGAGCCAUAUCUAAAGCAGUCUGAAGUUCAAGUACUUGAGCCCUAGACAAUGGUUUUGAAAUUGGAACAUCUUGGAUUACUGCAGACUUGUACCCCUUGGUUUCAAAAGUGAGGAAAGGCAUUGCUCGAGUACAGUUUGGAGGCAGCUUCUUCACCAAUUUUAUUUGGAAGCAAUUGGCAGCGGAUCCAGCUGCACCAAUUUCAGAGCAAAUACUGACACUACUUCGAACAGCACGCUGAAGAAGAGAUGUCUAUGGCAAAGGCAAUGCAGUCCUCAUUUUGACUUGAGAUGCGGUAAUCAUCAAAGAGAGUUUCCUUGUGAAACUGGGCAACGCAUUGAAUCCCUUCACCACUGAGAAGGUUGUGGAGGAAGUAAGCUUUCUCUCUAGUGAGGAAGAGGUGGCGUACCUUCAGGGCAGGUAGAAAUCUCUUUUCUAAGAGAUUUACUCCAUUCUCUGUGAGAAAUGCUUUGAACUUCAUCCUUCUGUCUGUAUCCUCACUUAUCAGGAAAAUAGUUGAAAGCGCUACAAGGAGAGAGAAGGAAAGUAUUAAGAUAUAUAGACAAGAAAAAUAUUAGAUGCCGAUCUUACAAACUAAUACUCCAAACACUAUCCUAGAAAGCUAAAAACUGAAGGAUGGCUUGAAAUUUGAAAAGAACACAUGCUUUUCCUCCUUAACUUGGGAAAAUGUUUAAUAUAGUGCACCUUACAGAAGCAUUUAAGCAAUUAGAAAUUUGCACAAAAACAUCAAGAAGACUAAACAAAUCAGAUGCAGUGUAUUUGUCCAAGCACAAAUUGCAUUUUGUCCUCAACUUUAAUAUUUAUUGAUGAGAAUCAAUACAGGUCCCUCAUUUGUUAUAGAAAGCUUUCUUGUAGUCUCACCAGUAAAUUCACAGGUCUAUAAUCAUCUUGCAAAGUUAAGGGCAUUUCUUUCGAUCUAAAGUCUUUGCAUCACCACCUCAUCACACGCCAAGCCAAUAUUCCAUUUACCUCUACAACAAAAAGUUUUAAGUAAACAAUCCUAAUGCACGCAGCCAAAUAAAAUGCAGUAAGAAUAUUCAACUUAAAAAUCCGAAAGCCAUCCCGGUGAAUUGCCUUCUUAGGUGAAGUUCCAUGCUUUACUACGCUCGAUAGAACCGAGCAAAAGCUUCCAUACAACAGAUUUUGAAAAUGAUGAUGCCAAUAGAUACUCAUUCAAUCCAUUGAAAAUCCAAAGGUUCAUUGUUCAUUGAAUUUUACAGAGUUUUGGUCAUCCAUUAGCUCAGACCU
This 130330-nucleotide long non-coding RNA is filed under the name Citrus maxima (pomelo). RNAcentral's name for it is "long non-coding RNA (CMAX_LNC000227)". The record is from RNAcentral. Lineage: Eukaryota; Viridiplantae; Streptophyta; Magnoliopsida; Sapindales; Rutaceae.